UUUUUUUAUUUUUUUUGAAUUUCAAAUUUCUGAAUUAUUUUAACUUCUAAUCUCUAAUCACCCCUCAUCACUGCUCAAUUUAACCUUUAAUCUCUAAUCACCCCUCAUCAUUCCAAAUCAUCUAACUUCCCGAACAGUCACCCAUCCUCUCACUACUCCAGCCUAAGCACGCUUAACUUCCGGGUUCUAUUCUUCCUCGUUUCCAAGUCUGCACUUAUUGUUUUCCUGACAAUAGUAAGAUGUCAACCCUAUUAACCCUCAGGAUUUAGCUUGAGCAUGAAGUCACACAUUUCACUGUUUGAGUUUGAAACUAUUGUUUUAAAAAACAAUAAUUAUUUAGCAACACUAAUAUUUCUUGAAUAAGUAGUUUGACCAUAGUUUGACCCUAGUUUGACCACAGUUUGACCAUAGUUUGACCAAAAUUCAAAAAAAUUGAAAUAAUUAUUUAGUAACACUAAUAUUUCUUGAAUAAGUAGUUUGACCAUUGUUUGACCAUAGUUUGACCAUAUUUGACCAAAAUUCAAAAAAACUGAAAUAAUUAUUUAGUAACACUAAUAUUCUUGAAUAAUUAUUUAGUAACACUAAUACUUCUUGAAUAAGUAGUUUGACCAGAUUUAAUAAAAAUUAAAAAAAACUAAAAUUUGAGCAUAACUUUUUUUCCUUUUAGAAUUUGAGGAUUCUAAAAAUUUGCAAACAGGCUGUAGGCUGUCAAAAUCGGAAUCGGAUUUUCGUUCUGAACAUUUUGAUAUAUUAUACGUUUUUUUGCGACAUUGUAUGCAAAAGUUAUAGCCGUUUUACAUUUUCCAUAUAUUUUUUUGCAAAACAUGUCCAAAUUUAAGUUUUUAAAUUUUCCUAACUAGUAGAUGUAGUAAUAUAACUACCUCUCGAAGGAUUUUAUUUUUUGAAGUUUUUAUCAUUUUCGAAACAAAAAAGGAGAUCCACGAGGGGGGGGGGGGUAGAGUUUGAAAAUGGGACCUUUAGUCCCGGUUUGAGACACAAACCGGGACUAAAGGGCAUUGCACCCUUUAGUCUCGGUUUGUGUCUCAAACCACUAAAGGUCUAAAUCUUUAGUCCCGGUUUGAGACACGAACCGAGACUGAAGGGCAUCGCACCCUUUAGUCUCGGUUUGUGCCUCAAACCGGGACUAAAGGGCUCAGCUGAACCGGGACUAAUGCCUUAGCCGCACGAACCGGGACCAAUGCUCACAUUAGUCCCGGUUUGUGACUGAACCGGGACUAAUGGGCUGACCCGGCCUAGACCUUUGCCCCCUUUUCUACUAGUGAGAAGUGGUUUGGGAAGGAGCGGUGGGCACAUAGAGAGGCUACGACGAUGGCAUGGCCGCAAGCUACAUGGAGCAAUACGGUGUGGCAUCAACGCGAAGUAGUUUGGCAAUGAGCGGUAGGCACGUAGAGAGGCUACGACGAUGGCAUGGCCGCAAGCUACGUGGAGCAAUACAGUGUGGCAUCAAUGCGAAGUAGUUUGGCAAUGAGCGGUAGGCACAUAGAGAGGCUACGACGAUGGCAUGGCUGCGUACAACACCAUCGUCACCCAUAGAUGCAUACGUACAUUAUAUCACAAUGUUUUGCGAUACAUAAUGAUUCUUCACUUGAACUCUUCUCUUGUAAUCAUCUUCUCGGGAUCUUGAUCCUUCAUGACUUAACUCACAAGCUAGAGCAAAACAACCUUUGAGUCACACACAAGGACUCCAUCUUCUUUUAUUUUCCUCUCCUUUCAACCUUGAAUCCAACAUAUGGUCUUCAAGCAUUGCCUAUGGAUAAACCUUAAAGUAUAAUUCAAUACAAACACUAGUCCAUAAGGAUUGUCCUUACUUACCAAAAAAACACACAUGGGGGCACUGUUGGAAAUAUGCCCUAGAGGCAAUAAUAAAUUGAUUAUUAUUAUAUUUCCUUGUUCAUGAUAAUCGUUUAUUAUCCAUGCUGUAAUUGUAUUGAUAGGAAACUCAGAUACAUGUGUGGAUACAUAGACAACACCAUGUCCCUAGUAAGCCUCUAGUUGACUAGCUCGUUGAUCAAUAGAUGGUUAAGGUUUCCUGACCAUGGACAUUGGAUGUCAUUGAUAACGGGAUCACAUCAUUAGGAGAAUGAUGUGAUGGACAAGACCCAAUCCUAAGCAUAGCACUAGAUCGUGUAGUUCGUAUGCUAAAGCUUUUCUAAUGUCAAGUAUCAUUUCCUUAGACCAUGAGAUUGUGCAACUCCCGGAUACCGUAGGAGUGCUUUGGGUGUACCAAACGUCACAACAUAACUGGGUGACUAUAAAGGUGCACUACGGGUAUCUCCGAAAGUGUCUGUUGGGUUGGCACGAAUCGAGACUGGGAUUUGUCACUCCGUGUAAACGGAGAGGUAUCUCUGGGCCCACUCGGUAGGACAUCAUCAUAAUGUGCACAAUGUGAUCAAGGAGUUGAUCACGGGAUGAUGUGUUACGGAACGAGUAAAGAGACUUGCCGGUAACGAGAUUGAACAAGGUAUCGGGAUACCGACGAUCGAAUCUCGGGCAAGUGUCGUACCGAUAGACAAAGGGAAUUGUAUACGGGAUUGAUUAAGUCCUUGACAUCGUGGUUCAUCCGAUGAGAUCAUCGUGGAACAUGUGGGAGCCAACAUGGGUAUCCAGAUCCCGUUGUUGGUUAUUGACCGGAGAGUCAUCUCGGUCAUGUCUGCAUGUCUCCCGAACCCGUAGGGUCUACACACUUAAGGUUCGGUGACGCUAGGGUUAUUGAGAUAUUAGUAUGCGGUAACCCGAAAGUUGUUCGGAGUCCCGGAUGAGAUCCCGGACGUCACGAGGAGUUCCGUAAUGGUCCGGAGGUAAAUAAUUAUAUAUAGGAAGUGCUAUUUCGGCCAUCGGGACAAGUUUCGGGGUCACCGGUAUUGUACCGGGACCACCGGAAGGGUCCCGGGGGUCCACCGGGUGGGGCCACCUGCCCCAGGGGGCCACAUGGGCUGUAGGGGGUGCGCCUUGGCCUAUAUGGGCCAAGGGCACCAGCCCCAAGAGGCCCAUGCGCCAAGAGAAGAGGAAAAGGAAGAGUCCUAAAGGGGGAAGGCACCUCCAAGGUGCCUUGGGGAGGAGGGACUCCUCCCUGGCCGCACCCUUCCUUGGAGGAAGGGCCAAGGCUGCUCCCCCCUCUCCCUUGGCCCUAUAUAUAGUGGGGGAAAGGGAGGGCAACCUAACCUAAGCCCUGGCGCCUCCCUCUCCCUCCCAUGACACAUCUCCCUCCUCCCGCAGCGCUUGGCGAAGCCCUGUUGGAAUCCCGCUACUUUCACCAUCACGCCCUCGUGCUGCUGGAUCUCCAUCAACCUCUCCUUCCCCCUUGCUGGAUCAAGAAGGAGGAGACGUCACUGCUCCGUACGUGUGUUGAACGCGGAGGUGCCGUCCGUUCGGCGCUAGGAUCAUCGGUGAUUUGGAUCACGACGAGUACGACUCCAUCAACCCCGUUCUCUUGAACGCUUCCGCGCGCGAUCUAUAAGGGUAUGUAGAUCCACUCCUCCCUCGUUGCUAGAUGACUCCAUGGACAGAUCUUGGUGAUACAUAGGAAAAAUUUGAAUUUAUGCUACGUUCCCCAACAGGCACCAUGCAGUUUCAUGUUGAAACCUGCUGUCUUCGGAUUGGAGGAAGAAGUGAGACAGAAUGAUUGAGAACCAAAUUUGUGGUGGAGGCUCAAGGAGAAGAAUGUGAGCCCGAGGAACUUCAUGAUUACCAACACCUCUUCAAUGGUGAUUAGGUUUCUUAUCAGGAAGUAAACAUCGAGAUAAAUCUUCAUCUCCUCAUAUCUCGAUUAUCCAACUUAUCUACCCAUUAGGUGGCAUUACAUCAAGUGUUGCUGUGGGAUGAAAAAAUUCACAAAAAAACCGUAGCGCGCUGGUGGGGAAUUGACCUGGUAACGAGCCGUUGGUGAAUGUGUGUUCCUAGCCACUGGAGCUGACUAGCAUUAUUGAUUGUAAGGCAGCACAUAUCUUAUCGAACCAACCGGAGCCACAUGAUCAAACUGCGCCAUUAUAGAAAACCGAAAUCAAUCACUGUAGCGAAUUAGACCAUGCCAAUGUAGCGAACCGGAAUGAGUUACUGCAGCGGUGUAACACCCCAGAUAUGUUUUCCCAAUAUGUAAUCCAACUCUUGCCGUUUCCGGCGUUAAGUUAUUUUAUUUUCUCGGGUUCGGGUUUUUGUCUCCGUGUGUUGUUGUCGUUGUCAUGCAUCUCAUAUCAUGUCAUCAUGUGCAUUGUAUUUGCAUACGUGUUCAUCUCAUGCAUUCGAGCAUUUUCCCCGUUGUCCGUUUUGCAUUCCGGCGCUCCAUUCUCCUCCGGUGGUCAUUUCUACCUUUCUUUCAUGUGUGGGGAUUAAACAUUUCCGGAUUGGACCGAGACUUGCCAAGCGGCCUUGGUUUACUACCGGUAGACCGCCUGUCAAGUUUCGUACCAUUUGGACUUCGUUUGAUGCUCCAACGGUUAACCGAGGGACUGGAAAGGCCUCAUGUGUGUUGCAGCCCAACACCCCUCCAAGUUGGCCCAAAACCCACCAAAACCCUCUUCAUCAUCUAGAGCGUUCGAUCACGAUCGCGUGGCCAAAAACCGCACCUCAUUUGGACUCUCCUAGCUCCUCCUAUGCCUAUUUAAAGCCCCCUCCGAAAUCCUCCCCCCCCCGAAAACCCUAGAUCCGUCUCCAACCGCCGCCCGCCGGACAUUUUCCCGCCGACGGACGUGUCCGCCCGACGUGUCCGCCGCCACGUGGAGUCACCAGAUUCGCUCCACCAGGCGCCCACAUCGCCGCGCCGCCGAAGCCCGCGGUGGCCCGUGGCCGGCCCGCCCGNNNNNNNNNNNNNNNNNNNNNNNNNNNNNNNNNNNNNNNNNNNNNNNNNNNNNNNNNNNNNNNNNNNNNNNNNNNNNNNNNNNNNNNNNNNNNNNNNNNNNNNNNNNNNNNNNNNNNNNNNNNNNNNNNNNNNNNNNNNNNNNNNNNNNNNNNNNNNNNNNNNNNNNNNNNNNNNNNNNNNNNNNNNNNNNNNNNNNNNNNNNNNNNNNNNNNNNNNNNNNNNNNNNNNNNNNNNNNNNNNNNNNNNNNNNNNNNNNNNNNNNNNNNNNNNNNNNNNNNNNNNNNNNNNNNNNNNNNNNCGCCGACAUCGCCGCCCCGUUCCGGUCGCCGCCCGCGCCGGCGAGGGCCGCCCCGCUCCGGCCACUCCGUCCCGGUCUCCUUCCUCUACUCCGGCGAUCUUCCUCCCUCUGGUGAACAGUGAUCUUGGCGAUCCUCGUAAAGUGUGCCGGCCGGAUCUAGAUCUGGGAUUUAUCUCGGGUUGACUUUUCUGCCCGAAACCCUAAUUAUUUGCUCAUGUUCAUCAUGUCGUAACUCCUCAUCCAUAGCUCCGUUUUGGGCAUAUAGCAUAUCAAAAUGUUCGUCUCAGAGAGCACAUCAUUUCGUCUCAUUGCAUCAUUUUCAUUUGAGUUCAUAUUGAUGCCAGAAAUACUGUUAGAAGAAUGCUAUUUGAGAUAAUUGUCAGAUCUGCUGCUCCAUUUAGAUAUUUGUCAUUUUUGCCAUGAUUAAUAUGUGCAUGAUAUGCCCCUGAACUCUUCAUGAGUUUUGUUAUAUAUUUUUCCAUAUAUUCAGAGGUGCAACCCAUGUAUUUUUGUGAUGUGUGUGGUGACUAGCACAAGCUUGCAAAGUGGAGCCUUCGUUAAUGCUUAUUUCAGGGACUUAGCUUUCCACUAAGUUCUUGGACUGUUUAUUUCAAUAUGCCAUAUGUUCAUGGUGUUUCCUAGUGAUCCGUGCCUCUUUUGAGGAUGAUCAGUAAGGAUGUUUUGUUAACCUUGUAGUGCUCUAUCCAUCCAUGUCUUUUUUGCAAUUAUGGAGCACCCUAGCUUGAGUAAAUCGAGCUCUACUUUUGUCAUUUCGUGAAUCUGGGCAGAUUGUCUACUUGUUAGCGAUUUUGCCGAGGAUGUUGUAGUUGAUCCGUGCAUGCUAUGUUAUUGUUCUUGCCAUGUCUAGCUUGUAUUUUGUGUAUUCUUGAUGGGUGUAUGCUUAGCUUGUCAUGACUUGCUCUGUAGUGAGUGCAUCGAGCUCGUAAACAUGCCUACUUGAUAUUUGUUUCAGCAUGCUCCAGUUUUCACUAAGUCUGUGAUCUGAUUAUGUUUUUGCCAUGUUCACAUGCUUGCAAUUGUAUUUUAUGAUCCCUUUUGGAUCAAGGUCACUAAGGAAUUUUUGUUAAGCUCUUUAAGUAGCUCCAUGACAUGCUUUACUUUGCCAUGUUCAGGUCCUGUAGCAUAUUGUUUUCAUGCUCCAAAGAGUGCUAUCUGAUCUGAAAUUCCAGACAAGUGUUAAUUUCACUAAGUCUGAGAUCUGUUUACCAAACGCAUUUUUGCCAUGCUUGUUUGAACCUAUUAAUGGAUGAGUUGGCCGUAGCUCAGUGCUAGUCUUUUGUUAAGCAUCAUGAAUGGAUCCCUGCCAUGUAUUUGGAUGCCAUGUUUGGGUGUUGUAGCAUAUUCAUCUUAUUGCAUUUAGAUGGCUACUUGCUGUAAAUCGCAGAACGUGGUCAUAUUUGAAUUGCUUGCCAUUUCCAAACCGUAACUCCGAUUCCGGCGAUCUUUAUAUCGUUUUCAAGCGAUUUCAUCUCAUCUUUCCAGUGGCACACUUGGAUUUCCAAGAAGAUGCCAGGUUCAUGCAUUCCUUGUCAAAUCUUGCAUAUGCAUCACAUAUUGCAUCCCACAUAUCAUACCCUCUUUGCAUCAUGUUGUUUGAGCCUUGCACGUGGUUGAUUGUGUCCUUGUUGCUUGUUUGUCUUGUUUGGGUAGAGACGGGAGACGAGUUCGCUAACGAGGAUCCCGUUGAGUUUGCUUUCGAGGAUCCAGUCAACUCUGACAACUUUGCAGGCAAGAUGAUCAUACCCUCGAAAUCACUACUAUCUUUGCUAUGCUAGAUGCUCGCUCUUUUGCUAUGCCUAUGCUACGAUACCUACCACUUGCUUAUCAUGCCUCCCCAAAUUGCCAUGUCAAACCUCUAACCCACCAUGUCCUAGCAAACCCUUGAUUGGCUAUGUUACCGCUUUUGCUCAGCCCCUCUUAUAGCGUUGCUAGUUGCAGGUGAAGAUUGGAGACCGUUCCUUGUUGGAACAUUAUUUACUUGUUGGGAUAUCAUUAUAUUUCCAUGUUAUCUUAAUGCAUCUAUACACUUGGUAAAGGAUGGAAGGCUCGGCCUCUCGCCUAGUGUUUUGUUCCACUCUUGCCGCCCUAGUUUCCCUCAUAUCGGUGUUAUGUUCCCGGAUUUUGCGUUCCUUACGCGGUUGGGUUAUAAUGGGAACCCCUUGAUAGUUCACCUUGAUUAAAGCCUUUUCAGCAAUGCCCAACCUUGGUUUUACCAUUUGCCACCUAGCCUCUUUUUCCCUUGGGUUUCCGGAGCCCGAGGGUCAUCUUAUUUAACCCCCUGGACUAGUGCUCCUCUGAGUGUUGGUCCACCUUGUCAGCCGCCGGUGGCCACCAGGGGCAACUCUGGGCUGGCCUACCGGAAGUUUGGACAAUCUGAGUGUGCCUUGAGAACGAGAUAUGUGCAGCUCCUAUCGGGAUUUGUCGGCACAUUCGGGCGGUGUUGCUGGAUUUGUUUUAACUUGUCGAAGUGUCUUGAAGAACCGGGAUACCGAGUCUGAUCGGAAUGUCUCGGGAGGAGGUCUAUUCCUUCGUUGACCGUGAGAGCUUGUCAUGGGCUAAGUUUGGACUCCCCUGCAGGGAUUUGAACUUUUGAAAGCCGUGCCCGCGGUUAUGGGCAGAUGGGAAUUUGUUAAUGUCCGGUUGUAGAUAACUUGAACCUUAAUUUAAUUAAAAUGAAUCAACUGAGUGUGUUACCGUGAUGGUCUCUUCUCGGCGGAGUCCGGGAAGUGAACACGGUGUUGGAGUAAUGCUUGCGCAGAUUGUUCUCUAGUUAUCCGUUCGCGCUUUGCCUCCUCUUCUCGCUCUCUUUUGCGAAUAGGUUAGCCACCAUAUAUGCUAGUCGCUUGCUGCAGCUCCACAUAUUUUCCUUGCCUUACCCAUUAGCUUAAAUAGUCUUGAUCGCGAGGGUGCGAGAUUGUUGAGUCCCUGUGGCUCACAGAUUACUUCCAAACCAGAUGCAGGACCUGAUGAUUCCGCUCCAGAUGACGCGCUUGAGCUCAAGUGGGAGUUCGACAAGGACUCACGCCGAUACUACGUGUCUUUCCCUGAUGAUCAGUAGUGGUGCCUAGUUGGGGUGAUCGGGACCGUGUCGCAUGUUGGGUUGUUCUUUUAUUUGGGCGCCGUAGUCGGGCCAUGAGUGUUUGAAUGUUGUAAUGCUAUUUAUGUACCUUGAUUGACGUGGCGAGUGUAAGCCAACUAUGUAUCUCCCCUUUAUUAUCUAUAUUACAUGGGAUGUUGUGAAGAUUGCCUAACUUGCGACAUUGCCUUCAAUGCGAUUAUGCCUCUAAGUCGUGUCUCGACACGUGGGAGCUAUAGUCGCAUCGAGGGUGUUACAAGCCGUCAGUUUUAAAACAUAUUGAGAAACAUUUUUUAAAAGUGUAUAUUUUGAAAAAGUGCCAACAUUUUUUAAAUUGUGAAGAAAUGUUAAGAAACAAGAAACAUUUUUUGAAAAAUCGAAAUAACUUUUUUAAGCAUGGACAUUCUUUGAAUGUGUGAUUUUUUUUUUAAAAAUGCGCAAGCGAAUUUGUUGAAGUUGUGAACAUUUAUGAAAUUCCGAACAAUUUUUGAAGCCGUGAACAUUUUUUUGAGUAUGUGAAACAAAAAUUGAAAAUGUUAUGAAAUUAUGAACAGAAAAUUCGACUGCGAACCUUUUUUAAAUUCCUGGACAUUUUAUACACUUUUUACAUUGUUUUCUUACUUUUAGAUUUAUUUUUCUGAGUUAUUCAUAUCAUGUAGUAUAAACAAAAAAUGUCUAGAAGGCCGAAAAUAGCGCCCGUCGUCCCGCAGCACAAGGUUCCUGGCUGGGCCAUGUGAGCGAGGCGCUGCUCCAGCAGCUCUCGCGAGACUAGUAGGUAGCUAGGGUUUACACUCUCCUCUCCUCUCCUCCGAAUCAAAGAAGCGGCGGCUGUCUCACACUUCGGGAUGCGCUUCAUUGCGCACACCCCAUGCUUGAGUAAUCUCACACUUCGGUUGUGUCAUAAGGUGACUGAUGUUGGAUUGGCUGAACUGAGGCGUGCACAUAAGAUAGAGUCUUUGGUCAUUGAGUGUUGUUGUGAGGUCUCUCUGCAAGCUGCGCAGGGUGUCGCCAAGUCAGUUCACUACUCCAGCAACUAUUCAGUUGCCCUUAGGAAGAGAGCUGGUCUUGGCGGCUAUUGAUGAAGUGGUCUCCAAAAAUUUCACUACAAAUUUGCUGCUGAAGACAUUAAGUUGUUCAGUGUGCAUCAUUGGACAAGGUUUGUGCAUCAUCCGACCUAGAUUCAUUUGUGUGUACUUUCAAUUGCCUUCUACCUUUACUGUAUAAUUUUUCUGUAUGACAGUCUAAUAACGACCUGUGGUCGCGUGGCAAUUUUGGUAUGGAUCGUUGUAGUAAUAAUAUCAUGUCCAAUUUUCCAUGGACAUGUACAAAGGCGGCAUGCUUGUUUUGUUGGUAUCAAAUCAACCGGAGUAUGUCUUUGAUUGCUUCACAGAAGAAUAGUGCUAGUUGCUACUCCUUGUGUAAACUAAUGUAAGACGUUUUUGAAGUUUAAACUGAACUGUAGAAAUGUCUUGUUUUGGAUGUUUAGAUUCUAUAAUGAUCUGAAGUUAAGGAACAACUGAAACUUGAGCGACUACUGAAGGCAUAUAACAAAGCCGUCACAUCAUGUCUUUGCUCUGGACAUGCAGCACUAAAAACAUUUUGUUCUUACCUUUUUUAGGGUGGCAAGUUUCAGUUUUAUUUUUUGGGUUUGUUUUUUCUUUUCAGAUAUCAGCUUUAGUUGUAAAAAACCAGAGUUCUUCGUGCGGCAUGUGUGGCACUUAUCAUUUGCACACGUAUAACUCAUUACAAACAUUACUCCGUAGGGAUUGUCUUUACUUACCAAAAAACACACACACGCGGGGGCACCAUGCAGUUUCAUUGUGAAAGUUGCCAUUGUCGGAGUGGAGGAAGAAGCUAGACUGUUUAACAAUUGGGAACCAACUAUGUGGUGAAGGCUCAAGGAGAAGGAUGUGAGCCUUCAGUGGUGUUUCGAGGAACUUCGUUGAUAUCUGCACCUCUCCAACGGUGAUUAGGUUCCUUAUGAGGAAGUGACCAUCGAGAUAAACCUUCACCUCCACAUGUCUCAAUCAUCCCUAUGCCCAAAUUAUUUACCCAUUGGGCACCAUCAUAUCAAGGGAUACCGUGGGGCGAAAAAAAAUCGACCUGGUACCGAGCCACCGGUGAAUGUGGGUUCCUAGCCACCAGGCCUGACUAGCGUUGUUGAUUGUAAGGCAACGCAUACCUUAUUGAACCAACAGAAACCACAAAACGGACCCGCGCCACUAUAGCGAACCGGAAGCAGUCACUGUAGCGAAUCAGACCAUGCCAAUGUACGUAGCGAACGGGAACCAGUUACUGUAGAGGAUAUUUCUGAAACAAAUUGAGGGACAUUUUCUAAAAAAGCGUAUAUUUUGGAAAAGUGCAAAGUUUUUUGAAUUUUUUAAAAAAUGUUCAAGUACAGGAAACAUUUUUUGAAAACUCAAAAUAAAAUUUUAAAGCACGGACAUUCUUUCAAUGUGUGAAAAAUCUUUUAAAAAGAAGAGCAAAUAAAUUUGCUGGAGUCGUGAGCAUUUAUGAAAUCCCUAACAAUUUUUGAAACCGUGAACUUUUUUUGAAUUCGUGAAACAAAAAUUGAAAAAUGUUAUGAAAUCGCAAACAAAAAACUUCAACCGUGAACUUUUUUAAAAUUCCUGGACAUUUUAUACAUUUGUCUAUAUUGUUUUCUUACUUUUAUAUUUUCUUUCUGUGUUUUUCAUAUAUAUAAACAAAAAAAGGUGUAGAAGGCCGAAAAUAGCGCCCGUUGGCCCGCAGAGAUUCCAGAGACGGCGCUGCAGCCCACAUCUUCCUCCGCUCCGCUGGAAAUUACAGAGACCAACUAGAAAUGCGAGACUAGCUCCAGGGUUUACUGAUGCUCAAAAAAAAAAAAGCUCCAGGGUUUACUGCACCCUCAUCUCCUCUCCGGCGAGGUCGAGCGGCGGCGGCUCCGGUCUAUUCUCUAUCUCCUCCGACCGAAUCUACGGUCGUUCUCAAGGAAGGUACCGCCGUUUCUUGCUUCUACUCUCCUCUCCUGAGAGACUCCUCCCUCCUUGCGUUGGUUCCCCUUUCCUGAUUCGAUUUCUUGGUCUUGAUUGAUUUGAUAGGGGAACCAAACCGGUAGUAUCAUCCUCAUCCAUAAACUUAGUUGAUUAGUACUAGAAAGAAAGUAAAUACUACUCUAGUAUUCUCUAGUUGAACAGAUAGAUUGGCCCUGUGAACUCAGCUCAUCGUCUGUGGGAAAAUGGUUGAUAUCCCUACUUUCUUUCUUGCCCAACCGAGAGCUGCAAGUAGUAAUUUGCAUAUAUGCUCUGGUUUUCAUGUUCAGAUUCAGCAAUUACUAGUAAAUCUGCUUGCAGAAUUGUUUGCGUCAAUUGUUACGUAAUCAUGGCGGUACCUAGUUUUAUUUAAUGAUGUCACCUGGAGCGUCAUUUUUCUGAUAUUAUAUAAUAGAAGUGCUCAAAGUUCAUCAGUAGCUAGUUUAAUCUAAUGAUUUGGCCUGCCUGCAGCGUUAUUUUUUCCUUUCUAACAAUAUAGACACAGAUAAGGUGCUAGCUACUUGAUAAAUCUCCAUGCUUGUGAAGAACACACAAGUUUUGGACGGAUACAGAAAAUGCUCAAACUUUGUCAGUAACAUAUUCUUCGUAAUGAUUGUCUACCGUCAGUGAUAUAUUCUGAUGUAUCGUAAUGAAUGGUACAGCUGAAUUGUUCGAUGGAAGACCUACCGGAGGCUCUGCUGACUGAGAUUCUCAACAGGAUCACCACGACAAGUGAUCUCAAUUCUCUUUCCCUUGUGUCAAAGCAGCUCUACAAGAUAGAGGGGAAUCAAAGGGAUGCUAUCCGUGUUGGUUCCGGUCUUUGCAUUGCUACAAAAGAACUGACAUCAUUGUGCGCCCGCUUCCCAAAUCUGCGAAAAUUGGAAAUCGAUUACUCUGGUUGGAUACCUGGACAUGGAAAGCAGUUGGACAACAAAGGCCUUUUUGUGUUUUCAUCUCACUGUUCCUCGCUGAUUGAUCUCACAUUAAGCUUCUGCUCACAUAUCGAUGACUCUGGGCUUGCUUGUUUAGCUUAUUGUAAGACAUUGCUGUCUCUCACGCUCAACUCCACACCAAAAGUAACAUCAGUUGGGCUUUUCUCGGUUGCAGUUGGUUGCACAAGUCUAUCUGCUCUCCACCUUAUUGGUUGCGAGAAAAUUGACAGUGUAGAGUGGCUGGAAUACCUUGGUAGGGAUGGAUCGUUGGAAGAGCUUGUAGUGAAGAAUUGCCAAGGAAUCAAUCAUCAUGACUUCCUAAAGUUUGGUUCUGGAUGGAUGAAGCUCCAGAAGUUUGAGUUUGAGAGGAAAAGAGGAAAAUAUGAUCUUCUUGAUCCAGGUAAUGUGGUCUAUGACUCCUCGUACAAUGCUCACAGCAUGGAUGUAUACGAUUUCUGCUGUGAGAGUUUGAAGGAUUUAAGGUUGGCGCAUAUUGAAACUUGGCCAGAAGCAGGACUUCGAGUUCUCCUAGGGAAGUGUAAAGCAUUGGAGAAGCUUUGCCUUGAGUAUGUUCGUGCCCUAAAUGAUAAUGACAUUAUUGCAUUAUCUCGGAGCUGCAGCAACCUUAAAAGAAUAUCACUUUGGCUCAACCUGCAGCGCUACUCUAGUGAUAUCAACUAUUGUGAGACCAGGACGUCGCUUACUGAUAACAGCCUUUACGCUCUAGCCCUCAACUGUUGUAUGCUUCAGAUGAUAGACCUCAGCUUUACAGGAUGUGAUGCCGACUGGCCAUCAGAAAUAGGAUUCACACAAGAGGGUUUUCUGGUGCUCAUUCAGUCCUGCCCAAUUCGUGUUCUUGUGCUCAACAACGCCAACUUCUUUGAUGACGAGGGGAUGAAGGCCCUCUCAUCCUCGCCUCAUCUGGAGACACUCGAGCUUAUAUUGUGUCAUGCGGUAACUGAUGCCGGGAUGCGCUUCAUUGCGCACACCCCAUGCUUGAGUAAUCUCACACUUCGGAUGUGUCAUAACGUUACUGAUGUUGGAGUGGCUGAACUGGAAGGUGCACAGAAGUUAGAGUCUUUGGUCAUCGAGUGUUGUGGUGAGGUCUCUCUGCAAGCUGCGCAGCGUGUUGCCAAGUCAGUUCAGUACUCCAGCGAGUGUUCAAAUGCCCUUAUGAAGAAAAUUGGUCUUGGCGGCUAUUGAUGAAUUGGUCUCCAAAAAAUUUAGUAUGAAUUUGCUGCUGAAGCCAUUAAGUUGUUCAGUGUGCAUCAUUGGACAAGGCUGUGCAUCAUCCGACCUAGAUUCACUUGUCUGGACUUUCCAUUGCCUUCUACCUUUACUGUAUGAUUUUUCUGUAUGACACUCUAAUGAUGAUCUUUGGACGGCAUCUGGUGGAUGAAACUUUAAUAGUAGGCACCACUUGUGUAUUACUAUCAACCGUACAUAAUUCUGGUUACUUUAUUUCUACUGUCUGUAGCCGUUUCGAAACUGUACAUAAUUCUGGUUACUUUAUUUCUACUGUCUGUAGCCGUUUCGAAACCGGCAUAAGUAGGCCCCAAGAUUCCCUGUUUUUGCUGUGGAGGCACUAUAUGACGGGUUGGUGUUAUUUAUCUUAUUUAAGCAAAUGUUCUGGACCCCUUGUUUUAUUGUGCAAGUGAUUUUGAAGACAUAUAUAUCUGCCUGCUAUGUUCGUGUGGCACUAUGUGAUUCAUUGUAGUAAUAAUAUUAUGUCCAAGUUUCACUGGACAUGUACAAAGGCGACGCGCUUGUUUUGUUGACAUCGACUCAAUUGGAAGAUGCCUUUGAUUGCUUCUCAAAAGAAUGGUGCUAGUUACUAGUAGCAUAAUUGUGGAUGUUUAGAUUCCAAAAUGACCUGAAGUUGUGGAACAACUGAAACUACUGAAGGCCUACAACAUAACUGUGUGCUAAUUACAGGUAGGUAGUCACAUCAUGUCUUUGCUCUGGGCGUCCAGCACUCAACAACAUUUUCUUCUUACCUUUUUGAGGGUGUCUACCUAUCAAUAGUAUAUACGGCGGGUGUAUGAAAAUAGCAGAAAUUAAGAGACCAUUUGAGGGAUGAGAUAUCGAGAUUCUUGUGUUUGCUUGGUUCAUCAGUCUAGUACAAAGAUCCUGAAAUUGCAAAUCUUUUGUUUUAGUAACAAGACAGCUCGUUACAUCAUCAGUUCAGCUCGUAGGAACAACAUUUGCCUUGUAUUUGUAGCUCCUCAAGAUGCCAACUUUGCUGGAUACUUUAUUAGCUCAUGUACUUUGUACUUUGUGUUGUACUACUUGAUAAGUACUUGAGCUAAAAUGAAAUAUGCGCCCUUUCCCUUGUUAAAAAAGGGAGAAUAGUUUAUUUAUUUUUUACAUUAUUAGCUCAUGCACGCCCUGAUCGUGGAAUAUUUACUAGUACAAAACAAACACUAGCAAAGAGAGGUUGAAAGAGAGGAAGCAAGAAGUUAAUGAGCCACAGGAAGCGACACACAAAGCGCUUUAUGCAGCUAAACACACAAAUUUCAUCGUGGCUAGCUUAACUGAAUUAAAGAACAAUUACAUUGUUCACUAGCUGGCCAAGUAAAAACCCCGGAGGUUCAUUAGUCCAACUAUCGUCACUCUUAUUACAAAAACUGAAUUUUGCUAGCUCACGAGCUACAGAGUUUGCAUCACUGUCUAGGAAAAAUUUCACAGGAGAAAAUUAAUCUGUCAUUUUUCCACGGGAUAAAAUAGAGGAUAGAUGGCGACACUGAAGAAGAAAAAUUUGGCGUGUCGGAUGUUAAACGGCAACCGACACAUACGCAGGCUGGUAGACGUACAGAAAGCGCCGGUAACCCACUUGAGUUUGUAUUUUCUUUAGUUUGUGUGGUCAAGAUGCUGCUUGGCUGCACAGGCUUUGAGUUCCAGAAGUUGCAGCCAUAGCCUCAUAUUCCCUCGGACACACGACUUCCAACAAGACUUAUGGUCCAGGAUUUGUAUUAAACAGAAUUCAACGCUAAAACCUUUAUUUCUACAACAGCUGGUGGAUAGAAUUCAAGCACGGAAUUUCCCCGCAAUUUGUAGGUGCAUUGCAUUGCACCACCAGUCAUGAGUCCUUGAUCUAAAUGUUUGGUCUAUGUAUCAGCUGAAAAGCGAAAAGAGAAACAUUUUUUAGGAUAGCUUAAGACAUAUAUACUGAAGCAGUUUUACAUGAUCAAAUAAACAAGGAAAUACUACCCAAAAAAUCACAGGGGAUACCAUCAAAGAAAAACUGUACUGCAAUGUUAACUCAAGUCCAUUCAGUGCAUGAGUUGUUGACGGAUGAGAACUGGGUAUUGCUUUCUACUCCCUCUGUAAAGAAAUAGUAUAAGAGCGUUUAGAUCAUUACUUUAGUGAUCUAAAUGCUGUGUGUCAUUUUUCCAUAGAAAUGAGGACAGAAAAUAGAGGAAGAGAUGGCGACACUGCAUAAGGAAAACAGGCGCCCAGCAGCUGCUGCUUAAGGGAUGUGCCAGCGUCCCAACAAAGAGCUCGGAACUUCCAGCAGGCAGAGAUGGCGAAAAAGGUUUGCAGUCCUAUGUGAUUUCUUUUACUAGUAAGAUCAAGCCAGGAUAAUGCACUGCUAUAAGUAGGAUUAAUAACUUGCACAGUUUUAGUUAUUCAUAAAUUACAAAGGGCGCACCUGUGCUGGGAAUGUUGUCGUACAUGGCAAUCAACACGUACAUGGCCAGACGUACAGAGAGCGACCGGUACUAGAAUUUUACCGAUUCAACCCAUUUGAGCCUGAAACUUCUCUUCAGUUUGUGUGGCCAAGAUGCUGCUGCUUGCUUCUACAGGCCUUGAAUUCUCUCCACAAGAUGCAGCCAAACACACGACUUCCUACACAAGACUUGCGGUCCUGGAUUUGCGCCAACCAAAAUUCAGCACAGAAACCUUUUAUCCUUACCAUCGACAGAAUUUCCAGCACGGAAUUUUUCCCACAGUGAUAUUUUGUUCUACUACUAUGUACGUAGCAUCUGAAAAGCGAAAAGGGGAACAUAAGUACUGCAGAGAAUAGCAUAAGACAAAACAUAAUUUCCACCAUACUUGCUUUCCCAUGAUGACUGAUGACUUGUUUCACCUAGGUUAGGUGCGUGCCAACAUCUCUCUUCGGGAAAUUAAGCAGAAAACAUAACAGUCUGAACAAUUGUCGAGUUCAGAGAACAGCUUCCUUUAUCCCUUCCUAAUAGAGAAGCACAUAAAAGAAGUGGAUACCAGUUCUGAGUUCAGAGUUCAGAAACCAUUUCCAACAUAAGACAAACAUGUAAAGAUGUCAUGUGGAAUCCAACCUCGAAAAUCCAUCGUAAUUCAGCUCAGCUAGUGAGGAACUGAGGAUGUACAGUCACCAUAUGGCGAGCAUUAUCACUCGCCUUCCUAAAUAAAUAUCCUUCUACCUUGCUCAGUGCCUUCUCAGAUUUUCGACGGAUGAUCGGAGGUUGACAAGUAGAUUUGCACCCUUUUGAUUACUCAUAAAUUACAAAUUAAGGGGCAUACCUAGGAGUAUUGACCGGUGGCCGCCGGAGUUGGAGCCGAUGCCCGAAACCCUAGACGAUGCCCGGUGACCUGCUGCUUCUUUUCCUGGGACCUCAUGUCCUCACAAGGCCAUGUCUCGGCGAGGAAGUGCAAGUGGUUGCGUGGCACAUCUGGCCAUCGCCAUUGGCGUCGCUCUGCUGGAUCUCCCUCUCCUUCUGGCACCGAAGAAGGAGGAGGAAGGAGGCGAAGGUCAGGGGGCUGCGGUGGGAGAGAAGGCCCCCGGAUUUGGAGGAGAUGCCGAGGUGCGAGGCCAGUGGUGGCGGUGGGUGAGGAAGGGCAUCGCGGGUGGGAGGGAGAAGGGGAAUUAAGAGAGUGUGGGUUCGGGUUUGGGCCUCCGCGCGCUAUGUGUACACAUGUGUUGGUGGGUUUAUAGCAGUGGCGCCGGGUUUAUACCCCACGCUACUACUAUGGCCUAUCCCGAGGGUACGGUAGAGACCACUUAGUAGUAGCGAGGGGUUUAUACCCCUCGCUACUACUAUCAACUUAGUAGUAAACCUCUCGCUACUACUAUCAACUUAGUGGUAGUGAGGGAUUUAUACCCCUCGAUACUACUAUGGCCAGUCCCAGGGGCACGGUGGAGACCACUUAGCAGCAGUGUGGGGUUUAUACCCCUCGCUACUACUAUCAACUUAGUAGUAGCGUGGGUUCUAUACCCCUCGCUACUAAUAAUUACCAGCAGUGUGGCCCAUAUACCCCUCGCUACUGCUAAGCAUCUAUCUAUAAGGUAUUUUCUAGUAGUGCAUGGAUGGCGGCGAAAUCAGUCUUUCUGCUUCUUUUCCCUACUAGCUCUGUGACGUCCAGAACAAGUUUACGGUCAUCAGGUGCAAUGCCCUUGCCUUCGUGAGCGACAUGAUGACAUGGGAACGGGCUUCCAAGCCUAUGGUGUCGCAUCGUGUCGCGGUCUGCUAGACUUAGUGGACGGAUGCUACUCCAAUAUCGGUUGAUCCCAUACUACGAUGCCAAGGAAGACACGCAACUAUUAUAUAUAUUUCUUCAAGUCGGUCAACACAAGUAAAAUCUGGGAGUUCAACCGGUGCAGCUAUGCAAUGCUAAUGGAGAAAACACAAUUCAACUUUAGCACUUCACACAUAAGCAACACCACGUUCAAUAGCACACACCUUAGAGUGUACCUAUGGUGGUUGAUUGGGCUAUAAGAAAUGUGAGUCCAUGUGAAGAUGCCAAACAUAAUAACAUGGCUAAUUACACAUGCAGUGGCAGCAGCAACAAGUGCGUGAAUUCCACAAAAUGAUCUAGGGUACACAUGCAACUAUGUCCUUGAGUAUGACAACAACCUUUAUCUUCUAGACAAAUGCAUGGUAUGCUACUAAUUUAUUUGCUACAAAUUCCAAUGAAUUGUGUCCUUUACUUUGUACAUACCCAGUUAUGAUAUUUGAUUUUGCUAAUACAAUGUAGCCUUCAAUUUAAACCAAGUUUUGCAUCCAUUAAUUAUGUUAGGUUCAUAUGACUUCACUACAUAAAAUAGGUAGAUAAUGCAUAAGACUAAGAUUGUAGCUAGGGAUGAAAAUCUAAAUACGACAUGAAUCUAACAAUUACGAGUAAUGUCUUUGUGACAAGAACUUUCUUUGUCUUUUAUUCCCAUGUUUGAACUAGUAUAGGUCGGGGUUACACAUUAUGGUGCACAUCACUUUAUUUAUCAUCGUUACAUUGAACGCUCAUUGACUAAACAACGAUGAUCCAUCCAUCUUGUAUUGUAGGUCUUCAUUUCAUUGGCCACCGAUGCUUGUAAGACUAGUCUCAUAUGGUUGUUGUUGUGGAUAUGGUUGUUGAGGUUGGUGUGGUUGCUGGGGUUGCUGGGAAAUUGUUUGUUCUGGUUGCUGGGAUAAUUGUUGUUGGGGCUGUAGAAAUGGUUGUUGUGGUUGUUGGGGUAAUGGUUGUUGUGGUUGCAGGAUGGAUGGUUGUUGGGGUUGCUGGGGUUGGGGCUGGGGAAAUGAUUGUUGUGAUUGUUGGGGUUGCUGGGGAAAUGGUUGUUGCGGUCCUAGGAGGAAUGAUUAUUGUGGUUGUUGGGGGAAUGGUUGUUGNNNNNNNNNNNNNNNNNNNNNNNNNNNNNNNNNNNNNNNNNNNNNNNNNNNNNNNNNNNNNNNNNNNNNNNNNNNNNNNNNNNNNNNNNNNNNNNNNNNNNNNNNNNNNNNNNNNNNNNNNNNNNNNNNNNNNNNNNNNNNNNNNNNNNNNNNNNNNNNNNNNNNNNNNNNNNNNNNNNNNNNNNNNNNNNNNNNNNNNNNNNNNNNNNNNNNNNNNNNNNNNNNNNNNNNNNNNNNNNNNNNNNNNNNNNNNNNNNNNNNNNNNNNNNNNNNNNNNNNNNNNNNNNNNNNNNNNNNNNNNNNNNNNNNNNNNNNNNNNNNNNNNNNNNNNNNNNNNNNNNNNNNNNNNNNNNNNNNNNNNNNNNNNNNNNNNNNNNNNNNNNNNNNNNNNNNNNNNNNNNNNNNNNNNNNNNNNNNNNNNNNNNNNNNNNNNNNNNNNNNNNNNNNNNNNNUGCAGGGGGAAUGGUUGUUGGGGAAUUAUUUGUUCUGGUUGCUGGGGGAAUGGUAGUUGGGGCCGGGGAAAUGGUUGUUGGGGUUGCUGGGGGAAUGGCUGUUGUGGUUGCAGAGGGAAUGAUUGUUGGGUCUGGGGAAAUGGUUGUUGUGAUUGCUGGGAAAAUUGUUGUUGGGGUGUGGGAAAUGGUUGUUGCGAUGGAUAUGGUUGCUGUGAUGGAUAUGGUUGUUGUGGAUAUGGCUGUUGUAGAAAUGGUUGUUGUUGAUAGGAAAAUGAUUGUUGAGGUGAUUGUAAUUCUUUGUUGCUAGGGUUUAGCUGCCUAGCGGCAGUGGCGAUGUUCAUCGCCAUGGCAAGGAGGACAAAGAUGAGGAAGGUCUUCAUGUUGGAUUUGUGGUUACUACUGCUUGCUUGCUUUUGAUGCUUGUGGUCUAGGUGUGUGAAGUUUGGAUGAUGAAAUGUGGUCUUGGUGGUGCAUGUGUAUUUAUAGUUUUCAUGGCAUGGCUUGCUUUCUUCUUCCCACUCGCUUUUUGAAAAAGUGCACCAAUGCUUAUCCAACUAAUCAUUUGAUUUGUUGUGUUUGGUGCAACUACUUACUAGCAAGAUUUUGGAUUUUCAUGAUAGUUGCUUUUUGUUGAAAUCAUCUGGUUGUAAGGAAUGUUGGAUAAUGACCAAUGACUCAUCUUCUUCACUUUACACUGCAAACAUUGAUCUAAAUUAUAUCCUUUUUUGAAAUUUAGUUUGUGAAGCUCUACAUGUUGUUAGGCUUAUCUAUAUUGGCAUAGCUUGAGUGGAAUUAAGUUUGUAAGCUUGUGAGCGUCAUUAUGAUGGAUCACACUAUUAAUGUGAUGAUUGUACUACAAAUUAUCUUUCCAAAACUAAUUUUAUGUUUUUUCCCAAUAUGAUUCUAAGACGGAUAACCAGACAUGACUCAUCAAAUAACAAGAUAAACCGAGUAGCAAAUUGGGGUUAUAAGUUAUAACAUGGACUUUUCUCUAAGAUACACUAUCUUGUCUUGCAUGCUCUGUGAAUUUGAAAAGCAUCUACUAAUUUAUAUGCAAUUGAAACAAAAGUAGACCAGAAAGAUAAGCAAUGAAAUGAGAAUACUAUUAUGUGAAGCUCUACAUGUUUGGCAAGCAAUAAGAUACUGGAUACAUCUAUAUCUUCAAUCCUGACAAUUUUUCUCAUCCCUAUCAACUCUUUAUUGGCUGCCUUUACUGUAGUCAUCCCUUAAAUAAAAAUCACUUAAAGAUAAGUUUGGGAGCUAGUACCAGCAUCUAUCAUGUACAAGAUAAAAAACUAAGGCACAUAUAGUAGUCUAUUGACUAUAUUUAAUUUCAUGUGAUGUGAAAGCAUGUGGAGUAUAAGUUGGUUAAAUAUAAAAUUGUCCUUCAUACCAGUAGGGAAAGAAUAUGCAGUAUAAAGAUUAGAGCAUUAUUAAUAUGCUAUUAAAUGCUACAGGAUAAUCGAUAGUUCAAGUUAAGAACAACAAUAGCAUUCCAACUUUUGUUUUGUGCAAGUUAAGAACAUGCUAACAAAGUAACCUAAGCAAAUAAGUGCAACACCUUCACCUAUAAGGAAAUUUUGAAACUACACAAAAUGACCUAUUGUAAAGAAGGAAAAAAAUCUAAAGGUGAAUGAAAAGCAUGUUAAGUACAUUCAGGAUUCGGUUAUGCCUUCAUGGAUAACCUUUUAGAUGGUGACUUGUCAACCUUGAUGUGUGUCGGCAUGGAACGAGGACAAGAAGACAUCGUUACGUCGUACUUUGGGAAUUUCAUCAAACUGGUUGUGUGCGGGAACAAAUAUUUGUCGCCUCCCUGCUCAAAUCUCUCUUCAUGUCACUAAAUCCGACACUCCACCUACCAAAAUCAGCUGCAAGCCAGGGACAAUCAACAGGUUUCUCCGCCCGUAGCAUCUAUCACCAAAAGAAGUUCAGACUAUAGUCUUGUAGUUUAAAAUUUUGUAAUAACAAGCACUACUAGGUUGCUCUUGUUUGUACGUCUUCAUUAUGUACAACCCAUGGAACUUAAAAUGCAUGGGUCAUUCUUCGGUAUAUACAACCAAUGCAACCAAACAUGCAUUGGGCUUUUCUUUGUACAUCUUCAGGUUCUACAACCAAUGCAACAAAAAAUCCAUUGGGCAGUCUUCCAUUCUAGUCGGGCACCAAUAGUUAAACGAGGAGCUAAACAGUGUUGGAGUCUAAAACUACAUACAAUCAUGAAGCAGAGAGAUGCGACUUGGAAGUUGUGCUCCUGUGAGCUCGUAUUUUUGAAGAAAAAAGUAAUAUUUGUAUUUUGAAGUGGGAAAAAGUCCUAAAAAGGGAUGUUUUGCGGGUUAUAACUUACUAUUUUUGAGUCCUGGGCUGCAGGAAGGUCGUAAAAAAUCAAUGUGUUUUCCCAUUCAUGCAUGUUUCUUGGGUUAUAGGUCACGCUUUUGGUGUCCUAGGGAGAUCACUUCCCCAGUUGGGAACAUUAGGUGAUGAUUUUUAGCAAAACUCAUUGUUUUAGCCUAACUAGUUUCGAGGAUUGGUGGACAAGAUUAUCAUGGAACAAAGUGACAACCUUCCUUUUCUUCAUGCCUAAUAUAAACUUAGCAGUCAACUAAAAGUAACUAGCGAUAUCACAGAAUGUUUUUUUGUCAAAAGUAGAUACCACUUCAGGAUUCAACUCGGUUAGUUCAAUCAUAGACAUGUUAAGAGCAGGAUUUACAACUAACUGCAUAGGGAACAUCUCCUUUUAUCGCCCACUAUCUGUCUAUGCACUUUGGUUUUCCCGUAGCAGCACACAAAGCACUUUGUUAGUACCAAUAAUGUGCUCCAACUCUACACAUUAAUCAUCUUGAAUUCUUCUACUGAUGUCGAACAAUGUUAUAUCUUGAAUUCUUCUAACGAGUUCAGAUUAUACUACAUGGGCAAUUUAUCUGGUCCCUGAGAUGCAAGGUCGAUGAACAAUCGCUUCGUCUGAUGAUGAGGGAUUGUUUUUGCCUAAGAAACCAAUACAUGUAACUUCGACGCCAGAUUAAUAAUUGGUAAAACCCAAAUAAAUUAGAUCACGAGCUAAACCAUUUAAUUUUGUAUGCAUUUAAACUUUUGAUACAUAUGAGCUUGUUAAGAUGUUCGCAUAAACACCAUGGUGAUUUGAAGCAAGACAAAGUAAACUUGAACCGCUUGAGCCACUGACUUAAUAAGAACCUCCUUUCCCGUGGCAGAGAUCGUUUUUAAUACAUCCACUCACUUUGGUUCUCUUAUGAAAUCUAGAUUCCUUCGCUAAGGCUAUUGCUCCAGUAUUGUCACAAAAGAUUUUUGUUGGACCCGAUGCACUAGGUAUGACACCUAGAUCGGAUAUGAACUCCUUCAUCCCGACUCCUUCAUUUGCUACUUCCGAAGCAGCUAUGUACUCCUCUUCACAUGUAGAUCCCUCCACGACGCUUUGCUUGAAACUGCACCAACUGACAGCUCCACCAUUCAAUAUAAAUACGUAUCCGGUUUGUGACUUAGAGUCAUCCAGAUCAGUGUCAAAGCUUGCAUCAACGUAACCAUUUACAACGAGCUCUUUGUCACCUCCAUAAAUGAGAAACAUAUCCUUAGUCCUUUUCAGGUAUUUCAAGAUGUUCUUGACCGCUAUCCUAUGAUCCACUCCUGGAUUACUUUGGUACCUCCCUGCUAAACUGAUAGCAAGGCACACAUCUGGUCUGGUACAUAGCAUUGCAUACAUGAUAGAACCUAUUGCUGAAGCAUAGGGAAUGACUUUCAUUUUCUCUCUAUCUUCUGCAUUGGUCGGGCAUUGAGUCUAACUCAACUUCACACCUUGUAACACAGGCAAGAACCCUUUCUUUCCUUGAUCCAUUUUGAACUUCUUCAAAACUUUAUCAAGGUAUGUGCUUUGUGAAUGUCUAAUUAACCGUCUUGACCUAUCUUUAUAGAUCUUGAUGCCCAAUAUAUAAGCAGCUUCACCGAGGUCUUUCAUUGAAAAAUUCUUAUUCAAGUAUCCUUUUAUGCUAUCCAGAAAUUUCGUAUCAUUUUCGAUCAACAAUAUGUCAUCCACAUAUAAUAUCAGAAAUGCUACAAAGCUCCCACUCACUUUAUAAAGGCUUCUCCAAAAGUCUGUAUAAAACCAUAUGAUUUGAUCACACUAUCAAAAUGUAUAUUCCAACUCUGAGAGGCUUGCACCAAUCCAUAAAUGGAUCACUGGGCUUGCACACUUUGUUAACACCUUUUGGAUCGACAAAACCUUUUGGUUGCAUCAUAUACAACUCUUCUUUAAGAUAUCCAUUAAGAAAUGCAGUUUUGACAUCCAUUUGCCAAAUUUCAUAAUCAUAAAAUGCGGCAAUUGCUAACAUGAUUUGGACAGACUUAAGCAUCGCUACGGGUGAGAAGGUCUCAUCAUAAUCAACUCCUUGAACUUGUCGAAAACCUUUCGCAAAAAGUCGAGAUUUGUAGACAGUAACAUUACCAUCAUCGUCAGUCUUCUUCUUGAAGAUCCAUUUAUUCUCUAUGGCUUGCCGAUCAUCGGGAAAGUCAACCAAAGUCCACACUUUGUUCUCAUACAUGGAUCCCAUCUCAGAUUUCAUGGCCUCAAGCCAUUUCGAGGAAUCUGGGCUCAUCAUUGCUUCCUCAUAGUUUGUAGGUUCAUCAUGGUUGAGUAACAUGACCUCCAGAACAGGAUUACCAUACCACUCUUGUUGGGAAUAUGACUACCAGGUAUGACCCGCCCAGGAGGGGCCGGGUCAAUCCUAAUGGCGGGUUACUAAAAGAAGCUCAGUGAAUAUACAAGGCGAUAGUUUAUUAUAAGACUUGUAGUAGGACCAAGCCCAAAGGCGGGUUAAGGCCCAUAAUUGUAAACCGCCAUGUAUAAGAAAGAAUUGUAAAGAAAGGCAUGUAAGAGAAGUCACCGAGCCGGGCACGUUAUAUGAGCCGGCUGGGACUCUGUAGGCCGCCAGGCGUCAACCCGUGUAUAUAAGGGGACGACCCGGUGGCGGCUUAGGGCAAGUAACAUCAAAUCGAGAGCCAUGCAUAGCGUAUUUGCUCCCUGGUCAUCGAAACCUAGCAAUACCACAUCAACUGGACUAGGCUUUACCUUCACCGUAGGGGGCCGAACCAGUAUAAACCUUUCGUGUCCUUUGUCCCGAUUAACCCCUUUAAGCUUCCUAGUUGCGAUGGCUCCACGACUAAGUCCUUUCAGUAGGACAUCUGCCGUGACAAUUCCACGACAGUUGGCGCCCACCGUGGGGCCAUCGCACGAUGGAUUUGAGUUCUUGAAGGGCAGCUUCCAAGGGCUCAAGGGAUACGCUGUGGGCCGGAUAACCAAAAGUUGUCACAGCAAGCUCUACAUCGACGACGCAGGCUGGGGCCCCGAGGCUGGCUCAAUCGAGUACGGGUACCGGGUCCCCUUCGGCGGAAUCCACGUCUUCAUCGGCCGGAUCGGCGAGCCGGGCCCUGAGUCGGACAUCUGCACCGACCUCAUCGAGAUGGCUCAGCGAGUGAGACCUGCCCGGGCUCAACCUGCCGUGAGGCGUGCCUUCGUGGGUUGCAUCCAUGGAGGGGAAUUUUCUGAAGGAUCGAUGGACGGUGGUGAGACAGUCGUUUGCUCUAGCAGUGAGUCGUCCAUAGGCGAGACAGAUUCUUUGUAUCAGCUACAAGAUGGCGGGCUUGGGGGCUGUUCCGAUGGCAGUAGUAUUCCGGACCCCUCUGAGCCGCCGAAUCGAGCCGGAGUCUUCAUGGCUGGCACUCAACCUGGUUAGAAUUCUAUGGCUGCGGCAGCAAUAACCACUGGGUCAGCAGGGGCCGGGUCAGGAGACCCCGCGCGCCCACCGGCUCAGGUACUAAUGGACCUCAUGGAUAGGAUGACGGCCCUGUUGACUGCUGUGGUUGAGCCGGCAGAUAAGGCUCAGCAUGACGCAGAGGUAGCACAGCUACACAGAGAGGUAGCACAGGCCAAGGAAAAUUUAGUGGCGGAAGAUGUCAGGAUGGCCGCGGAACGGGCGGCUCUGGAUGCACGGGCUCGGCAGCUUCAAGCGAAGACUUUCUGGCUCUCGGUGGAUCUGAACGCAUCAAACGAGGUCACGAGGAGAAGGCACCAGAAGGCUCAAUCAUGUCUGCCUCUGACUUACGAUCCUAGGAACCUUUUUCACACACCCGGGACUGGUCCCAGUAACCCGCUGAAGGCAAACCGGAUCACAACACCCGGGACCGGGACGCCGGUUCAACCGCGGGCCAUGGAACCACCGCGUGUGAAUACUGCUCUGCCUCACUACACAGCGAUACCACCGGGUCACUUCUCUAACCCCUUGGAGAACCUUAUUGCUGCGUCGGCUCAUCUGGCGGCUCUCCCGAUGGAAGGUGACUCUUCGACGGCGAUCGAGACACGACGGGUCAGAGAACUUCUUCAGACGGCUCUGGCACAGCAGGAUGCAUAUUCUUAUAGUUGAGAUAGAAUCCAUUCAACCCCUCGCCCAAGCCGGAGCCCAAGCUAUAGCAGGCAUAUGGACUCGGCGGCCAUGUCAAGCAACACCCAGCGCCGUAACCAUCCACGUGGGCGUGACCCGGCCCCGGGCGGAGCUUGUAACUUGGUAGACCAGGAGAGGAUCCGUCAAGAGGCUGAACGGGUGGUUCAACAGGCGGCUGAGCAAGCGGCUCACCAAGCUUUUCCAAUUUAUACAGUGACCUCUGUUGAAGCAGGGGUGGCCACAAGGACAGGAGGAGUCCCUUGUCUUGUGCAGUCUCUGCGUAAUGAGCGUUUACCAAAGGACUUUAAGGGGCCUCGUAAGGUGCCCAAUUACACAGCCGACCUGCAGCCCGGAGCAUGGAUUGAAAGUUACGAGAUGGCCAUGGAGUUAUUAUAAGUCAGUGACGCAGCAAUGGCCAAAUACUUCACCAUGAUGUUGGAUGGAACAGCUCGUACUUGGUUAAAGGGGUUACCGCCCAACUCCAUCGGCUCAUGGGCGGAGUUGAAGGCACGGUUCAUUCAGAACUUUAAAGAUACCUGUAAACAGCCCAUGUCAAUCGUGGACUUGACUAACUGCAAGCAAGAGGAAGGCAAAUCCAUGACCCAUUGGGUGCGCCGGGUCAAGGAAAUAAUACAUUCAUCUGAUAAGAUGGAUGCCAGCUCCACGGUCUUAAUGUUGGAGAAAAAUUACCGUUUUGAACCUCUGAAACAGAAGCUGGGGCGGCUCAAGCAUGAUUGUAAUGACAUGGGCCAGUUGAUGGCGGCUCUGGUCAAAUAUGCUGACUCUGACAGUACCAAGGAUCCCAUGUCUGACGAAGAGAAGACGAGGAAGGGAAAGAAGAACGGCAACGGCAAGGGUCACCAGCAUAACCCGACAAAUCAAGGAGGUAAUAAACGCAAGGCUGACGAGUUUGUGGCUAACACCAAUGCACAUGGCAACAACCAAUGGCGCAAGGGGAGGCCACCUCCUCGGUCAGGCGGAUCAGGUCCCACCCUCGAGCAACUACUAAAUGAACCCUGUCCGGGACAUGGCACCCGGGAGAAGCCGGCUACCCAUCUGUGGAAGGAUUGUACGAUCAUGAAGGCUUUUAAGAAUUCUAACAUGUUUGAUGGUAACCACGGGCCUGCUGGCGGCUCAGGCGGUGGCGGUUUUCAUGGCCAAGGCCAUCCGGGUAGUCAAGGCGAUUAUAGUCAGCAAUCCGGCCAGGGCAGUCAGCAACAGCAGCAACAGCCCGUGUAUCAGAGUAACCCAAAACAGCUGAACAGUGGACAGUACCAUGUGUUUACCACCAGUUUGUGCAAGAGGGACCAGAAGCUUCAGAAGAGGGAUGUAAAUGCUAUUGAGCCGGCGGUUCCACGUUAUUUGAGAUGGUCUGAACAACCUAUUCUGUGGAGUAGGGAAGAUCACCCACCCCGGGUUGAUAAUCCGGGUCAUCUGGCUUUGGUGGUGGCGCCUCAGGUUGGUGGAUAUAAGUUCACUAAAGUGCUCAUGGACGGAGGCAGUAGCAUCAACGUCCUCUAUUAUGAGACGUUCUGUCGCAUGGGGUUGACUGAUAAGAGUCUUAAAACAUCCAACACUGUUUUUAUGGGGUAGUGCCUGGUAAGUCGGCGUACCCAGUUGGUAAAAUUGAGCUGGAAGUGGCCUUUGGAGAUGAGUAUGAUUCUAGGGCUGAGAAGCUAACUUUUGAAGUGGUUAAAAUCAAGAGCCCAUAUCACGCUCUGUUUGGACGGCCGGCUUAUGCUAAGUUCAUGGCCCGGCCGUGUUAUGUGUAUUUGCAGCUCAAAAUGUUGGGUUAUAAAGGCACUAUCAUAGUACAUGGAAGCCGGAAAAUAGCCCUGGAAUGUGAAGAAGGUGAUGCUGCAUAUGCCGAGUCUGUUUGUGCAACAGAGGAAUUGAAGUUUUAUAAGGAUAAUGUUGACCCGGCAAACAUGGCGUCUUUGAAGAAGCCAACUACGGAGCAUGAGCCGGCAUUGAAAUUCAAGUCCGCUGAUGACACCAAGAUGAUUGAUUUCGUGUCUGGCGACUCAUCCAGACACUUCAUUAUCAGUGCUAACUUGGAUCCAAAAUAGGAAAGCGUGCUCAUCGAGUUCAUCCAUGAGAACCGGGACAUCAUUGCAUGGAAGCCUUCUGACAUGCCGGGUGUUCCGAGAGAACUCGUUGAGCACACUCUCAAUAUUCAUCCAAAGUUUAAGAUGGUCGGGCAAUUUCUUCGGCGGUUUAACGAGGAAAGGUGCAAGGCCAUUGGAGAAGAGGUGGCCCGGCUCUUGGCGGCCGGGUUCAUUGUUGAAGUUUUUCACCCAGAGUGGUUGGCUAACUCGGUGCUUGUGCUUAAAAAGAACGGCACCUGGCGCAUGUGUGUGGAUUACACAAAUUUAAACAAGGCUCGUCCAGCUGAUCCUUUUGCUCUCCCUCGUAUUGAUCAAAUCAUUGAUGCUACGGAGGGUUGUGAGCGUUUGAGUUUUCUGGAUGCUUAUUCGGGUUAUCAUCAGAUCAAGAUGGCAGUUAAGGACCAGGAGAAAACAGCUUUCAUCACUCCGUUUGGAGCCUUCUGCUAUGUGUCUAUGCCUUUUGGGCUCAAGAGUGCCCACGCGACUUAUCAGCGGUGUGUACAAAAUUGCCUUCAUAAUCAGAUUGGGUGUAAUGUUCAUGCUUAUGUGGAUGAUAUAGUGGUGAAAUCCAGAGAGAAGGAAACCUUAGUAGCUGAUCUAAAGGAAACCUUUGGUAACCUCCGGGUCUACAAGAUGAUGCUUAACCCGGCCAAGUGUGUUUUUGGAGUCCCAGCUGGCAAGCUCUUGGGUUUUUUGGUGUCUAAUGGAGGCAUUGAGGCUAACUCGGAGAAAAUAAAGGCAACCACGUCUUUGGCUAAACCGGCAUGCAUCAAUGACGUUCAGCGGCUGGCGGGCCGUGUCGCAGCUUUAAGCCGGUUUAUAAGUCGGUUGGGCGAGAAGGCUAUGCCAUUGUAUCAAAUGAUGAAAAAGGUGGAUGACUUUGUAUGGAGUGACGCUGCUGAUUCCGCUUUUGAAGGUUUGAAAAGACAGCUUGCUGGGCCACCUAUUCUUGCUGCCCCCGUUGAGAAGGAGCCGCUAUUGUUAUAUGUGGCUGCUAACUCACAAGCCGUCGGCAUGGCCAUUAUUGUGGAGCGCAAGGAGGUUGGCAAGGAACAUCCAGUUCAAUGGCCGGUUUACUACGUCAGUGAGGUGCUCAUUGGAUCCAAGAAAAGAUACCCACAUUAGCAAAAACUUGUUUAUGGGGUGUUCAUGGCAAGCCGGAAGCUUAAGCAUUACUUCCAGGGUCAUCCUAUCACUGUGGUUAGCUCUGCUCCUUUAGGAGAUAUUAUUUAGAACAGAGAAGCCACAGGACGAGUCGCCAAGUGGGCCAUUGAGCUUGGGGUCUCAUAAUAUAAAGUAUGUGCCACGUACGGCUAUUAAGUCUCAAGCACUGGUGGACUUCAUUAAUGAUUGGACGGAGUUACAGACACCUGAAGAGAAGCCAGACAACACAUAUUGGACGAUUCAUUUCGAUGGGUCCAGGCAGUUGGAAGGCUCGGGGGCUGGAGUUGUGUUAACUUCUCCUCGAGGUGACAAGUUUUGUUAUGUGUUGCGAUUGAUGUUUCCUUGUACUAACAAUGCAGCAGAAUAUGGGGCCUUGCUCCAUGGUCUUCGAAUGGCUAAAGAGAUGAGUUUAAGACGGGUACGGUGCCUUGGCGACUCAGAUUUGGUGGCUCGGCAGGUGUCAGGCAAGUGGGAUUCCAAGGACCCUCUCAUGGCGGCUUAUCGCCGGGAAGUUGAUGAUGUUGUUGGACAUUUCAAAGGUUAUCAGGUGGAGCACAUUGACCGCAGAAAAAACAAAGCGGCUGAUGCUUUAAGCCGGUUGGGAUCACAGCGUAAGCUGGUGCCACCUAACACUUUUCUAGAUGUUCUUCAAAACCCUUCUGUCAAACUGCCUACAGAGGAAGAUUUGGUCAUUCCAGACCCGGAGGCACAGUUAGUAGCGGCUCUUCAUGUUAUUCCAGAUUGGACAUUACCGUAUUUGGCUUACAUGACCCGGGGUGAGUUGCCAGAGGAUGAGACCUUGGCUCGACAGAUAACCCGACGGUCUAAGUCAAUGACAAUUUCCAAUGGUGAGUUGUAUCAUCGCAGCGUCACUGGAGUGUUUCAACGUUGUGUCUCUCCCGAAGAAGGUCAAGAAAUUCUUCGUGAGAUCCAUGAAGGGGAUUGUGGUCAUCACGCUGGUUCAAAGUCUCUUGUGGCUAAAGCUUUUCGUCAUUGUUUUUACUGGCUAACGGCUCACGCUGAUGCAGAGGAUCUGGUCAGUAGGUGUGAUGGGUGUCAAAAAUUUGCACGACGAGCGCACGUGCCGGCUUAAGAAUUGCGGAUGAUUCCAAUCACUUGGCCGUUUGCAGUCUGGGGGCUUGACAUGGUUGGACCUUUUAAAAGAUCCAAGGAUAAAAAGACACAUCUUUUGGUGGUAGUUCACAAAUUUACAAAAUGGGUUGAGGCAGAGCCGGUUAGUAAGUGUGAUGCAGCCACGAUGGUUCAGUUCAUGAAAAAGGUGAUCUUUCGUUUUGGCUUUCCACAUAGCAUUAUAACUGACAAUGGUACUAAUCUGUCCAAAGGCAACAUGGAGGAGUUUUGUCAAUGUGAGCAUAUCCGGCUUGAUGUUUUGUCUGUAGCUCACCCCCAAUCCAAUGGUCAAGCUGAGAGAGCAAAUCAGGAAAUCCUAAAAGGUCUCAAGCCCGACUUAUGGUUCGUUUACAACGGACGCCGGGUUGUUGGGUGGAGGAAUUACCCUCGGUGCUGUGGAGUAUCAAUACCACUCCUAACAGAUCUACAGGUUAUACACCUUUCUUCAUGGUUUAUGGAGCAGAAGCAGUUCUGCCUAGUGACAUCCGUCAUGACUCACCUCGCGUGGCGGCCUAUGUUGAAGCUGAUAAUGAACAAGCCCGACAGGAUGCACUUGACUUGUUAGAUGAGGAGAGAGAUUUGGCAGUGGCUCAAUCAGCAAUUUAUCAACAAGACUUGCGCCGUUAUCACAGCCGCCGGGUUAAGUCCAGAACCUUUCAAGAAGGUGACCUAGUGCUCCGGCUCAUCCAGGAUCUGUCUGAUGCACACAAGCUAUCCCCGCCUUGGGAAGGACCCUUUGUGGUCAACAAGAACUUAAACAAUGGGUCAUAUUACCUCAUUGAUGUUCGAGAGCACAAAGACCCACGUAAGUCGGAGGAGGAGACCCGCCGGCCGUGGAACAUCGCUCAGCUUCGGCCAUACUACACUUAAACCAUCGGCUCUCAUCAUGUACAUACUUUGACGUUGUAUAUAAUAUGAUAAGUAAUAAAGCAGGACCUCUGUCCUUUUUCCCCUUCAAUGAUCAUAUAUCUUUAUUAUUUUCAUUAUUUAAAAUGACCAUUAGGGGGCUGAUCGUAUCCGAAUCUAGCUUAACCCUUUUGGUCCGGCUCAUGAUCGUAUUCGAAUCUAGCCGUAAAACUCAUGGUCACUUGGGGGCUUCCUGUUCAAACAUAGGUCGUAUUCGAACCAAAGAGAACAUAGCUGUCGUAACCCUCUUGAUCGGCUCAAAGCCAAACUCACUAGGGGGCUUCUUGAUCGUAUCUGAAUCAUAGCUUAACCCCUUUUUGGGUCCAACUUGGAUCGUAUUCGAAUCAGGGUCGUUAAAAACCUCUCAAGGUCAUUUGGGGGCUUCCUAUUCAAACAUAGGUCGUAUUCGAACCAAAGAGAACAUAGCUGUCGGUACCCUCUUGAUCGGCGCAACGCCAAAGCCACUGGGGGCUAUAUGAUCGUAUCCGAAUCUUAGCUUAACCCCUUUGGUCCGGUUUACUGAUCGUAUUCGAAUUAGAAGCCUCCAGUUUUUAUUUAAAUGUUUGAUUUACAUUGUCUGAAGCCUAGUGUUUUAUCUUACUAUUUUUAUCGUCUCAAAUCUAACUGUUAGUAUGGUUUCAAAUUAAACCGGCUUGGCUAUUUGACAAUGUGUCGCCAAGGCAUAACAGUCAUCAGACAUAUGGAAGUAUUGACUUCUAAAAAAGAUUGGGUUAUCAACCUCAUCAUCCGGGUCAUGUAAACCGACAGUCCAUGUUCAAAAACCACAGGUAUGACAGUGUCAUUCAUGAACAGACUUCCCUGGGUUUUUCGUCAGUCAAAGGAUUUUUCAGCCUUGUUUAUCUUACAUCUGGUUCUAUUUUUUCCACUAUGAUAAUUUCAUAAUCAUGUACCGGGUGUUUUGACCCGUCCGGUGCUAAGCCACCGGGACAGUUUUUUUCAUCUUUUACAGGAACAGAGUUAAAACAUUACAGAUGUAACCACGAUGUAAUGCAUAUAUAUAUUGACAUCAUGGGCAAAGAGUCAUAUGAAACAUCUUAUGCACGAUGGCAUAGGCAAAAUAUGCAAUUUUCAAACUAACCUAUUACAAGGCAUUGAGAGCCCAAAAGGUUAAACGGUUUUCUCUCUUAAGCAGGUCUUAAGCUAAAAACUGGAUUGUUCAGAUGGUUAUGACUCCUCCCUGGCCGUUUCACCUCCCUCCACUGGUUGGAAGCUGGGAUUGGACCAGUCAAAGCCGUUCAGAGCAAUGAACUCAGCCUCAUCGUCAAUUAGGCCGGCCGGGUCAAUUUGCAGGGCAAAAGUGUGUUGACGAACCGGCGGGAUAAGAUCCAUCACUUUAUAAGAGGGAGUCGCCAUCUUUUUAUUCUCCAUAUCAAAACCCGACUGAUAUUUUUCGAUGUUGGUCUCCUCACCAAGAAUGGUAGCCUGAGGACGAACUCCCCUCACACAAGCAAUAAAGUCAUCUUGCUCAAACGGAGUCCCGUCUUCCUUCAUGGUAGGGUACCCCUUAGCCACGUCCACCGGGUGUAAAUCGGGCACCCAGGCUUUGGAGCGGCUCAGGGCAGUCAGGGCUCCGACUCUGGCACAAGAUCGUUUGACCUCUUGAAAUCUGGCGGGUAAGAUCGAUAACUUCUUCAAAACAUCACUUAAACGGUUGGGUCCUUGGUUGGCAGGGGAUAUAUAUAGUAGAAAGUGCUCGUUGAGCACCAGUGUACAGUUGCUCCACCAAGGUAUAAACCGCCUUCAGUUUUGUCACACUAUCUUGACUCAGAUAUUUUACUUCGUGGACCUGUGAGUACUUUUUAACAAAGGCUCAGCAGGCGGCUUAUAUUUCUGGUUAAAAUAAAGUAUAAGUGACUAAUGCAAAUGACUUACCAAAGAUGGCGGAGACCAUUUGAUACACACGGUUUUUUAAGCCGGUGAGCUCCAUGGUAACCUCCUCAAGAGUCGCCUCUGCUGUCUUGGCACGUUGUGUCAGCAAGGUCUUCUCAUCGGCCCAGGAUUUCUUCUUCUCAGUCACACUGGUCUUCAAUUUUUCAGUUUUAGAGAGACUCAAUUGGAGUUUGGAGUUAGCAGUCUUUAUCUCCGCUUCUUGAUCCGCCAGCCGGGUCUUUGCAUCCGUCAAUUGAGAUCCCAAUUCAGUUAGGGCGGUCUACAAACAUGCAUAGGUGUGUCAAAAUUUAAACACAAGUUAUAUUGAUUAAAGUCGCGAGUGCUUUGCAACGCAACACCACUUGGCACUUGGGGGCUAAUGUCUGCCAAAGCAAUUUUAUGCAAAAUGACUCUUCUAUGUUUCAAGUCCCAAGUGUUUUACAAAGUAACAACGCUUGGCACUUGGGGGCUAAUGCAUGAUAUUCAGAAAGUUUUUCAAGAUGAGCCGGAUCACACUACUUAUUUGGACUAAUCUAAGACAGUUAUGAAGUUAAGUACCGGGUCAUUUAUGAUAAAUUGAGCCGGCCCUUGGGGACUACAUGUGAAGUUUAUACUAAUCCGUUGAACUUAGGAAAAAUCUAAAGACAAGGUAUCAACCUAUAUCAUAAGUCUACAGAUCAUUCAGGUUCAUCAUAAUCUGAAGACUUGGGGGCUGGCAGAGUAUAUAUAAACCGGAGAACGUACCUCAUAUUCUGUAACAUCCCAAAUUUUCAAUUUGGAAUGUUACACGUUAGGUCAUCAUGCAUAUCAUAUUUUAUUUUUCUUUUGGUUUUGAUCCUAGAAAAUCCUAAGCAACUCAAGGACCCACGGAGAGAGUUGGGGAUUUCAUUAUUUACAUAUUUGAGUUUUCUCAAAUUAUGUAAACAGGAUCAUUUGAUUUUAUUUAUUCUAUCAUCAAUUAUUUCUAUUACAAAAAUAUGAGAGAGGGAAUAAAAUGACUUUUCCAAAAUAUAGAAAUAUUGAGGAUUUAAUAAAAAAUCAAAUAAGUUUUAUUUCGGAGUUUUUUGGUAUUUUUAUUUGAAUUUAGGAAAAAUGCGCGUUUUUCAAAUUGUAGUUUGGGCCCAGAUAAAUGUUCACUUUAUCGGGCUUGAUUUUAGGAACCCGGCAAAAUUUAUUUCGUGAUUUUUGGAGUCCGUUUAGUAUUUCUUUUUAUUUUUCUUCCGAGCGGAUUUAAAAAAAAACUAGAACCGACUCCGUGCCGUAACCGGCCAGGAAACCUCCGCCCGGGGCCUUUAUAUAGCGCCCGAACCGGCCGAGAGAGAGAGAGAGGCCCGAAGCCAGCUAACCCUAACCCUAGCUAAGCCGCCGCCGCCUCCCAGCCGUCGCCGCCCGCCGCUGCCGACUCGCCGGAGCGCGCGCCUUUCGAGGUUCGCCGCCGCCUCGUUUUCCGUGAAGUUUUUUUUUAAAAAAAAAAUCUGUUCGUCGUUUUUCUUUUUCGUCGGAUUUUCCGCGGUUAUUUUCUGAUCGCGAUUUCUGAUCCGGUUUUCGUUUUAGUAUAACUUUUCGCUCGUUUAUCGGAAUCAGGCGAUUCAAGCGCCUGGAGUUUCGUCUCGAAACCCUCUUUCCGAAUAAUCAACUUAAACAAGUUUUUGCUACUGUAAAAUUUGCCCUAGAUCCAGAUUACUAGAAGGAAGUUGUUUUUUUUGCCGUUUGAUUUCUUUCGCUUCGUUCGAUUUGAUUCUUUUGCCAACCAGGGUUCUUAAGUUGAACUUUCUGGUUAGAUCUUCUAUUUGAGUUUUACUUGUGCAUUAGAUGAGUACUUAUUGUAUGCUUGAUGUUUGUCUGUGAUAGAAUACCCGGAGUGCGCCGCCUGUUACUUCGAAUCUCUAGGUUUCGCGGAUCAUCAGCAAGGCAAGUAACACUUUGAUCAUACCUUUUCUACAACCCAGUUUUAUUGCAUUAGAUCAAUCCUCACACAUUGCAUGAUUAGGAUCUAAUUAAAUUGUGGGAUGGGAAGUAGAUGAGGUAGUACCUAUUACCUGUUUAUUAUCAAACCUUUGGGAGUUACUUCUACGUUUGCUUAUGCCAUGUUAUGCCGGUAGACGUGGAUUGGGUGAGUGAUAUCCAUGACAGAUGUGAGAUUUAUAAUUAAGGGUUAUCUAAGGUGGCAACCUAACACACAUCUGGGUGGAUUGAGGCACCUGGGGUUACCAGGACUUGCCUGUUUUCUUUUGGACCGCCACCCAGGCCCAAAGGGAUCAUGAGAUUUUUCAUACUAGAAACUUCCGUGUGCAGCCACAAGCCAUUAUGGGCUCUGGCAUAGUUGACUAAGUUGUGCGAACUCUUACAGUGGUAGACUAGCAGAUGUAGGGGAAAGUAGGUGUACCGGUCUACCCGUCGUAAGGUGCUAGCGCUUCUGAAAGACUGUGUCUCGGUCAUCCGUUUCUCAAACACCUUGUAGUGCGAGAAACCAAACGGAGGUGAUCGAGUCUUGUGGGGAAAAGUGCGCAAACCUCUGCAGAGUGUAACAAACUAAUCAUGGUUAGCCGUGUCCCUGAUUAUGGACAUCUUGAGUAUCUAUUACCUGGAUUAUCAUGUGAAUCUCAACAUGUUACUCUAAAAUUAAUUUUGUGGGAUUUUAAUGAUGUUACUUAAUUGGGAUUGAGGAUGCUGUCAACCAUUCUCAAUGUUUAACAACCACCAUGAUAGUAAUUAAUUUUAUUCCUUUGAAGUAGGGAAAAAUUGGCUUUACGCAAAAACUGUAACCAUAGAGCUUUCCACCAGCCAAAUAUGCAUAUAGUAUAGUUGUUGCAUUCCAUUACUCUCUAUGUGUUACCUUGCCAGCAUAUUCCAUGUGCUGACCCGUUUCGGGCUGCAACGUUAAUGUUGCAGACUUUUCAGAUGACGAUUGAGGAAUUUUAGGUCGUGGUUCUAUACUCAGUGAUGCCGUUGGAGUUGAUGGACUCACUUAUCUUCCAAGCCUUCCGCUGUUAUCGUUAUUAGAUGGCCUUAAGCCAUAUUUAUUGUAAUAAGUUCUCUUUUGAGACACUCGAUGUAAUAAGUGUGUGAUUGCUACUCUGCUAUAAAUCCUCCGAGUACUGUGUGGUGUCAGCAUUACUGAUCCAAGGAUGACAUCGGAGCACAGAGAUCAGACUGUUUAAGGUCUGGUCGCUACAUAUUCCAGUUGCAAUUGCUUGACCAUCUCAAUUUCCGAGUCACGGCUGGAAUGCACAGGACUGAGAUAGCCGGACAGCAUGUCACUAACAUUCAGAUGAGCAUAGUGAGAGAUAUCAAAUUGUACUUUCUGUCUUUCCAAGGCCUCCUGUUUAGCAGAAUGCCUGGCCAGCACAGUCGGAUUACCCGGCGCAACAAAUCUGCUGCCAGUGAUCAAAACGUCAUGGUCAGAAGAUGCUGGCAGGUUAGCUGAACCGGACGGUCUGACGGUGGAUGGAUCGACAAUGGUUUCGUCAGCUGACGGCUCAGGAGGGUCCAAUUGAGCAUGGACAGCUAAAUCUUCUGGCGCUUCAGAUUGAGUGGGAGGAGUUGAUGUUGCCAGUUCAGGUGCAGGAUUUUUUGGGUCCUCUGCCGGUUUAAUCACCUUGGCUUUCUUGGACUUUGCUUGACCGCUAAGAAAGAUUUUUAUGAAAUAGUUAGUAUAAUGAUGCAGUUUUAAAAAUGUAGAGGAAAGAUGAUUUUCCUUACCCAUGGGCAGUCUUGAAAGCCGGAAAUUGAGUUUGGGAUGAGUCGCCAGAAGAGCGAGAGACCUCCUGCAAAGGUAAAAUAAAGUUAAGAAUAUAAGGAAAUAAAUUCAUGGAUAAAAACAAAGGACAAAGGUGAAAGAAACCUCAUUCUGGCGUUUUUGAGGAGUUUUUUCUAAGUCGAAAGGUGGUUCAUCAUCAUCAUUAGUCCGGGCCAGAUGGCGGCUCUCAUGUUGCUGCUUUUUCAAAAGAAAAUGAGGGUCCAAAUAAGCCAAAGGGUGCAAAAACCUUACUUUCCGGGUUACCAGUCGAAGUUUCUGUCUCGGCAAAGGGGCUGAGUCGUAGGAAAUAGUUACCUCUUCUUCCGCGGCCUGGCUGGCCCCCGUGUCAUCCUGGCAAUAGUCAGUGUCAAUAAGAUAGUUGAAAAUUUGGCCAAGGGAGAAAGGGCUACCUCCGACUCAGAAACAUCAUCAAGCUGGAAGAUGUCAGAUGCAGUCUUCUUCUUGGGCUUCCGGGUCGUUCUCUUGGCGGCUACGGCAGCGGAUCUAGCCUUCUUGGUAGCUUCAUGAUCAUACUUGGCCUUCCAGAAGUCAGAUUUGUCCUGUAAACAAAUAAAGAGGUUAAAAGGUCAUGCAAGUAUUUAAACUACUGAGGUAAACACAAAAAGAGAAAAAGGUCAAGAAGUUACCUCUGGUGUCGGGUUAAGUUUGCAGAAGGGGUUUAAUCCAACCUUGCUGUAGUCCUCGUAUUUGCCAUUCACGAGGAUGGUAGACAUUGCAACAAUGUCUUCUUCAGUUAAUUGUACAGAGCUAUAACGCAGAGAAUCAUUUGGGCCUCCGCCAUACUUAUACAUCAACUUGGAUCGGCGGCUUAGAGGGAUGACCCGCCAUGAGAUCCAGCAAUGGAUCAGGUCAACUCCGGUUAAGCCAUUUCCCAAUAAAGCUUGAAUCCUUUUGACAGAUGGGAUAAGCUUCUUGCGUUCAGCAGUAGUAAGCUUGUCAGGGAGCACAAACUUGGAAUCAAGACGCUCUUCACGAUAACCCGGCAGUGGUUUUUCAUCAGCCGGUGAUGUAUCUUGGCAGUAGAACCAGGUUUGCUUCCAGUCUUUGGGAUGGCUCGGUAAGACCACUAAAGGAAAAACGGCACCUUGUCAGCGUUGAAUUGAAAUUCUGCCAAGUUCCAAGCUAAGGCCGUUGGUGCACUCAUUCUGGCGGUUCAAGUAAAAGUACUCUCUAAAGAGCUCCACAGUUGGUUCUUCUUGAAGAUAUACCUCACAAAGAACUUGAAAAUUGCAGAUGUUGGAUAUAGGGUUGGGUCCAAUAUCUUGUGGAUGAAGCUUGAAAAAAUGCAGGACAUCUUGGACGAACUUUGAGCCGGGUGGUGAGAAGCCCCGGUUCAUGUGAUCUGUGAAAACGAUAACUUCGCCGUCUUUGGACUAAGGUCGUUCUUCGUCCGGGUCAGGAGCACGAUAAGACAUAACGCUUUUCUCUGGCAAAAAUCCAAUGGUGACAAAUUAUUUCAAGGUAUCUUCAGUAACUGUGGAAGGCACCCGGUUGCAGACAGUUGGCGCUUUUGACGGCAUGAUGAAGAAAGGGCAAGCUGAAAAGAAAGUAAUUUGCCGGUUCAAUUUAUUGGUGGAGUUACAGGUUCAUGAUUAUAGUACAGAUGAGUAAUGGCGGCUUAAGUAAGGGCUAAUGACAUGUAAAGGAAAAAUAAGCCGGAGUCAUAAGCCGCCAUGACUAAAAAGUAUUUGAAGGUUGCCAGAAUCAAAAUUGACUAAAGUGUUGAGACAAACAGGUUUCCCAAGUUGUGGCUAUUAUUAUGGAUCAAAAUGGUUCAGAAAAUAAAAAUAAAGUUAGACCUAGAAAACGAGCACAGAGGAGUUUGUCAGCUCUAAAGAGGCAUUUAUACAGGAGAAGGGGAUCUGUUAGCUUCAAAAAUGGAUGAGAAAUAGCUACCUCAUAAGUUUUGUACUACUUUUAGAUCAAAAGAGGGUGCGGUAAGAGAAGUUGCAACGAAUCUAUGACGAACAACGAAGAACACAAGAAGGAAACCUCCCGAACCCUAAUGCAGAUCUAUGGGGGUGAGAAGGUGAGAGCUUACAGGUGCGGAGCUGCUGCGGAGGAUCGCCACCGUUCUCUGGAUAGACUCAGGGUGAUGCUGCGGCCAGAGUUGAGGACGACGGUGCGCUACGGUGGCGACGGAGCUCGAGCGGCAAAGAAGGUGCGAGAGGAAGAAGAAAGAGGAAGGACUGGCCGAGCCUAUUUAUAAGGGGGUAAGUGAACGGGCAGACGCAAAAAUUGAGGAAGACCAAAGUAAUGAUUAUCCAGCUAAAUGGACGCCUCGAUCUUCGGAAAACAUUUAAGAUAAGGAUCCGUUGAAGAUGAAAUCGUGGUGUUUUUCCAAAUUUUUUCAAUCCUAAUGGUUGGUUAAUAAAAUAAGCUCAGUGAAUAUACAAGGCGAUAGUUUAUUAUAAGACUUGUAGUAGGCCCAAGCCCAAAGGCGGUUUAAGGCCCAUAAUUGUAAACCGCCAUGUAUAAGAAAGACUUGUAAAGAAAGGCAUGUAAGAGAAGUCACCGAGCCGAACACGUUAUAUGAGCCGGCCGGGACUCUGUAGGCUGCCAGGCGUCAACCCAUGUAUAUAAGGGGAUGACCCGGUGGCUGCUUAGGACAAGUAACAUCAAAUCAAGAGCCAUGCAUAGCGUAUUUGCUCCCUGAUCAUCGAAACCUAGCAAUAUCACAUCAACUGGACUAGGCUUUACCUUCACCGUAAGGGGCCGAACCAGUAUAAACCUUUCGUGUCCUUUGUCCCGAUUAACCCCUUUAAGCUUCCUAGUUGCGAUGGCUCCACGGCUAAGUCCUUUCACUAGGACAUCAUCCGUGACAAUUCCACGACAACUCUGGUGCGGAUCUUACUAUGGUUGACCUACGAGGUUCAGCGGUAACUUGAUCUGAAGUUUCAUGAUCAUCAUCAUUAGCUUCCUCACUAAUUGGUGUAGGAAUCACUGGAACUAAUUUCUGUGAUGAACUACUUACCAAUUCGGGAGCAGGUACAAUUGCCUCAUCAAGUUCUACUUUCCUCCCACUCACUUCUUUCGAGAGAAAGUCCUUCUCUAGAAAGGAUCCUUUCUUAGCAACGAAUAUAUUGCCUUCGGAUCUGUGAUAGAAGGUGUACCCAACAGUCUCCUUUGGGUAUCCUAUGAAGACACAUUUCUAUGAUUUGGGUUCGAGCUUAUCAGGUUGAAGCUUUUUCACAUAAGCAUCACAGCCCCAAACUUUAAGAAACGACAACUUAGGUUUCUUGCCAAACCACAGUUCAUAUGGUAUCAUCUCAACGGAUUUAGAUGGUGCCCUAUUUAAAGUGAAUGCAGUCUGAAAGUGCGUUAUAUCGACUAGAGGGGGGGUGAAUAGGCGAUUUUUAUGAAAGUCUUCAAAACAUGGAAGUUUCGAAGACAAACGAUAGAAAUAAACCUAUUACCAUGCAGUGGAAGUUAGACUACACUAGAUAAACCGUAGUCAUGUAUUCAAUGAAGUGAAAGGACAAUGACUAAUAGUAGCUAGGUAGUAAGGAUCAGGCAGGAAGAUAUUAAGAAGCCAAACGGAUCACACAGUCACUCAGUGAAGACAAAAGAUAGAGAAAACAUACAAUGACUUCACACAGAGUAACAGUAAGUAAAGAGAAGGGAAGGAUGAAACCAGUGACUCGUUGAAGACAAAGAUUUGUUGGACCAGUUCCAGUUGCUGUGACAACUGUACGUCUGGUUAGGGCGGCUAGGUAUUUAAACCAAAGGACACACAGUCCCGGACACCCAGUCCUGAACACGCAGCUCAGGACAUCCAGUCCUCACCGUAUUCCCCUUGAGCUAAGGUCACACAGACCUCGCCCAAUCACUCUGGUAAGUCUUCAAGGUAGACUCCCAAACCUUCACAGACUUCGUUCACCGGCAAUCCACAAUGUCUCUUGGAUGCUCAGAACGCGAUGCCUAACCAGCUGGAGGAUGCACAGUCCUCAAGUGUAAUAAGUCUUCAGAUCACUCAGACAAGAAGACUUAAGUGAUGCCUAAUUCUCUUUCGCUCUGGGUGGUUAGGGCUUUAUCCUCGCAAGGAAUUCUCUCUCAAAGGCUUCGAGGUGGGUUGCUCUCAAACGACAAAAGCCGUACUUUGAAUCUGAGUAGCCAACCGUUUAUGGUUGUAGGGGGUGGGCUAUUUAUAGCCACUAGGCAACCCGACCUGAUUUGUCCGAAAUGACCCUGGGUCACUAAGGAACUAACAUGUGUUCCAACGGUCAAAUUUCAAACUCACACGGAAACUUUACUUGGGCUACAAGCAAAGCUGACUUGUCCGACUCUGGACAAGAUUUUCUCUCAUAGUCUUCACUCGAAGACAUAGGUUUUUGUUUAAGCAUCACUUUAGUCAUUCUGACUGGCUCUCUUGGACCCCACUUAACAGUAUGUUGGUUCCUAUGACUCAACACAGAAGAAAAAGAACUACGAAAAAUCUAAGUGUUCAAGCUCCAUAGGCUUCAUGCGGUGUCUUCUCUUGUCAUAGUCUUCAAUGUGAAUAUCUUCAUAUACCACCUUUGACAUCAAUGUCUUCAUACACUUUUAGGGGUCAUCUCUGGUGGGAAAACCGAAUCAAUGAGGUACUUCUACCUGUGUUAUCCUGCAAUUCUCACAAACACAUUAGUCCCUCAACUAGGUUUGUCGUCAAUACUCCAAAACCAACUAGGGGUGGCACUAGAUGCACUUACAAUCUCCCCCCUUUUGGUGAUUGAUGACAAACUAGUUGAAGUUUUCAACGGGGAAUAUAAUGUGUGAAAUUGUAAAGGAUAAGGAAUUGUCUUCAUAAGUUACAAGGGCUCCCCCUGAAGAUGUGCAUAUAAGUAAUUUGCUUUUGGAAUGCAAAUGCACAUGGCAGGUUGUGCUUGUGGAGAUCCACUUCAACUUAUGAUGACAAUCCACUAUGCAUGUGAAAGUAUGUGAAGAUAAUGACAUGCAUAAUGGAAAAUGGAUGUCUGCAGAAUGAUCUAAGUGCGGAAUCUAUCAUCGCACAUGCGGAAUUUAUCAUCACAACACAAGGUAGCAAAUAGGUAGCAGACGACCAUCAAGUUUAAGUGUUACAACUCAAAGAACCAAAUGUUUCAAAACGAGAGUUGUAAGCACGAAGCAAAAUAUAAAACACCCGCCCAUAUGGACCCAUUUGAAGACUAUCAAACUCAUAUGCUUCUCCCCCUUUUGACAGUAAGGACCAAAAAGGUUUGAAGACAUAGAGCCUCUACUCGUUCCCAUGAGGAGUAGGUGAAGCAGCAGGAUCGUUGAUGGUGUUUGGCAGUGCAGACGAGCUUGGAGCAGUGUCGACGUGUGCUGAAGGAGGCGGCGAAGAAGUAGCAUCGUCUUCAUCCUCGAUCACUCUGGCAUUCACGGUUGCAGUAGAGGAAGAGAACUCAGGGUCUUCAAGUGAUGGAGUUCGUCGCAGCACAGCCCUGCGAGGAGGUGUGGAGUCAAACUUGAAGCGCUCAGUGAAGCCAUCCUCUUGCAGAUCAUCUUCAGAACACAGCAGCGUCAGCCCUUUCCAUGUGCGUCGAGAUGUUUCAUGAGCAACAAAGGCGUUCUUGGUGGCAAGAUUGUGAAUGCGAUUAACAUCCACCAAGAGGCUUUGCAUUUGACGCUUUAGCCAGUCAUGAUGCCUAUCCUGUUUCUGAUGAAGGGCCACCAGAAGCUCUCGGUCAUUGAGGACACGAGUGCGCUUCUUGGGUCGUUGAGCAAUGGUGCUAUCAGUGGCUUCAGUAAGAGCAGGAUGCGGGGCACGGGUAGUGCCAGCCAAAGGAUACACACGUGUUACUGCUUCAAUGCCUUCAACGUUCCGAGAGAAACUUUGAUGCUCUGCAUUCUGAAGACUUAGAGGUUCCUUGGCAGGCUCAGGAUAUAUGGCUUCAAUAGACAUAUCCACAUCAGGCAAAAAGAUCCGAUGAUUGCGGGCAGAUGGCUGAUAUGAGAUAGCAGAGUGAAGUUUGAUCAGCCGCAUCACCCAAGGGGCGUAGAACUUCAACCCAAAUAGAUCAGAGCCAGAUGCAGCAAGUUGGCGAAUGAAGAAAUCCUAUGUAUUGAAGCAUUUUCCAUGAAGAAUAUAGAAGACCAAAGUCUUCAUUGCACCUUCCAGCUGGGCAUGGGGAGAAUGUCCUUUGAUUGGCCAGAGAGUUCGCCUUAUGAUAUGAUAAAUGGUCCUUGGCAGAUACUCAAGGUCUUCAACAAAGAACUCCGUGGGAUAAGCAGCAUCUUGGGGCAAUGGCUUCAUCAUACUGAGCAUCUGACUCAUAUUGGGUUCAGUCUUCUGAAAGAUGCUCUCAACAGCUUCAAUGUGAAGCUGACAGCCAUGCUCAUAGAGAUCGCCAGGAGUGGGCAAGCCAGUGAGCUCAAUGAUGUCAAAGACUUUGGCUUCGUGAUGAACAUUUCCAGUCAUCCACUCUAGGACCCAAGUCUUUGGAUCUCUGUUAUACCCGCGGAUGUGAAGUGUGGCAUAGAACUGGAGCAGCAACUCUUCAUUCCAAUGCUCUUGGUCAGUGACGAAUGGUAGCAGCCCAACUUCAUUGAAGCAAUCCAAAGCUUCUUCCAGACAGGCAGACCAGCUAUAGCUUCAAUGUCAAGGCGCUUGUGUGGGAAGAUGCGACCUUUGUUGUAAAGAAUGCAUGAGUAAUAGCUUCGCUGCUGAUAGCUCCAGAACCGAUCAGAUGAUAUUCUUUCCCUGGAGUAGGGGUUCCUGGAGCUAUUGAAGAAUGUGUUGUCUGCUCUGAAGCCAUUGAUGUUAAAGGAGCCAGGUGCUAAUGCAGGACCUGGGAACCUGGGCAAUCUUGGGAUUGGCUUCUGGACCUGAGGCCUGUGCUCAACAUGAUAGUCGAAUUGGGGACCGGCAGCAGACGCAGGAACAGGAGCAGCAGGAUUAGUGGCUUCGCUGACUUCUGGUGCUGUUGGGGGUGAGGGCUCCACAUUAGCUUCAGCCAUGACGGUGUCAGUGGCUUCAGUGGUGUUGGUGGUGGCAGCCUCUAGAUUUUCAACCUCCACUUGACGAGCUGGAGGGUCGGUCAUGAUCACGUUCUCCUCGAGAACCGCUUCUUGGUGGGGCAGGGGAGUAGCAGCUUGUGGAACUUCUUCUUCCGUGGCUGAUGCAGCUAGAUUGUCUUCAGCAGAGACUUGAGGCCUUGGACCUUUGUGAAGCCUGCGCAACGCGGGCGAUGCCUGUGGAGCUGGAGUGGGCUGGGCCUCAUAGUCUUCUUCCUCUUGUUGGCGAUCCGCCCAUGAAGCAUCCUGUGCCAUUGGCGUCAGUGGACGACCAAUGCUGAUGAGUUCGUUGUUUUCAAGCUGAGGAAGAACUGCACCAUCUUCUACAUGGUCAUGUUGACCAAUGUCUUCAGCAGUGAUGGGAUCAGCUGUUGGAAAGUCUUUAGCUUUAUGAGCCUCUGUGGAAGCAGGCUCAUGGAUUGUCAGUUGGCGUUCAGCUUCAGGAUAGACCAUUGAAAUAGGUUCAACUAUCAAAGGCUCUGUGGGAGCAGCCUGUUCCUUCUUGGUCUUUCGUUUCUUCUUGGAGGGGGCAGUAGGAGAGGCUUCAGGAUGUUUCCUCUUCCUGGCUUCAGCCUCAGCAGUCCUUGUCUUCUUGAGCUCUGAAGCGGUUGACCGGCUUUUUGGCUUCAAGCCAGUCAGUCUAGUUGGGAAGACAAUCGGAACUGCUUCCUGCCUUGGUGCGUCGGAUUCAGCCGUAGCAGUCUUCUUCUUCUUCUUUGCGGCCAUCCUAGGGUCAAUGCCAGGACGCCCAAGGGCCUUGCGCUUCUCAGCCUCAUUGUAGGCUUGCACACAUCUGUCAGCCAGAGCCUUCAUGCGCUCACGUGAAUCCCGAGCUUCUGCACAUUUCUUCAGAAAGGCUUCCUUGAGCUCGUGCAUCAUGAUCUUGAAGUUCUUCACUUCUUGCACACUGAGCUUGGCCAUAUGCUUCUUGAACUGAGCCUUUUCAUAGUCAAUCUUCUGCUUUAGUUCAACAACGUGUCGGGCGAUGGCUAGCUCUGAAGCAAUGGCGCCUUGGAAGGCGACACUGAGGCCAAUGGGUAGCUGCAGAUCAUCAAAGCUGAUGUUUGGCAUAUCAAACCACUCGUCAAUGAAGUUGUGGAUGAUGGUUACAUCAAAGAGAGGCAGAUCAUUGAAGAUUUCGGCUUCUUCUUUGCUCUUGAUGAGUUGCUCAAGAGCGUCAUCUGCAAGAUCUUCAUCACUUGACAGAUCAAUGUCAUCAUUGCGCAGAAUGGCAGCAGCUGUUAGCUCUUGGCCGGUGUGUGGCAGAGGCAUCUUGGCCUUCUAGGGCUUGGAGAUGCGUGAUAAAUCUUCGGACUGCACACUGUCUUCAGGAGAUGCAGUUGCCAGUGGCUUCGCCCUUGAGAUUUUUGGUGAAGGGGCAGGCUUUGAAGCUUUGGGCUUCUUCAACUUCUUUGGUGUUGGCGCUGCAGGCGCUUCAUCUGAUUCAGCGUUAGCUGCAGGCUCAUUCACGGUUGUCCCUUGAACCAAGAUAUGGGUGAUGAGUCCUGCAAGGUUGUAGAAAGGACCGACGACAUUGGGUUCCGCAUCGCGUGUGCCGUCAGCCCUUGGAGCAGAAGGACCAGGGUUGAAGUCUAAUCCAAAAGACUUCUUGUUCUGCUUUGCUGAGUUCUUGGCAAACUGGAAGUUGCGCUUGAAUAGAUUGUCGUCACGGCACCAUAGUAGUGACGAUGGGUGUGCAUCUGCAGGCUGUGGCCCACGCACCAUGCAGGGAUAGAAGCCUUGUUCAAUGGCUUCUUCUCUGGACCUGGGUUGAAGAUUCUUGUAUAGGAUGUCUCCCCAUGGUCUCUUGAUGGCAUUUCUCUCAGCAUAUUCCUGGGUCACAAACCGGUAUUUGAACCAUUGUUCUGCCCAAUAUCUUCGAAUCCAUUGGAUUCGGGUCUUGCGCUGAUUAUAAUCCUGUUCAGGAUCUGUCUUGUAAAGCUCUGAGAGGUCAUCAGGAAAAUCUCUUGAUGUCCCCCCACGACGCUGUCUGCCACCCUUCCUUACUGAUUUCUCUGCAGCCAUGAACUUCAAACUGAAAGGCUUCAAAACGUUCAAAGGCUUCAAAGGUUUUCGCUUGCUGGACAAACAGGAACUGGCUUCGGGAGAAUUUAUAUGAUGCUGUAAGAAUUCUGCAAAUGAAUGCAGACUAUGAGAACCAAGGGAUUCUCCCAUGGACAUGUACCUGUGACAACAUUAAGGUGCAAGGGAAGGGGAAGAGGUCAUAUGCAUUCUCAGGAGAUUUUGAAGAUAAAUCAGUUUAGAAGACAUUGACCUCAUCGUGCGAAGACAUUCACUCAUAGAUAAGGAGUUGGUUCCAGAUUUGUACGAAUCCAGUGAUCAGUACAAGUGAGGAAUCUAACUACUUGUGAAGCAUAAGUGAAUAUACUAGGCAUGUUAUGAGAUGCAGUAGGAAAGAGAUCCAACUUGUGUGAAUAGAAACUUCUUAUGGUAGAAAGUGACAAAGCCAUAGGAUCAAAAGGGGCCGUAAAAAGAAGUUUUAUUUACCACACUUGGAACUGCUAGAUGGAGUGGAAGAGGAGGCCGAGCAGUUCGAUCUUCUGUGCCCUAACUUGGCGACGAAGGACACCUACGGCGACGGCGGAGAGGACGAUGUCCGCGGUCGGUGUGAAGACGGCGUCGGAGAGGUUGCGGCAGUGAAGCGCUUCGUCGCCGGCGUCGUCGAGGGCUAGCAGUGGCACUAGGGUUCGUGCGAGGGUGGAAGAAGAGAUGAUGACCGCUGUGAAGGGUGUAUUUAUAGGUACAGGGGCGGCACUGCGUUAUUACACAGGUGCCCCUGGCGAUUCACAUCUGAGGAACACGUGGCCAUCAUGCAGUAUAUUGGGGUUUGUUCCACGUCUCACGCACGCCUAGAUUGUCGGGUGGUCGUUCCUACUUCUCCGGGUUUCAUGUGGAGGAAUGGGCAUUGAAAACGGACUUAAUGUUUGUCUCUGUAUGUUCUGCUGACAAGGACGCAGAGAAGACAUUCGACAGUUUCAAUAGAAUGCAUAUGAUUUGGAGAGAUAGAGUUUGAGAUAGAGAGCACAGAGAGGUUAGGGUCCGAUCACAUUCACUUAGAUCAAAAGAUUCAACAAGAAGACAUAGCUAUAAGUGAAUACUGUAGAGGACAGAACACUAGUAUAUAUAUAUAUAUAUAAUCAACAUAGUGAAGAUAAUCAUGAAAACAUGUUGAGAUUGAAACCAAACCAAAUGUGAAGUCAUAGCAAGGUAAUGCCAUGAGUGAAACACUUCAAAUAGAACAUUUGGUGGUGGCGUUACCCACCGUAUAGGAAGUAUUAGACCCAGACACGGCGCACAAUUAUCGUGGCGCUCCGAAGUCAAAUUCCACAUUAAUGUAUUCACACUUAGAAUGUAUGUCUUCAUUGAUUGAAGAUAUACUUUACUUCGUGUGUUGCACAUCUAAGUCAUCAAUAUGCAUAAGGGUUAGGAUGUGUGCCUGAUCACAGGACAUUUGAGGAUUCCAGGAUAUUUAGCUCACAUCGUAACUUGCAAAAUCUCUUCUCAUCCAAGGGCUUGGUGAAGAUAUCUGCCAAUUGCUCUUCAGUGUUGACGUGUAUGAUAUCAAUAUCUUCCUUCACAACAUGAUCUCUGAGAAAGUGAUGACGAAUUUCAAUGUGCUUUGUCUUCGAGUGCUGAACAGGGUUGUUGGCAAUCUUGAUGGCGCUUUCGUUGUCACAGUAGAGUGGCACUUGCUUCAGAUGAAUGCCAUAGUCCUUGAGGGUUUGCUUCAUCCACAGAAGCUGAGCGCAGCAAGAUCCAGCAGCAAUGUAUUCAGAUUCAGCAGUGGAGAGAGAUACACAGUUCUGCUUCUUUGAAGACCAACAUACAGGUGAUCGUCCCAGAAAAUGACAUGUGCCUGAUGUAGACUUGCGAUCCACCUUGUCACCAGCAUAAUCAGCAUCCGAGAAUCCAACCAGAUCAAACUCUGAGCCCUUUGGAUACCAUAAUCCUAGAGUUGGGGUGUGAGCCAAAUAUCGAAGAAUUCGCUUCACAGCUAGGUGAUGCGACUCCUUUGGUGCCGCUUGAAAUCGAGCACACAUGCAAACACUAAGCAUAAUAUCUGGCCUAGAUGCACAUAGAUAAAGCAAAGAACCAAUCAUGGAGCGGUAUACCUUUUGAUCGAACUCUUUACCAUUGUCGUCAGGACCCAGAUGAUGCUUGGCUGGUAUUGGCGUCGUGAACCCUUUGCAGUCUUGCAUACCGAACUUCUUAAGGCAAUCCUUGAGAUGCUUCUCUUGAGAUAUGAAGAUGCCGUUGCGUUGCUGUCGUAUUUGAAUACCGAGGAAAAACUUCAGCUCUCCAUCAUGGACAUCUGAUAUUGCUCUUGCAUCAUAUAUCCAAACUCUUCACUGUACUUCUGAUUGGUGCAGCCGAAGAUAAUGUCAUCCACAUAUAUUUGGCACACAAACAGUUAACCAUCAUAUGUCUUCGUGAAGAGAGUGGGGUCGAGGGAACCAGGUAUGAAGCCUUUGCUCUUCAGGAAGUAUUUGAGUGUGUCAUACCAGGCCCGAGGGGCUUGUUUGAGGCCAUAUAGUGCCUUGUUGAGCUUGUAUACCGUAUCAGGAUGUUUUAGAUCUUCAGAGCCAGGUGGUUGUGCAACAUACACUUCUUCUUCAAUCUUUCCAUUGAGAAAGGCGCUCUUCACAUCCAUUUGAUAAAGAAGUAUGUUGUGAUGAUUUGCAUAGGCCAGCAGUAUGCGUAUGGCUUCAAGUCUAGCCACAGGAGCAAAUGUUUCAUUGAAGUCAAUGCCUUCCACUUGAGUAUAUCCUUGAGCAACUAGACGAGCUUUGUUUCUGACAACUUGACCAUGCUCAUCUUGCUUGUUGCGGUAUAUCCAUUUUGUGCCUAUUAUGUUGUGCUUCCGAGGAUCAGGACGCUUAACCAGUUCCCAUACAUUAUUCAGCUCAAACCGUUGAAGCUCUUCUUGCAUAGCUUGAAUCCAUUCAGGUUCCAUGAAGGCUUCUUCCACUUUCUUGGGUUCUGUUAUUGAGACGAAUGCGAAGUGCCCACAGAAAUUUGCCAGCUGGGUUGCCCUUGAUCGACUGAGCGGACCAGGUGCAUUGAUGCUGUCAAUUAUUCUCUCAAUUUGCACUUCAUUGGCAACACGAGGAUGUACAGGGCGAAGACUUUGCUCUUGCUGAUCAUUGUCGUUGUUGGAGGGAUUGUCUUCAGGUUGAGCAUUGUCUUCAGGUUGAUCUGGUGCAGAGAUGAUGAGUUCCUCUUCAGGAUGAGCUUUAGAAGGUAUGAUUUCUCCAGUUCCCAUUAGCUUGAUUGAUUCACUGGAUGGAACUUCAUCUAGCACAUUUGGCAGGUGCUCUCUUUGUGAACCGUUAGUCUCAUCGAACCGCACAUCCACGGUUUCAACCACUUUAUAAUGAAAGAGGUUGAAGACUCUGUAGGAGUGCGAAUCCUUUCCAUAUCCAAGCAUAAAACCCUCAUGUGCUUUUGGGGCAAACUUUGAAGUGUGAUGUGGGUCCUUGAUCCAGCACCUUGCGCCAAAUACUCUGAAGUAACUGGCAUUUGGCUUCUUGCCAGUGAGGAGCUCAUACGAUGUCUUGUUCAGAAGCUUGUGAAGAUAAACACGAUUGAUUGUAUGGCAUGCAGUAUCAAUGGCUUCAGGCCAGAAUUUUCUUGGAGUCUUGUAUUCAUCUAGCAUUGUUCUGGCCAUCUCAAUGAGUGUUCUGUUCUUGCAUUCGACGACGCCAUUCUGCUGUGGCGUGUACGGGGCUGAGAAUUCAUGUGUGAUGCCCAAGGUAUCAAGAUAUGUAUCAAGGCCAGUGUUCUUGAAUUCAGUGCCAUUGUCACUUUUGAUGUGCUUUAUCUUGGCACCAUAGUUGUUCAUUGCUCGAUUGGCGAAGCGUUUGAAGACAUCCUGCACUUCAGUCUUGUAAAGGAUUAUAUGCACCCAAGUGUAUCUAGAAUAAUCAUCAAUAAUGAAGAAGCCAUAGAGACAAGCAGUAGUAGUAAGAGUUGAGUAAUGAGUGGGACCGAAAAGAUCCAUGUGAAGCAGCUCGAAGGGUCGAGUAGUAGUCAUGAUUGUCUUCGAGGGAUGCUUGGCCCUCGUCAUCUUUCCUGCUUCACAGGCACCGCAUAAGUGAUCUUUCUUGAACUUGACGCCCUCAAUGCCUAUGACAUGCUUCUUCUUUGCCAGGGUGUGGAGGUUCCUCAUGCCAGCAUGCCCAAGCCUCCGAUGCCAGAGCCAGCAUUCUGAAGCUUUUGCUAGAAGACAUACGGCAAGUUGUGGUCCUGCUGAGAAAUCUACCACGUACAGAUCGUCUUUCCGAUACCCUUCAAACACUAGAGACUUGUCAGAUUCCAUUAGAACAAGGCAACAAUAUUUUCCAAAUAUUACGAUCAUGUUCAAAUCGCAUAGCAUUGAGACAGACAUUAAGUUGAAGCCAAGGGAUUCAACAAGCAUGACUUUAUCCAUGUGUUGAUCCUUUGAGAUUGCAACUCUACCUAGACCCAAUACCUUACUUUUACCAGUGUCAGCAAAUGUGAUGUGGCUCUUGUCGGAAGGACGUAAGGUUGAGUCCAUCAGAAGGCUUCUUUUGCCAGUCAUGUGAUUUGUACACCCACUAUCAGUAAUCCAUUCUGUAUACGCUGGUGUCGUACCCUACAGUGCAGUUAGGGGGAUAGGCUUCACGAAGAGAGUUGUGAAGCAAAAACAUUUGACGAACCAGUGGGUUAUGAAAGCUUAGAUCCAGAUUAGUACUGAUAGGGAGAGUAGCAAGCGAUUCAGGAACGAAGUACAUAGUAAGACCAUUCGGCAUUUGAUCUUGCGCCCUACAAGAUGUUUAAGGUCCCCAGCGAUAGCGUCAGAAGAUUUUGGUUUUCUGCUGGAGACCUUUCCCUGCAAAAGAGAGUUAAGCCUUCUUAACAACCCACAUCUUCAAGGGUGGCUUAGAAGCGAUAAGUCUAAGUGCAGAGUCUGAAAACUUUGGCUUUGGGGCUCUAGCAAAAAGUCUUGCAGGUGGACAAUAAUACUCAUAAGAAUAAGCAGAAUAGUUUUUGGUCUUAUGAACAUGGCGGUUCGAUGAACCGCGCUCAUAUUCAUAGGCCUGAGUAUGGUUUCCCUGCAAAACAUUUGCAUUAGUCCGACUCAGGUGAGUCCUCUGUCUGUAUGAAGCCUUUGGGCCAUAUGAAGCCUGUGGUCUGGGGUUUGUCUUCUUCAUCUAUGGUGUCAUGAUGACAUUCACAGGAAGAUUUUCCAAACACCUUUUGGGCACCCAGACCUUCUUCAUAGGCGGUCCAUUCCUGCAGUUAGUACCAAUGUACCUGGCAAAAACUUCACCAUUCUGAUUCUUAAAUAGUUUAUAGUUUGCAUCAAAGGAUUCAUCAAUGACAAUGGGGUUAGCACAAGUGAAGCCAGAUAGACUGGAUGGAUUUGCUGAAGGUUCCUUUGCAGCAACCCAUGUGGUUUUGGGAUACUGCUCGGGUUUCUAGUAAGAGCCAUCAGCAUUCAUUUUCCUUAUGAACCCAACACCCUCUUUCCUCGGGUUUCGGUUCAGAAUCUGCCUUUUGAGGACAUCACAUAGUGUCUGAUGCCCUUUAAGACUUUUGUACAUCCCUGUUUCAAGCAAUGUCUUCAACCUAGCAUUCUCAUCAGCAAUCGCAGUAGUAUCCUCAGUAGAGGGGUUAGUUACCACAUCAACAGUUGAAGAUAUUGCAACAGUAGCAGUAGUAGAACAUUCAGCAACAGAAGCAGCAUUAUCACGCUCAAUGCAUUUAAGACAUGGUGGUUCAAAUCCUUCCUGAGCGGAACUGAUCUGUUCGGCGCGAAGUGACUCGUUUUCCUUUUGAAGAUCUUCAUGAGCCGCUCUCAAUUUCUCAAGAUCUUGCUUCCUUUGAAGAUAAUCAUAGGAAAGCUUUUCAUGAGUUGUUGAGAGCGUUUCAUGACAACUUUCAAGUUCCUCAUAUUUAACGUGAAGAUUUUUUAUGUCUUGAAUUAAGGAUUCAGAUCGAGUCAUUUCAACGCCCAACAAAUCAUCGCUUUUGUCUAACAGUUUUUGAAUAUGUUCCAUGGCUUUCUGUUGUUCAGUUGCAAUUUUAGCAAGUGUUUUGUAGCUGGGUCUUGAAUCACAAUCAGAGUCAUCAUCACUAGAUGUUUGAUAGUGAGUAGUGCGUGUGUUUACCUUGGCACCGUGUGCCAUGAAGCAGUAGGUAGGAGCAGAGUCGUCCUUGUCAUUUGCAUCGGCGUCGGUGGUGAAGUCAUUGUCUUCAGUGUUGAAGAUGGACUUGGCAACGUAUGCUGUAGCCAGACUUGCAACACCAGAAUCGGACUCCUCCUCAGACUCCACCUCCGCCUCCUCAGACGCGGACUCCUCCUCUGAAUCCAUUUCCUUGCCAACAAACGCACGUGCCUUGCCAGAUGAGCUCUUCUUGUGUGAUGAAGACUUUGAGGAAGACUUGGAAGAAGACUUUGAGUAUUUCUUCUUCUUCUUGUCGUCAGAGUCAUAUUCCUUGCUCUUCUUCUUCUUUCUAUUCUCAUUGUCCCACUGCGGACACUCAGAGAUGAAGUGGCUAGUUUUCUUGCACUUGUGACAUGUUUUCUUCUUGUAGUCAUGAGCAGAAGCUUCAUCAUUCCUUGAGCUUGAUCGUGAAGACUUUCUGAAGCCUUUCUUCUUGGGGAAUCUUUGGAACUUCUUUACAAGCAUAGCAAGUUCCUUUCCAAUGUCUUCAGGAUCGUCAGAACUGCUGUCAGAUUCUUCUUCAGAUGAGGAGACAACUUUUGCCUUCAGGGCACGAGUUCGCCCAUAGUUUGGACCGUAGAUAUCUCUUUUCUCAGAAAGCUGAAACUCAUGUGUGUUGAGCCUCUCAAGUAUGUCGGACGGAUCGAGUAUCUUGAAAUCAGGUCGUUCUUGAAUCAUCAGGGCUAGGGUGUCAAACAAACUGUCAAGUGAUCUCAGUAGUGUCUUGACGACUUCAUGCUUGGUGAUCUCAGUGGCGCCGAGCGCUUGAAGCUCAUUUGUGAUGUCAGUGAGUCGGUCAAAUGUGAGCUGGACAUUCUCAUUGUCAUUUCGCUUGAAGCGGUUAAAGAGGUUGCGAAGAACGCUGAUUCUCUGAUCUCUCUGGGUUGAGACGCCUUCGUUGACCUUGGAGAGCUAGUCCCAGACCAGCUUCGAUGUUUCCAAAGUGCUCACACGGCCAUACUGUCCUUUGGUCAGAUGACCACAGAUAAUGUUCUUGGCAGUAGAGUCCAGUUGAACGAACUUCUUGACAUCAGCAACAGUGACACCUUCUCCAGCCUUGGGAACGCCGUUCUUGACGACAUACCAUAGGUCGACGUCAAUGGCUUCAAGAUGCAUGCGCAUCUUAUUCUUCCAGUAGGGAUAUUCAGUUCCAUCGAAGACGGGGCACGCAACGGAGACUUUAAUUAUCCCUGCAGUCGACAUAGCUAAAACUCCAGGUGGUUAAACCGAAUCACACAGAACAAGGGAGCACCUUGCUCUCAUACCAAUUGAAAGUGCAUUAUAUCGACUAGAGGGGGUGACUAGGCGAUUUUUAUGAAAGUCUUAAAAACAUGGAAGUUUCGAAGACAAAUGAUAGAAAUAAACCUAUUACCAUGCAGCGGAAGUUAGACUACACUAGAUAAACCAUAGUCAUGUAUUCAAUGAAGUGAAAGGACAAUGACUAAUAGUAGCUAGGUAGUAAGGAUCAGGCAGGAAGAUAUUAAGAAGCCAAACGGAUCACACAGUCACUCAGUGAAGACAAAAGAUAGAGCAAACAUACAAUGACUUCACACAGAGUAACAGUAAGUAAAGAGAAGGGAAGGAUGAAACCAGUGACUCGUUGAAGACAAAUAUUUGUUGGACCAGUUCCAGUUGCUGUGACAACUGUACGUCUGGUUAGGGCGGCUAGGUAUUUAAACCAAAGGACACAUAGUCCCGGACACCCAGUCCUGAACACGCAGCUCAGGACACCCAGUCCUCACAGUAUUCCCCUUGAGCUAAGGUCACACAGACCUCGCCCAAUCACUCUGGUAAGUCUUCAAGGUAGACUCCCAAACCUUCACAGACUUCGUUCACCGGCAAUCCACAAUGUCUCUUGGAUGCUAUAACGCGACGCCUAACUGGCUGGAGGAUGCACAGUCCUCAAGUGUAAUAAGUCUUCAUAUCACUCAGACAAGAAGACUUAAGUGAUGCCUAAUUCUCUUUGGCUCUGGGUGGUUAGGGCUUUAUCCUCGCAAGGAAUUCUCUCUCAAAGGCUUCGAGGUGGGUUGCUCUCAAACGACAAAAGCCGUACUCUGAAUCCGAGCAGCCAACCGUUUAUGGUUGUAGGGGGUGGGCUAUUUAUAGCCACUAGGCAACCCGACAUGAUUUGUCCGAAAUGACCCUGGGUCACUAAGGAACUGACACGUGUUCCAACGGUCAGAUUUCAAACUCACACGGCAACUUUACUUGGGCUACAAGCAAAGCUGACUUGUCCGACUCUGGACAAGAUUUGCUCUCAUAGUCUUCACUCGAAGACAUAGGUUUUUGUUUAAGCAUCACUUCAGUCAUUCUGACUGGUUCUCUUGGACCCCACUUAACAGUGCGGUGGUUCCUAUGACUCAACACAGAAGAAAAAGAACUACGAAAGAUCUAAGUCUUCGAGCUCCAUAGGCUUCAUGCAGUGUCUUCUCUUGUCAUAGUCUUCAAUGUGAAUAUCUUCAUAUACCACCUUUGACAUCAAUGUCUUCAUACAUUUUUAGGGGUCAUCUCUGGUGGGAAAACCAAAUCAAUGAGGUACUUCUACCUGUGUUAUCCUGCAAUUCUCAUAAACACAUUAGUCCCUCAACUAGGUUUGUCGUCAAUACUCCAAAACCAACUAGGGGUGGCACUAGAUGCACUUACACAGUCGUCUCUAAAGCAUAACCCCAAAAUGAUAGCAGUAAAUUAGUAAGAGACAUCAUAGAUCGCACCAUAUCUAAUAAAGUGCGGUUACGAUGUUCGGACACACCAUUAUGUUGUGGUGUUCCGUGUGGCGUGAGUUGCGAAACUGUUCUGCAUUGUUUCAAAUGAAGACCAAACACGUAACUCAAAUAUUCACCUCCACGAUCAGAUUGUAGAAACUUUAUUUUCUUGUUACGAUAUUUUUCCUCUUCACUCUGAAUUUUUUUGAACUUUUCAAAUGUUUCAGACUUAUGUUUCAUCAAGUAGAUAUACCCAUAUCUGCUCAAAUCAUCUGUGAAGGUCAGAAAAUAACAAUACCCGCCGCGAGCCUCAACACUCAUCGGACCGCAUACAUCCGUAUGUAUUAUUUCCAACAAGUCUAUUGCUCACUCCAUUGUUCCGGAGAAUGGAGUCUUAGUCAUCUUGCCCAUGAGGCAUGGUUCGCAAGCAUCAAGUGAUUCAUAAUCAAGUGAUUCCAAAAGUCCAUCAGCAUGGAGUUUCUUCAUGCGCUUUACACCAAUAUGACCUAAACGGCAGUGCCACAAAUAAGUUGCACUAUCAUUAUUAACCUUGCAUCUUUUGGCUUCAAUAUUAUGAAUAUGUGUGUCACUAUUGUCGAGAUUCAAUAAAAAUAGAUCACUCAUCAAGGGUGCAUGACCAUAAAAGAUAUUACUCAUAUAAAUAGAACAACCAUUAUUCUCUGAUUUAAAUGAAUAUCCGUCUCGCAUCAAACAAGAUCCAGAUAUAAUGUUCAUGCUUAACGUUGGCACCAAAUAACAAUUAUUCAGGUCUAAAACUAAUCCCGAUGGUAGAUGUAGAGGUAGCAUGCUGACGGCGAUCACAUCGACUUUGGAACCAUUUCCCACGCGCAUCGUCACCUCGUCCUUAGCCAAUCUUCGCUUAAUCCGUAGCCCAUGUUUCGAGUUGCAAAUAUGAGCAACAGAACCAGUAUCAAAUACCUAGGCGCUACUACGAGCAUUAGUAAGGUACACAUUAAUAACAUGUAUAUCAAAUAUACCUUUCACUUUGCCAUCCUUCUUAUCCAUCAAAUACUUGGGGUAGUUCCGCUUCCAAUGACCAGUCCCUUUGUAGUAGAAGCAUUCAGUCUCCGGCUUAGGUCCAGACUUGGGCUUCUUCACUUGAGCAACAACUUGCUUGUCAUUCUUCUUGAAGUUCCCCUUCUUCCCUUUGCCCUUUUUCUUGAUACUGGUGGUCUUGUUGACCAUCAACACUUGAUGCUCCUUCUUGAUUUCUACCUCUACAGCCUUUAGCAUUGCGAAGAGCUCGGGAAUUGUCUUAUCCAUCCCUUGCAUAUUAUAGUUCAUCAUGAAGCUUUUGUAGCUUGGUGGCAGUGAUUGAAGAACUCUGUCAAUGACACUAUCAUCAGGAAGAUUAACUCCUAGUUGAGUCAAGUGGUUGUGGUACCUGGACAUUUUGAGUAUAUGUUCACUAACAAAACUAUUCUCCUCCAUCUUACAGCUGUAGAACUUAUUGGAGACUUCAUAUCUCUCAAUCCGGGCAUUUGCUUGAAAAUUUUACUUCGACUCCUGGAACAUCUCAUAUGCUCCAUGAUGUUCAAAACGUUGUUGAAGUCCCGAUUCUAAGCCGUAAAGCAUGGCACACUAAACUAUCGAGUAGUCAUCGGCUUUGCUCUACCAGACGUUCAUAAUGUCCGGUGUUGCUUGAUACGUCUCCGUCGUAUCUACUUUUCCAAACACUUUUGUCCUUGUUUUGGACUCUAACUUGCAUGAUUUGAAUGGAACUAACCCGGACUGACGCUGUUUUCAGCAGAAUUACCAUGGUGUUAUUUAUGUGUAGAAAUAAAAGUUCUCGGAAUGACCUGAAACUUCAGGGAACGUCUUUUUGGAAAUAAUAAAAAAUCCUUGCAAAAGAUGAAGACCAGGGGGCCCACACCCUAGCCACGAGGGUGGGGGCGCGCCUGCCCCCCUAGGCGCGACCCCUACCUUGUGGGCCCCCUGGAGCUCCUCCGACCUCAACUCCAACUCUAUAUAUUUGCUUUCAGGGAGAAAAAAAUUAGAGAGAAGGAUUCAUCGCGUUUUACAAUACAGAGCCGCCGCCAAGCCCUAAAACCUCUCAGGAGGGCUGAUCUGGAGUCCGUUCGGGGCUCCGGAGAGGGGAAUCCGUCGCCAUCGUCAUCAUCAACCUUCCUCCAUCACCAAUUUCAUGAUGCUCACCGCCGUGCGUGAGUAAUUCCAUCAUAGGCUUGCUGGACGGUGAUGGGUUGGAUGAUAUUUAUCAUGUAAUCGAGUUAGUUUUGUUAGGGUUUGAUCCCUAGUAUCCACUAUGUUGUGAGAUUGAUGUUGCUAUGACUUUGCUAUGCUUAAUGCUUGUCACUAGGGCCCGAGUGCCAUGAUUUCAGAUCUGAACCUAUUAUGUUUUCAUCAAUAUAUGAGUGUUCUUGAUCCUAUCUUGCAAGUCUAUAGUCACCUACUAUGUGUUAUGAUCUGGCAACCCCGAGGUGACAAUAAUAGGGACCACUCCCGGUGAUGACCGUAGUUUGAGGAGUUCAUGUAUUCAUUAUGUGUUAAUGCUUUGGUCUGGUACUCUAUUAAAAGGAGGCCUUAAUAUCCCUUAGUUUCCGCUAGGACCCCGCUGCCACGGGAGGGUAGGACAAAAGAUGUCAUGCAAGUUCUUUUCCAUAAGCACGUAUGACUAUAUUCGAAAUACAUGCCUACAUUACAUUGAUGAAUUGGAGCUAGUUUUGUGUCACCCUAGGUUAUGACUGUUACAUGAUGAACCGCAUCCGGCGUAAUUCUCUAUCACCGAUCCAUUGCCUACGAGCUUUCCAUAUAUUGUUCUUCACUUAUUUACUUUUCCGUUGCUAUUGCUAUCAUCACUACAAAAUACCAAAAACAUUAAUUUUGCUAUCGUUACCUUUUGCUACCGUUACCACUACUAUCAUAUUACGUUGCUACUAAACACUUUACUACAGAUAUUAAGUUUCUAGGUGUGGUUGAAUUGACAACUCAACUUUCAACUGCUAAUACUUGAUAAUAUUCUUUGGCUCCCCUUGUGUCGAAUCAAUAAAUUUGGGUUGAAUACUCUACCCUCGAAAACUGUUGCGAUCCCCUAUACUUGUGGGUUAUCAAGACUAUUUUCUGGCGUCGUUGCCGGGGAGCAUAGCUCUAUUCUUUGAGUCACUUGGGAUUUAUAUCUGUUUAUCAUUAUGAAGAACUUGAGAGAUCCAAAAACCAAGAUUUAUCUCUCAACUACGAGGGGAGGUAAGGAACUGCCAUCUAGCUCUGCACUUGAUUCACCUUCUAUUUUGAGUAAGCUUGCGACACCUAAACCUGCUUCUGCUAUUCAUUCUGAUAUGUCGCAUGUUAUUAAUGAUGCCACUUGUGCUAUGCAUGAUACUUAUGAUGAAACUACUUCUAUGCUUGAUACUACUGUGCCACUUGGUGAAUUUCUUGAUGAACAACUUGCUAGGGUUAGAGAGAAUGAAAUUAUUGAAACUGAUAAUAUAUAUAUAUAUAUUUGAAUAUAUACUGUAGGGUAAAACCCCCACAGCCCUUUAUUGCAGUCUCAAAAAACAAACUGUACAGUGAAAGAAAGAGAUGACAAGCCUAAACGAAAAGUUAAGAAGAACUUACAAUUACAUGAGGGAGUUAACUCAAUCUACAAGCCUAGACUUAGAGCUAUCCUUAAACCUAUGUGACAGGAGAAGAAUGUCAUGUACAAAACUGCCCCUCCAGGCAACAAAAGUAGCCCGUAGUCCCCUGAAAGUUCUUCCAUUUCUCAGAAUCCAUAUAUUCCAAGCAGCUGUGAGCAUAACUUCAAAGAAGAAAGGAUACCCAAAUCGCUGCCUUGCUUGAGAUAUACAUUGCUGAAUAGAAGAACCAUGUGACCAAUCGAUCUGCAGGUAUUUCCAAACCCUGGCACUGAAAUUACAACCAAAGAAUAGGUGAGCCCUGUCCUCCCAAACAAAGGCAUUACAGAUGACACAUAGAUGAUCAGCCGUAGGGGACCUCCGGUGGCUGCGGACCAGCACGUCCUUUGUGUUGAGUCUGUCAAAGAAUAGGAGCCAGCCAAAAACCUUAAUUUUCAUAGUACAUAUGCUCUGCCAAAGCCACCUGCAGGGUUUAAUAGUUGGGAGGUGUGUAUGCAUGAUGUCAUAGAAGCUCUUUGCAGAAAACUGUCCAGAUUUACCAGGCCAAAUCCAAACAUCAGGCAAUGUUGGAUCUCUCUGGAGAUUGAACAUCCUUCCUUCCAAGGAUUCCAAUUCUGCUGCUGCCUGCUGAGAAAUUGGCAGAUGAAACAUUGAGAACAAAUCCUGGGUUUGCAAAAACUCCCUGACAGAAACCUUAUCAUCCAAAACAAAAGAGAAAAGCCUUGGUAAUCUGAGGCUUAGUGGCCUUGAAGAGCCACCUACAUGGCAAGCAUCCAGCCAAAAGAGAGCAGAAUCACCCAUAUUAACUGGCACUGAAGCAAUUGACCUAUAAGUGUCAGCAAGCUUGAGAAUGUCCUUCCACCAAAAGGAGCCAGUUAGGACUGUUGCAUGGGGCACCACUCCAUCAUAAUAACUAUCCCAAAUCAACUGGACCCAAGGAAUCUGCUGUUUGUUGUAGAACUUAUGCAUUUGUUUGAGAAGCAGACCUUGAUUUUGAACAUUGAGGUUGAGAAUGCCAAGUCCUCCCUUAUCCUUUGGUCUGCAAACUAAAUCACAGGCAGCUAGGGAUUGCUUAGGCACAUCAGAAUUUCCUCUCCACAAACACUGCCUGAAAAUCCUAUCCAACUGUUUGAUAAUACCAGGUGGGAUAUGCAAGCUGCAGAGGAAGUAUAUGGGCAUUGAAGUAAGCACAGAUGUGAGAAAUUGUAACCUGGAUCCUUGGUUGAGCAUGGCAGAGCUAACAGACAGUCUUCUUUCAAGACUAUCCACUAAAGGCAUGAAAUCAAUGAUUCUAGGUCUUGUUGUACCAAGAGGCAAACCCAGAUAUGUGAAAGGUAACUGCUCCGGUUUACAUCCCAGGAUGGAAGACAACCUCUGUGCCUCUGUGGGAUCAACAUUUAGUGGCACCAUUGAAGACUUUCCAAAAUUUACCUUUAGGCCAGUAGACUGUUGGAAAAUAUGGAGCAUGUUCUUGAGAGCCACCAACUGGUCCUGUACUGCAGAAAGGAUAAUUAUUGUGUCAUCUGCAUACUGAAUGAUAGGAAAUUCAGGGUCCUAAGAUGGGAUUGGAAGUGUUAGAACUCCCUUAGCCAGCAUGUUAUUGACCAUUGUUUGAAGAAGAUCGGCAGCUAUGACAAAUAAAAGAGGGGAUAGGGGAUCCCCCUGCCUGACCCCACAUUUAUAUUUGAACUGUUUGCCAGGCACCCCAUUAAGCAAAACAGAUGAUGAUCCUGAGGAGAGAAUCUCUUUAAUCCAAGAAAUCCAUUUGGCAUCAAAACCUUUGUGCUGUAGAACUUGCAAGAUGAAGUCAUGCUCCACAGUGUCAAAAGCUUUGGCAAAAUCCAAUUUCAAAAUGAUGGUUGGCCUUUUGGAUUGAUUGCAUUGAUGUAUAUAUUCAAAAGCCCAAGCCAGGCAGUCCUGAAUGGCUCUGCUCUUCAAAAACCCAUAUUGAUUCUUAUGGAUGCAUUGCAGAAUGACCUUUUGAAGCCUAUUUCCCAAAAGCUUAGUAAGGAACUUGAGGCAUGUGUUAGUAAGAGAGAUUGGUCUAAAAUCCUCAAGUCCUUCAGGAGACAACAUCUUUGGAAUUAAGGUGAUAAGGGAUCCAUUAAUAUUUUCCAAAGAUAGCCUCCCAUCAUAAAACCCCUGAAUGAGAGCCAAGAAAUCCUUCUCAAUGAUGGGCCAACACUUCUUAACAAAAAGACCAUUAAAACCGUGAAAGUGAUGAUGAAGAUUCUCCCCCUAAUAAAUAUGAAUUGCCUGUUGUGCCUGAGGGCUAUGUUAUGGAUGAAGAAAUUGCUAAAGCUAUUUUUGUUUGCAAAGAUAGAUAUGAUCUUAAGAAGUUAUUAGCUAAAUGGAAGCAGCAAUCUCUUAAUGCUAGAAUGAAACCUGACCCUGCUUUUGCUACUUCACCUAUCUGUGUUACUGAUAAGGAUUAUGAAUUCUCUGUUGAUCCUGAUAUAAUUACUUUGGUUGAAUCUGAUCCUUUUCAUGGCUAUGAGUCUAAAACUGUUGUGGCACAUCUUACUAAAUUAAAUGAUAUAGCCACCCUAUUCACUAAUGAUGAGAGAACUCGUUACUUUUAUAUCCUUAAAAUAUUCCUGUUCUCAUUAAAGGGUGAUGCUAAGAUAUGGUUUAAUUCUCUUGAUCCUGGUUGUGUGCGUAGUCCCCAGGAUAUGAUUUAUUACUUCUCUGCUAAAUAUUUCACUGCUCAUAAGAAACAAGCUGCUUUGAGGGAUAUAUAUAAUUUUGUGCAAAUUGAAGAAGAGAGUCUCCCACAAGCUUGGGGGAGGCUUCUCCAAUUACUUAAUGCUUUGCCUGAUCAUCCUCUUAAGAAAAAUGAAAUAUUGGAUAUAUUUUAUAAUGGACUAAGUGAUGCUUCCAGAGAUUACCUGGAUAGUUGUGUUGGUUCUGUUUUCAAGGAAAGAACACCGGAUGAAGCUGAAAUUCUAUUGAAUAAUAUGUUGACAAAAGAAAAUAAUUGGACACUUCCUGAGCCAGCUCCUGAGCCUAUUCCUAAACCAACUCCGAAGAAGAGGGGUAUUCUAUUUCUCAGUCCUGAAGAUAUGCAAGAGGCAAAGAAAUCCAUGAAAGAAAAGGGUAUUAAAGCUGAAGAUGUUAAGAAUUUACCUCCUAUUGAAGAAAUACACGGUCUUAAUUUACCGCCUGUUGAAGAAACAUAUGAUCUUAAUCCAUUACCUAUUGAAGAAAUACAUGGUCUUGAUAACCCGACACAAGUAGUAAAGGUAAACUCUCUCUAUAGAUAUGAUAAAAUUGAAAUCCCUCUUACUAAGUUUGCUAGCCAAUGCUUAGAUGAGUUUGAUAAUUUUAUGGUGAAGCAAGAAGAUUUUAAUUCUUAUUUUGGUAGACAAUUGAAAUACAAUUCAAAUAUGCUUGAACACUUGGGUGAUUAUAUGGCUAAUGUUAAAGGUGAAAUUAAACUUAUUAGCAAACAUGCUUCUAUGGUUACCACUCAAGUAGAACAAGUACUUAAAGCUCAAAAUGAUUUGCUCAAUGAACUGAAUAGUAAGAAUAAUGAUAAUGCUGUUAGAGUUAUGACUAGAGGUGGUAAAAUGACUCAAGAACCUUUGUAUCCUGAAGGCCAUCAUAAGAGAAUUGAGCAAGAUUCUCGGAGAAAUAAUAUAGAUGCACCUAGUUCUUCUAAAAGGAAGAAAAAGAAAAAUGAUAGGACUUUGCAUGCUUCUAGUGAACCUAUUGAUGAAACACCUGAGAAUCCAAAUGAUAUUUCUAUUUCUGAUGCUGAAACACAAUCUGGUAAUGAACCUGAAACUAGUGAUAAUAUUAAUGAUAAUGUUCAUGUUGAUGCUCAACCUAGCAAUGAUAAUGAUAUAGAAAUUGAACCUGUUGUUGAUCUUGAUAACCCACAAUCAAAGAAUCAACGUUAUGAUAAGAGAGACUUUGUUGCUAGGAAACAUGGUAAGGAAAGAGAGCCUUGGGUUCAGAAACCCAUGCCUUUUCCUCCCAAACCAUCCAAGAAAAAGGAUGAUGAGGAUUUUGAGCACUUUGCUGAAAUGAUUAGACCUACCUUUUUGCGUAUGCGAUUAACUGAUAUGCUUAAAAUGAAUCCUUAUGCUAAGUACAUGAAAGAAAUUGUUACUAAUAAAAGAAAGAUACCGGAAGCUGAAAUUUCCACCAUGCUUGCUAAUUAUACUUUUAAAGGUGGAAUACCUAAGAAACUAGGAGAUCCCGGAGUACCAACUAUACCAUGCUCCAUUAAAAGAAAUUAUGUUAAAAUUGCUUUAUGUGAUCUUGGAGUCGGUGUUAGUGUUAUGCCUCUCUCUUUAUAUCAUAGACUUGAUUUGAAUAAGUUGACACCUACUAAAAUAUCUUUGCAAAUGGCUGAUAAAUCAACUGCUAUACCUAUCGGUAUUUGUGAGGAUGUGCCUGCUGUGGUUGCAAACGUUACUAUUUUAAUGGACUUUGUUAUUCUUGAUAUUCCCGAGGACGAUAGUAUGUCUAUUAUUCUUGGAAGACCCUUUUUGAAUACUGCAGGGGCUGUUAUUGAUUGCAACAAAGGCAAUGUCACUUUUCAUGUUAAUGGUAAUGAGCAUACGGUACACUUUCCGAGGAAACAACCUCAAGUCCACAGUAUCAAUUCUAUUGGAAAAAUUCAAUCGAUUAUUUUUGAAGGUUUUGAAUUUCCUCUUCCUACUGUCAAAAGAAAUAUGAUAUUCUUAUUAUUGGGGAUGUGCAUAUCCCCGUUGAGGUAACAUAGUGUUAUUCGAAAUUCCUCCGGUUCCAUGUUAUUCGGAAUGAGUUUGCUAACAAGACUUGAUCAACCAUGUUAACGGAUUCCUUUUGAUGAGCAUGAGAUGGAUGAAACUAGAAGGCACAACUCUCCGUACCCUCCUUUUACUUUCUGUUAUUUAUAUUAAAUAAAAUUAAAAGAAGUAUUUUCCGUCUGUUAUCUGAUUUAUCCGUGCAAUAUAAAAUACCCCGAAAAUAAAAGUUCUCCAAAUGCCUUGAAAUUUAAAUAUGAUUUUUUCUGGAAUAUUUGAGAAUAUUUGGCACUAAGAACACAACACAGGGGGCAUCCACCUGGCCACGAGAGUGGAGGGCGCGCCCUACCCCCCCUGUGCGUGCCCCUUGCCUCGUGGGCCCACGGUGGCCCUCCUCCACUUAUUCCUGCACCCACACACUCCUUCCUCCCAUAAACACGAUUAUCCAGUUCGAACCCAAGUCCAAGCUCAUUUUGCUGCUAUUUUCGAUCUCCUUGCUCAAAGCACCUCUCACAAAACUGCUUGGGGGGAUUGUUCCUUGGUAUGCGACUCCUCCAUUGGUCCAAUUAGUUUUUGUUCUAGUGCUUUAUUCAUUGCAAAUUUAUGUUGUCUAGGUGCCCAUGUUCCUGAGCUUGCAUGUCAAAUUUAUGUGGUUCCAACUAGUUUUGAUGCAUGAUAUAGGCUCUAGGCACUUGUAGGAGUUGUUGCUAUCAAUUUUGUUGAGCUUGGCUCACUUUUAUUUGAAGUUACUAAAAAUUUCAGAAUUUUUCAGAAAAUAAUGAAGAGAUUUUUGAGGGGCUCAUCAAGCCGAAGCUCGAAGGAAAAGCAAAAUGAAAAAGCAGAGAGGCCCGAAUAUAAUCUGCCUCGCACCGCAGAGGUUCGGCCGUGUGAAUGGCCUUCCAAUGAUUUCUUGAGAGCAGUCGGGAUUUAUGAUGAUUUUUAUGAAUUGGCUGAGAAUGUAGGCCUCACCGCCUUCCUCCAUGACCAACGCGAACAAUAUCUCUUACUCACCAAUAUCUUUGUGCAAAACUUUCAUUUCCAUGCUAGGAGCUCACCACCUACGGUGGAGUUUUAUUUGUAUGAUGAGCACAAGGAGAUGUCACUUUACGAUUUCUGUCGGGUUUGAUUGAUCCCUUUCGAGGGCACAAUAGAGGAACCACACCGCGGUGAUGUGGAUGGGUUUAUAGAUACCAUCACUGUAGGGGAAACGAGGAAGGUUUCCGAUGCACGAAUCACUAGCAUACAUUUUCCUGUUUUACGCUACUUUGCAAUAUUUGCUAGUCGUUGCUUAAUUGGUCGCGAAAACUGUGGAAACCUUAGUGUUCCUGAUAUUAUUAUUUUGUUCCACGGUUUAUUCUGUGAUAAAUCUGUUAGUAUGGGCGGUAUUAUUGCUAAACGGUUAAGUCUCAACUGUACAAAGGGCCCCAUCUUUGGAGGCAUCUAUGCUUCACGCCUAACUGCGCAUUUUAACAUACCUAUUAAGCAUUAUGAGAAGGAAGAAAAAUUGCUGCCCCUGUUUAUUUAGAUUAUAAGAGUAUGGUGGCACACGAUUUUAUUGUUAAGAAUAGGAAAGGGGAGCUUAAAUACAAAUUGUUCUUUGAUAAACAUCAUCCUGAGACUAUUACCCUGCCUACUCCUUCCUUGUUUGAUUUAUCUCCAGGCAAGUACCUUGUUCCGUUAGAGGCUAUUCACGCCUACCGGAACAUUGCAUCAGCCACAGAGCCAGAGUCGGAACCACUAGUUGAUCCUCCACGACAGUCUAAUUACCAUUGGGAUCCAGAAAUGAUAGCCACCAGUGGAAAUCAGAGUCUUCUUCGCAGUACGACCCCAACUAUUACUAUGGAUAUCCGCCAGGCCAGCCGUGGCCAUAGACCAACUUAGGUCAAAAGCCUAAACUUGGGGGAGUACGUAUUUCCCGCCGACAUUACAUUCAUGUUCGCACACUCAUUGCUAGAUGUCGGUGCUCAUACUUUUUCAUUGUAUCAUCCAUGCUAGUUCAUUUCCUUUUUAAGCUUUCUUCUUGUGUGUUUAAUAAACCUUAAGAAAAACCAAAAAAACUAGUUGUAGCUUUUAGCUAGUUUUAAUUUCCAUGCUUGUAGUAGUAAUUAAAAAGAAAACCCAAAAAAAGAUUUCUUGUUCUUGUUUUGCUCGUUGGGAGCUUUCCCGUGUAAAUAGUUUUAUUUCUUUUCUUUGGGGGUCGAUAGGAGAAUACCAUGAUUAAAUUGUUGAAGUGGCUCUUAUAUAUAUUUUUUAUCUGACAAAAGAGCCCAUAUUGCCUUGUCUUCUCCAGUUUAUUGAAUGCUUGCAGAUUCCAGCUUAGUCCAAUGCACGCGCACUAUUAUUAUUAUCCACAUCGUUCGGUCGUGCAAGUGAAAGGCAAUUAUGACAAUAUAUGAUGGACUGACUGAGAUGAGAAAAGCUGGUAUAAACUCAACCUCUCUUGUUUUUGUAAAUAUGAUUAGUUCAUCGUUCCUGAUUCAGCCUAUUAUGAAUAAACAUGUUUGCAAUGACAACUAGAGAUCAUAGUUUCUUGUGCCAUGCUUGAUUAGCUAGGAGCUUAUAAUGGUUUACCUUGCGUGCCAACAUGCUAUUAAAAUGGUUGUGAUGUGGUAUGAUAGGGUGGUAUCCUCCUCUGAAUGAUUUGAGUGGCUUGACUUGGCACAUGCUCACGCAUGUAGUUGAAAUAAAAUCAACAUAUCCUCUACGAUAUUUAUGUUCAUGGGGAAUUAUAUCCUACUCAUGCUUGCAUUUGGUGUUGAUUAAUUUUAAUGCAUGUUUAUGAGUGUUGUCGCUCUCUAGCUGGUUGCUUCCCAGUCUUUUGCUAGCCUUCACCUGUACUAAGCGGGAAUACUGCUUGUGCAUCCAAUCCCAUAAACCCCAAAGUUAUUCCAUAUGAGUCCACCAUACCUACCUAUUUACGGUAUCUACCUGCCGUUCCAAGUAAAUUUGUAUGUGCCAAACUCUAAACCUUCAAAUAAAUAUCAUGUUUUGUAUGCUCGAAUAGCUCAUGUAUCAACUAGGGCUGUCUGUAUCUUCCAUGUUAGGCGGGUUAUUCUCAAGAGGAGUGGACUCCGCUCCUCACUCACGAGAAAAUGGCUGGUCACCGGGAUGCCCAGUCCCAUGCUUUAUGCAAAUCAAAUCAAAAUAAUUGCAAACAAAACUCUCCCUAGGACUCUUGUUAGUUGGAGGCACUCGUUGUUUUGAGCAAGCCAUGGAUUGAUGCUUGUUAGUGGAAGGGGAGUAUAAACUUUACCAUUCUGUUUGGGAACCGCCUAUAAUGUGUGUAGCAUAGAAUAUAUCGCCCUCUCUUGGUUGUUAUGUUGACAAUGAAAGUAUACUGCUCAAAAUAUUAUUCACCUCUAUUUCAAAACCGAGCUCUGGCACCUCUACAAAUCCCUGCUUCCCUCUGCGAAGGGCCUAUCUAUUUACUUUUAUGUUGACUCAUCAUCCUCUUAUUAAAAAUCACAAGUUGGAGAGCACCGCUGUCAUUUGCAUUCAUUACUGUUAGUUUACAUUGAGUAUGACUGGACUGGAUCUCUUUUACCAUGAAUUACAAUGUCUAGUCAGUCCUUGAUCUUUAAAGGUGCUCUGCAUUUAUGUUUUGCGGUCUCAGAAAGGGCUAGCGAGAUACCAUCUUGUUAUAUCAUAUCAUGAUUGUUUUGAGAAAGUGUUGUCAUCUGAGAUUUAUUAUAUUGCUCGCUAGUUGAUUAUGCCAUUGAUAUGAGUAAACAUGAGACCUAAAUGUUAUUGUGAAUAUGGUUAGUUCAUAAUCUUUGCUGAAAACUUGAAUGCUGGCUCUACAUAUUUACAACAACAAGAGCAAACAGAGUUUGUAAAAGUUUUUCUUUAUCACUUUCAGCUUAUCAACUGAACUGCUUGAGGACAAGCAAAGGUUUAAGCUUUGGGCAGUUGAUACGUCUUCGUCGUAUCUACUUUUCCAAACACUUUUGCCCUUGUUUUGGACUCUAACUUGCAUGAUUUGAAUGGAACUAGCCCGGACUUACGCUGUUUUCAGCAGAAUUGCCAUGGUGUUAUUUUUGUGCAGAUAUAAAAGUUCUCGGAAUGACCCGAAAAUCAACGGAGAAUUAUUUUGGAAUACAUAAAUAAUACUGGAAGGAAGAUCCACGUCAGGGGGGCCUCCACCUGUCCACGAGGGUGGGGGCGCGCCCUACCCCCCUGGUGCUACCUCUUGAGCACUGCGUUGGUUUUCCCUUGAAGAGGAAAGGGUGAUGCAGUAAAGUAGCGUAAGUAUUCCCCUCAGUUUUUGAGAACCAAGGUAUCAAUCCAGUAGGAGAUCACGCUCGAGUCCCACGCACCUACACAACCAAAUAAGAACCUCGCAACCAACGCGAUAAAGGGGUUGUCAAUCCCUUCACGGUCACUUACGAGAGUGAGAUCUGAUAGAUAUGGUAAGAUAAUAUUUUGGUAUUUUUAUGAUAAAGAGAAAUAAAGAUGCAAAGAAAAAUAAACGGCAAUAGAAAUAACUAAGUAUCACCUGGGCGCACCCCCUGCCUCGUGGGCCCCCUGACGCUCCACCAACCUCAACCCUGACUUCAUAUAUUCACUUUCGGGGAGAAAAAACCAGAGAGAAAGAUUCAUCACAUUUUACGAUACGGAGCCGCCGCCAAGCCCUAAACUCUCUCGGGAGGGCUGAUCUGGAGUCCGUUCGGGGCUCCGAAGAGGGGAAUCCAUCGCCAUCAUCAUCAUCAACCUUCCUCCAUCACCAAUUUCAUGAUGCUCACCGUCGUGCGUGCAUAAUUCCAUCGUAGGCUUGCUGGACGGUGAUGGGUUGGAUGAGAUUUAUCAUGUAAUCGAGUUAGUUUUGUUAGGGUUUGAUCCCUAGUAUCCACUAUGUUCUGAGAUUGAUGUUGCUAUGACUUUGCUAUGCUUAAUGCUUGUCACUAGGGCCCGAGUGCCAUGAUUUCAGAUCUGAACCUAUUAUGUUAUCAUCAAUAUAUGAGCGUUCUUGAUCCUAUCUUGCAAGUCUAUAGUCACCUACUAUGUGUUAUGAUCCGGCAACCCCGAAGUGACAAUAAUCGGGACCACUCCUGGUGAUGACCGUAGUUUGAGGAGUUCAUGUAUUCACUAUGUGUUAAUGCUUUGGUCCGGUACUCUAUUAAAAGGAGGCCUUAAUAUCCCUUAGUUUCUGCUAGGACCCCGCUUCCACGGGAGGGUAGGACAAAAGAUGUCAUGCAAGUUCUUUUCCAUAAGCACGUAUGACUAUAUUCGGAAUACAUGCCUACAUUACAUUAAUGAAUUGGAGCUAGUUCUAUGUCACCCUAGGUUAUGAUUGUUACAUGAUGAACCGCAUCCGACAUAAUUCUCUAUCACUGAUCCAUUGCCUACGAGCUUUCCAUAUAUUGUUCUUCGCUUAUUUACUUUUCCAUUGCUAUUGCUAUCAUCACUACAAAAUACCAAAAACAUUACUUUUGCUAUCGUUACCUUUUGCUGCCGUUACCACUACUAUCAUAUUACUUUGCUACUAAACACUUUGCUGCAGAUAUUAAGUUUCCAGGUGUGGUUGAAUUGACAAGUCAGCUGCUAAUAGUUGAGAAUAUUCUUUGGCUCCCCUUGUGUUGAAUCAAUAAAUUUGGGUUGAAUACUCUACCCUUGAAAACUGUUGCGAUCCCCUAUACUUGUGGGUUAUCAUUGCUCCUGCAGCGGGUCUUGCACAUAGCGGUGCUUCCAGGACGUAAUUCUUCUGUGUAGCAAUGAGGAUAAUCCUCAAGUUACGGACCUAGUCCAUGUAGUUGCUACCAUCAUCUUUCAACUUAGGUUUCUCUACGAACGCAUUAAAAUUCAAAGGGACAUUAGCACGGGCCAUUGAUCUACAACAACAUAGACAUGCAAACUACUAUCAGGUGCUAAGUUCAUGAUAAAUUAAAGUUCAAUUAAUCAUAUUACUUAAGAACUCCCACUUAGAUAGACAUCCCUCUAGUCAUCUAAAUGAUCACGUGAUCCAUAUCAACUAAACCAUGUCCGAUCAUCUCGUGAGAUGGAGUAGUUUCAAUGGUGAACAUCACUAUGUUGAUCAUAUCUACUAUAUGAUUCACGCUCGACCUUUCGGUCUCAGUGUUCCGAGGCCAUAUCUGCAUAUGCUAGGCUCGUCAAGUUUAACCCGAGUAUUCUGCGUGUGCAAAACUGGCUUGCACCCGUUGUAUGUGAACGUAGAGCUUAUCACACCCGGUUAUCACGUGGUGUCUCGGCACGACGAACUAUAGCAAUGGUGCAUACUCAGAGAGAACACUUGUACCUUGAAAUUUAGUGAGAGAUCAUCUUAUAAUGCUACCGCCGUACUAAGCAAAAUAAGAUGCAUAAAGGAUAAACAUCACAUGCAAUCAAAAUAAGUGAUAUGAUAUGGCCAUCAUCAUCUUGUGCCUUUGAUCUCCAUCUCCAAAGAACCGUUAUGAUCACCAUCAUCACCGGCUUGACACCUUGAUCUCCAUCGUAGCAUCGUUGUCAUCUCGCCAACUAUUGCUUCUACGACUAUCGCUACCACUUAGUGAUAACGUAAAGCAAUUACAUGGCGAUUGCAUUUCAUACAAUAAAGCGACAACCAUAAGGCUCCUGCCAGUUGCCGAUAACUUUUACAAAACAUGAUCAUCUCAUACAACAACUUAUAUAUCAUCACGCAAAAACAAGUUAGACGUCCUCUACUUUGUUGUUGCAAGUUUUACGUGGCUGCUACAGGCUUCUAGCAAGAACCGUUCUUAUCUACGCAUCAAAACCACAAUGAUUUUUCAUCAAGUGUGUUGUUUUAACCUUCAACAAGGACCGGGCGUAGUCAAACUCGAUUCAACUAAAGUUGGAGAAACAGACACCCAGUAGCCACCUGUGUGUGAAGCACCUCGAUGGAACCAGUCUCAUGAACGCGGUCAUGUAAUGUCGGCCUGAGCUGCUUCAUCCAACAAUACCGCCAAAUCAAAGUAAGACGUUGCUGGUAAGAAGUAUGACUAUUAUCGUCCACAACUCAUUGUGUUCUACUCGUGCAUAUAACAUCUACGCAUAGACCUGGCUCGGAUGUCAUUGUUGGGGAACGUAGUAUUUCAAAAAAAAUCAUACGAUCACGCAAGAUAUAUCUAGGAGAAGCAUAGCAAUGAGCGGGGAGAGUGUGUUCACGUACCCUCGUAGACCGAAAGCGGAAGCGUUUAGUAACACGGUUGAUGUAGUCGAACGUCUUUGCGAUCCAAUCGAUCCAAACACCAAACGUACGACACCUCCGCGUUCAGCACACGUUCAGCUUGAUGACAUCCCUCGAGCUCUUGAUCCAGUUGAGGCCGAGGGAUAGUUCCGUCAGCACGAUGGCGUGGCGACGGUGAUGAUGAAGUUACCGGCGCAGGGCUUCGCCUAAGAACUACGACGAUAUGACCGAGGUGUGUAACUGUGGAGGGGGGCAACGCCCACGGCUAAGAGAAACUUGUGUCUUUGGGGUGCCCCCCUCCCACGUAUAUAAAUGGGGGGAGGAGGCCGGCCCAAAGGGGGGCGCGCCACAUGUUGGGGGUCCUACUAGGACUCCCUAGUCCUAGUAGGAUUCCCCUCUCCUUUCCUUUUACGGAAGGGGGAAAGGGGGGAAGGAGAGGAGGGGAAGAGGGAAAGGGGGCACGCCCCCUCCCCUUCCUAUUCGGACUCCACUUGGGGGGACGCGCACGCCUCCCCCUUGUGGGUUGUACCCUCUUCUCUCCCAUGGCCCAUAAGGCCCAUGAUUUCCCCCGGGGGGUUCCGGUAACCUCCCGGUACUCCAGAAAAAUGCUCGAAUCACUCGGAAUCAUUCUGAUGUUUGAAUGCAACCUUCCAAUAUAUGAAUCUUUACCUCUCGACCAUUUCUGUGAUCUCAUCCGGGACUCCGGACAAACUUCAGUCAUCAAAUCACAUAACUCAUAAUACAAAUUGGCACGAACGUUAAGCAUGCGGACCCUAUGGGUUUGAGAACUAUGUAGACAUGACUGAGACACAUCUCCGGUCAUUAACCAAUAGCGGAACCUGGAUGCUCAUAUUGGCUCCUACAUAUUCUACGAAGAUCUUUAUCGGUCAAACCGCAUAACAACAUACGUAGUUCCCUUUGUCAUAUGUAUGUUAUUUGCCCGAGAUCCGAUCGUCGGUAUCCCCAUACCUAGUUCAAUCUCGUUACCGUCAAGUAUCUUUACUUGUUCCGUAAUGCAUCAUCAUGUAACUAACUCAUUAGUCACAUUGCUUGCAAGGCUUAUAGUGAUGUGCAUUACCGAGAGGGCUUAGAGAUACCUCUCUGAUACACGAAGUGGCAAAUCCUAAUCUCGAUCUAUGCCAACUCAACAAACACCAUCAGAGACACCUGUAGAGCAUCUUUAUAAUCACCCAGUUACAUUGUGACGUUUGAUAGCACACUAAGUGUUCCUCCGGUAUUCGGGAGUUGCAUAAUCUCAUAGUCAUAGGAACAUGUAUAAGUCAUAAAGAAAGCAAUAGCAAUAAAAUUAAACGAUCAUUAUGCUAAGAUAACGGAUGGGUCUUGUCCAUCACAUCAUUCUCUAAUGAUGUGAUCCCGUUCAUCAAAUGACAACACAUGUCUAUGGUUAGGAAACUUAACCAUCUUUGAUUAACGAGCUAGUCUAGUAGAGGCAUACUAGGGACACUCUGUUUGUCUAUGUAUUCACACAUGUACUAAGUUUCUGGUUAAUACAAUUCUAGCAUGAAUAACAAAGAUUUAUCAUGAUAUAAGGAAAUAUAAAUAACAACUUUAUUAUUGCCUCUAGGGCAUAUUUCCUUCAGGAAGAGCAUCGCGGGUGGGAGGGAGAAGGGGAAUUAAGAGAGUGUGGGUUUGGGUUUGGGCCUCCGCGUGCUAUGUGUACACAUGUGUUGGUGGGUCGAUAGUAGUGGUCCUGGGUUUAUACCCCACGCUACUACUAUGGCCUAUCCCGGGGGUACGGUAGAGACCGCUUAGUAGUAGCGAGGGAUUUAUACCCCUCACUACUACUAUCAACUUAGUAGUAGUGAGGGAUUUAUACCCCUCGCUACUACUAUCAACUUAGUAGUAGUGAGGGAUUUAUACCCCUCGAUACUACUAUGGCCAGUCCCGGGGGGCACGGUGGAGACCACUUAGUAGUAGUGUGGGGUUUAUACCCCUCGCUACUACUAUCAACUUAGUAGUAGUGUGGGUUCUAUACCCCUCGCUACCAAUAAUUAGCAGCAGUGUGGCCCAUAUACCCCUCGCUACGGUUAAGCAUCUAUCUAUAAAGUAUUUUCUAGUAGUGCAUCGAUGGCGGCGAAAUCAGUCGUUCUGCUUGUUUUCCCUACUAGCUCUCUGACGUCCAGAACAAGUUUACGGUCAUAAGGUGCAAUAACCUUGCCUUCAUGAGUGACACGAUGACACGGGAACAGGCUUCCAAGCCUAUGGUGUCGCAUCAUGUCGUGGUCUGCUAGACUUAGUGGACGAAUGCUACUACAAUAUCGGUUGAUCUCAUACUACAAUACCAAGGAAGACACGCAACUACUAUAUAUAUUUCUUCAAGUCAGUCAACACAAGUAAAAUCUGGGAGUUCAACUGGUGCAGCUAUGCAAUGCUAAUGGAGACAACACAAUUCAACUUUAGCACUUCACACAUAAGCAACACCACGUUCAAUGGCACACACCUUAGAGUGUACCUAUGGUGGUUGAUUGGGCUAUAAGAAAUGUGAGUCCAUGUGAAGAUGCCAAAUAUAAUAACACGGCUAAUUACACAUGCAGUGGCAGCAGCAACAAGUGCAUGAAUUCCACAAAUGAUCUAGGGUACACAUGCAACUGUGUCCUUGAGUAUGACAACAACCCUUAUCUUCUAGACAAAUGCAUGGUAUGCUACUAAUUUAUUUGCUAAAUAUUCCAAUGAAUUGUGUCCUUUACUUUGUACAUACCCAAUUAUAAUAUUUUAUUUUGCUAAUACAAUGUAGCCUUCAAUUUAAACCAAGGUUUGCAUCCAUUAAUUAUGUUAGGUUCAUAUGACUUCACUACAUAAAUAGGUAGAUAAUGCAUAAGACUGAGAUUGUAGCUAGGGAUGAAAAUCUAAAUACGGCAUGAAUCUAACAAUUAUGAGUAAUGUCUUUGUGACAAGAACUUUCUUUGUCUUUUAUUCCCAUGUUUGAACUAGUAUAGGUCAGGGUUACACAUUAUGGUGCACAUCACUUUAUUUGUCAUCGUUACAUUGAACACUCAUUGACUAAACAACGAUGAUCCAUCCGUCUUGUAUUACAGGUCUUCAUUUCAUUGGCCACCGAUGCUUGUAAGACUACUCCCAGAUGGUUGUUGUUGUGGAUAUGGUUGUUGAGGUUGGUGUGGUUGCUGGGGGAAUGGUUGUUGGGGUUGCUGGGAAAUUGUUUGUUCUAGUUGCUGGGAUAAUUGUUGUUGGGGCUGCAGAAAUGGUUGUUGUGGUUGUUGUGGUUGCAGGAUGGAGGGUUGCUGGGAAAAUGGUUGUUGCGGUCGUAGGGGGAAUGGUUGUUGUGGUUGUAGAGGGAAAGGUUGUUGUGGUUGUUGAGGGAAUGGUUGUUGUGGUUGUUGGGGGAAUGAUUGUUGUGGUUGCAGGGGGAAUGGUUGUUGUGGUUGCUGGGGGAANNNNNNNNNNNNNNNNNNNNNNNNNNNNNNNNNNNNNNNNNNNNNNNNNNNNNNNNNNNNNNNNNNNNNNNNNNNNNNNNNNNNNNNNNNNNNNNNNNNNNNNNNNNNNNNNNNNNNNNNNNNNNNNNNNNNNNNNNNNNNNNNNNNNNNNNNNNNNNNNNNNNNNNNNNNNNNNNNNNNNNNNNNNNNNNNNNNNNNNNNNNNNNNNNNNNNNNNNNNNNNNNNNNNNNNNNNNNNNNNNNNNNNNNNNNNNNNNNNNNNNNNNNNNNNNNNNNNNNNNNNNNNNNNNNNNNNNNNNNNNNNNNNNNNNNNNNNNNNNNNNNNNNNNNNNNNNNNNNNNNNNNNNNNNNNNNNNNNNNNNNNNNNNNNNNNNNNNNNNNNNNNNNNNNNNNNNNNNNNNNNNNNNNNNNNNNNNNNNNUGGUUGCAGAGGGAACGAUUGUUGGGUCUGGGGAAAUGGUUGUUGUGGUUGCCAGGAAAAUGGUUGUUGGGGCUGUGGAAAAGGUUGUUGUGGUUGUUGGGGUUGCUGGGGGAAUGGUUGUUGUGGUUGUAAGGGGGUCGGUUGUUGGGGUUGGGGAAAUAAUUGUUGUGAUUGCUGGGGAAAUUGUUGUUGGGGUGUGGAAAAUGGUUGUUGUGAUGGAUAUGGUUGCUGUGAUGGAUAUGGUUGUUGUGGAUAUGGCUGUUGUGGAAAUAGUUUUUGUUGAUGGGAAAAUGAUUGUUGAGGUGAUUGUAACUCUUUGUUGUUAGGGUUUAGUUGCCUAGCGGCAAUGGCGGUGUUCAUCGCCAUGGCAAGGAGGACAAAGAUGAGGAAGGUCUUCAUGUUGGAUUUGUGGUUACUACUGCUUGCUUGCCUUUGAUGCUUGUGGUCUAGGUGUGUGAAGUUUUGUUGAUGGAAGGUGUCCUUGGUGGUGCAUGUGUAUUUAUAGUUUUCAUGGCAUGGCUUGCUUUCAUCUUUGCACUCGCUCUUUGAAAAAGUGCAUCAAUGCUUAUCCAACUAAUCAUUUGGUUUGUUGUGUUUGGUGCAACUACUUACUAGUGAGAUUUUGGAUUUUCAUGAUAGUUGUUUUUUGUUGAAAUCAUCUGGUUGUAAGGAAUGUUGGAUAAUGACCAAUGACUCAUCUUCUUCACUUUACACUGCAAACAUUGAUCUAGAUUAUGUCCCUUUUUGAAAUUUAGUUUGUGGAGCUCUACAUGUUGUUAGGCUUAUCCAUAUUGGCAUAGCUUGAGUGGAGCUAAGUUUGUAAGCUUGUGUGCGCCAUUAUGAUGGAUCACACUAUUAAUGUGAUGAUUGUUUUACAAAUUAUCUUUCCAAAACUAACUUUAUGUUUUUUGCCCAAUAUGAUUCUAAGACGGAUAACCAGACAUGACUCAUCAAAUAACAAGAUAAACCGAGUAGCAAGUUGGGGGUUAUAAGUUAUAAUAUGGACUUUUCUCUAAGAUACACCAUCUUGUCUUGCAUGCUCUGUGGAUUUGAAAAGCAUCUACUAAUUUAGAUGCAAUUGAAACAAAAGUAGACUAAAAAGGUAAGCAAUGAAAUGAGAAUACUAUUAUGUGAAGCUCUACAUGUCUGGUAAGCAGUGAGAUACUGGAUACAUCUAUAUCUUCAAUCCUUUCAUCCCUAUCAACUCUUUAUUGGCUGCUUUUAUCGUAGUCAUCCCUUAAAUAAAAAUCACUUAAAUAUAAGUUUGGGAGUUAGUACCAACAUAUAUCAUGUACAAGAUAGAAAACUAAGGCACAUAUAGUAGUCUAUUGACCAUAUUUAAUUUCUUGUGAUGUGAAAGCAUGUGGAGUAUAAGUUGGUUAAAUAUAAAGUUGUCCUUCAUACCAGUAGGGAAAGAAUAUGCAGUAUAAAGAUUAGAGCAUUGGACUAAUAUGCUAUUAAAUGCUACAGGAUAAUUGACAGUUCAAGUUAAGAACAACAUUAGCAUUCCAACUUUUGUCUUGUGCAAGUUAAGAACAUGCUAACAAAGUAACCUAAGCAAAUAAGUGCAAAACCUUCACCUAUAAGGAAAUUGUGAAACUACACAAAAUGACCUAUUGUAAAGAAGGAAAAAAAUCUAAAGGUGAAUGAAAGAACGUUAAGUACAUUCAGGAUUCGAUUAUGCCUUCAUGGAUAACCUUUUAGAUGGUGACAUGUCCAUGUUGAUGUGUGUCGGCAUGGAACGAGGACAAGAAGACGUCGUUGCGUCGUACUUUGGGAAUUUCAUCAAACUGGUUGUGUGCGGGAACAAAUAUUUGUCGCCUCCCUGCUCAAAUCUCUCUUCAUGUCACUGAAUCCGACACUCCACCUACCAAAAUCAGCUGCAAGCCAGGGAUAAUCAACGGGUUUCUCCGCCCGUAGCAUCUAUCACCAAAAGUAGUUCAGACUAUAGUCUUGUAGUUCAAAAUUUUGUAAUAACAAGCACUACUAGGUUGCUUUUGUUUGUACGUCUUCAUUCUGUACAACCCAUGGAACUAAAAAUGCAUUGGUCAUUCUUUGUUCUAUACAACCAAUUCAACCAAAAAUGCAUUGGGCUUUUCUUUGUACAUCUUCGGGUUCUACAACCAAUGCAACAAAAAAUCCAUUGGGUAGUCUUCCAUUCUAGUCGGGCACCAACAGUUAAAUGAGGAGCUAAACAAUGUUGGAGUCUAAAACUACAUACAAUCAUGAAGCAUAGAGAGGCGACUUGGAAGCUGUGCUCCUGUGAGCUCGUAUUUUUGUAGACAAAAAGUAAUGUUUGUAUUUUGAAGUGGGAAAAAAUCCUAAAAAGGGAUGUUUUGCGGGUUAUAACUUACUAUUUUUGGGUCCUGGGCUGCAGGAAGGUCGUCAAAAUCAAUGUGUUUUCCCAUUCAAUGCAUGUUUCUUGGGUUAUAGGUCACGCUUUUGGUGUCCUAGGGAGAUCACUUCCCCGGUCAAGAACAUUAGGUGAUGAUUUUUAGAAAAACUCAUUGUUUUAGCCUAACUAGUUUCGAGGAUUGGUGGACGGGAUUAUCAUGGAACAAAGUGACAACCUUCCUUUUCUUCAUGCCUAAUAUAAACUUAGCAGUCAGCUAAAAGUAACUAGCGAUAUCACAGAAUGUUUUUUGUCAAAAGUAGAUACCACUUCAGGAUUCAACUCGGUUAGUUCAAUCACAGACAUGUUAAGAGCAGGAUUUACAACUAACUGCAUAGGGAACAUCUCCUUUUAUCACCCACUAUCUGUCUGUGCACUUUGGUUUUCCCGUAGCAUCACACAAAGCACUUUGUUAGUACCAAUAAUGUGCUCCAACUCUACACAUUAAUCAUCUUGAAUUCUUCUACUGAUGUCGAACAAUGUAAUAUCUUGAAUUCUUCUAACGAGUUCGGAUUAGACUACAUGGGCAAUUUAUCUGGUCCCUGAGAUGCAAGGUCGAUGAACAAUCGCUUCGUCUUAUGACGAGGGGUUGUUUUUGCCUAAGAAACUAAUACAUGUAACUUCGACACCGGAUUAAUAAAUGGUAAAACCUAAAUAAAUUAGAUCACGAGCUAAACCAUUUACUUUUGUAUGCAUUUAAACUUUUGAUACAUAUGAGCUUGUUAAGAUGUUCGCAUAAACACCAUGGUGAUUUGAAGCAAGACAAAGUAAACUUGAACCGCUUGAGCCACUGACUUAAUAAGAACCUCCUUUCCCGCGGCAGAGAUUGUUUUUAAUACAUCCACUCACUUUGGCCCAUAGUUUGUCUUUGAGAUACUUAAAAGCACUAGACAUAGAAUUGACAAUAUUAGAAGGCAAGCCCAAAUAUUUCACAUUUAGUGUUUCUACUUGGACACUGAGACCACCUUUGACCUCAUUUUUGACAUUCUCUCUGCAAUCCUUGCUGAGAAACACUGAAGGCUUCCUAUUUAUUUAUUCUUGACCUAAAGCUUCAUUGCGUCUUGCCUUGGUCUUGCACUACUUGCGGCACAAUACGCCUUUGGAACUGCCGUUCCGAAUUCAGAGUGCCGAAGGUGGUGUGACGAUGUUGAGAUACCGUACUCGUUCGGUAGUGAUUCGGGUUGAUCAUUCAGAGUAGACUUUGACAAUAGCUGCAAGGACAAGAUUGCAUUAGGGAGCCUUUUAAUUACACCUCGGAGGUGCUCAGCAUCUUCUUGAUGAACAACAUGGUCCUAGUGUUGAAUAAUAUCAUAUGGGGUAGUGCUACAACAACUCCACCACAAGCAUGGAGGAAUUUAGCAAAUUCCAUCAGUACUAGGAGAAAGCCUAGUAGCAACGCGAGGUAAAGGACUACUAGUAGCGCGGGUGCCCACGCUACUACUAGGGUGCUACAGCUAAUUGGUAGUAGUAGCGUGGGUGACACCCUGCGCUACUACCACGUCUGUUAGUAUAGUAGCGCGAGUGUCACCCGCACUACUACUAGUUAUCUGUAGCCCGGGUCUGACCCCACGCUACUACUAACUAAUUAGGAAUUAAAAAAAUAAAUUCCAUCCAUGGUUGCUGCUGCUGGGCGUCAUCGUCCUCUCCGUCCAUGGCUGAUGUUGGUCCUGGAGGGGAUGACGUCGUCCAUGGUGAUGGUACUUCCUCACCCAAAUCGUCCCCACACCUCUCCUAUGCUACUGCUACAAAAUAAGAGAAAACGAUUAGAAGAGGAAGAGAGAUAUUGAGAGGAGUAGGAGGAGCAACUGACCGGUGGCCGCCGGAGUUGGAGCUGAUGCCCGAAACCCUAGACGAUGCCCGGUGACCUGUUGCUUCUUUUCCUGGGACCUCAUGUCCUCACAAGGCCAUGUCUCAGCGAGGAAGUGCAAGUGGUUGCGUAGCAGAUCUGUUCAUCGCCAUUGGUGGCGCUCUGUUGGAUCUUCCUCUCCUUCCAGCAUCGGAGAAGGAGGAGGAAGGAGGCGAAGGUGAGGCGUAAGUCAGUGGCCCAAAAUUUUUAUAUAGAUGAGACUUACUAAGUAAUAACCCCAUAGAAUCUAUCUAUAUAAAGAUAAAGAGGCAAUCGUGUCAGGAAGCGGGUUUUUCUUUGGCCAAAAGGUACUUAGAACUUGGAACGAGCAUGAAGAGAUUAACGAGACUUCUUUCUCUUUUGAGUUUUUCUGGCGGACCUGCCGCGCAAGAUCUUUGGUCUUCCCCUGGAACCGAUGAAAAAAAGUGGAUUGCUUCUUAUGUACUCGCUCAGCUUAAGAUGCUCGCAUAAUCCCCGUGGUAAUUUGAAGCAAUACAUAGAGUAAACUAGAACUGCUUGAGCCACUAACUUAAUGAGAACCUCCUUUCCCGUAGGAUAUAUCAUUUUUUCAAUCCAUCCAUUCACUUUGGCCCAUAGUAUGUCUUUGAGAUACUUAAAAGCAGUAGAUUAGAAUUACCAAUAUCAUAAGGCAAGCCCAAAUAUUUCUCAUUUAGUGUUUCUGUUGGACACUGAGAACACCUUUGACCUCAUAUCUAACAUUCUCUACACAACCCUUGCUGAGAAACACUGAAGACUUGCUAUUAUUUAUUCUUUGACCUGAAACUUGGCAAUAGGUUUGACACAUCUGUCGCCCCUGAACCAUUUGCCUUGAAAAACAGCAGGCUGUCAUCUGCAAAUAACAAGUGGUUAACUGAUGCCACCAAAGGAGCUACUUGGAUUCCAGUAAACUGGGAUGACUAGUCUCUAGAUUUGAGGAGGCCCGAAAGGCCAUGUACUGCUAACAGGAAAAUCAAGGUGAAUUGGAUCUUGCUGCCGUAUACCACGGGUAGGUUUGAGCUCAUCAAGUUUCUUGCUCUUGAAUAAAAUUGAAUAAGAUACAGAAGCUACCAUGCUCAUUUCUAUGGAGGCCCAUUUAACAGAGAAUCCAAAGUUGAGAUUUAUCACCUCCAAAUACGCCCAUUCAACUAGAUUAUAAGCCUUCAUCAUAUCCAAUUUUAGAGUACAAUGGUGAUGUUACAAUGACUUAUUCCUUUUCAUGAAAUGUAAGCACUCGUAGGCCACGAUUAUAUUGUCAGUGAUAAGGCGACCCGGAACAGAAGCCGACUCUUCACUCAAUAUUAUCUCCGGAAGGGCCCCUUUUAGCCGGUUAGCCAGAACUUUGGGUGUUAUUUGUAAAGUUGCAUAGGCUAAUACGACAGAACUGGCUUAGGAAAGUACCAUUUUGUACCUCAUCACUAUCCUCGCCACAAUACAAAGGACAACCAUUGUUACCUCCUCGCCGCAAAUAUCCCAAUGUUUCUCAAAGAAAUGUUCAAAGAAUCCGUCCGGGCCCAAGGCCUUCAUGCGGAACAUUUGAAACAAUACAAUUUAAACCUUGUUGUAGAAUACUUAGCGUCAAGGAAGGCAUUCAUCGCAUCACUGACCUUUACUGGAACCAAGUCAGGAAAUCAUGCAUAUUAGAAACAGUCUCAGAAGUGAAAAGCUCCGAGUAAAACUAUGUUGUGAUCUCUUCCAAUUCCUUAAGAACACUGAUAACAUCACAUUAGGUUGCUACAAUGAUUUGGUCAAAUUAUUCCGCCUUCUCAUCGAAGCCCUUAAGUGAAAGAAGCAUGUGGUCUUGUCCCCACUAAUCAGCCACUUAAUCUGAGAUCUAGUAGGCAAGAUGAGUGACGGGAAGUAGUUCGGAACAAUUUCCUCUUAUUCACUUCUAAAACAAAUUUUCGGUUUUUGUCGUUCCUAAGCCAAGGAUUUGAUAAAUAUUCAUAAAUUUUUAAAAUGUUCACCAAUAUUAAAAACAUCAUGAUUUUAAAAAACCGUGAUUUUUAAACAAAAUCAUAAAUAUGAAAAUUGCCAUUCACAAAAUUUUAAAAUAAAAUCAUGAAUUUUAAAAGAAUUUUCAAAAUUUUGAUAAAUAUCUACGAAUUUUACAACUUUGAUGAAUUUUAAAAACAAACCAUAACAAAAAAACACUAGCAAGUUCGAUCCUAAAAAAUGCCUUGCCUUCUACUAUGCGUAGCGUGCAUGGACAGCCGGACCUAGACACCCUAGACCAAAAACCCUACAUCUGGGCCAGGCCCGAGCUCCAUUUUUUGGCCCAAAGCCCAGCCCAAAAAGGCAGAAAUGGUAAGAAAUGUAUACUUUAUUCAAAAUAUAGGUAUAUUAUAUUGUUUUAGUAUCUCAAAUAAUUAUUUAAAUUGAAAAAUGUCGUUGUUCAUGUGUUUCUGGACGGGCCAAGCCAGGCUCAUGCUUGGGAUUUUUGCUUCGGGCUUUGACAACCUGGCCCGGGGUAUGAUCAAGUUCAGCAUGGCCCAGUCACACACCCUUGUACAACAUUUUGUUGUAGAGAGCGGCAAAUAUAAUUUUCCCGAUCUAAUAUUGCUCGCUAUAAGUCUAUAUCUAUACUUUUUUCUAUACCCAUACUAAUAAAGCAAGGUGCGUUUCCCCAAUUUUUUCAUUCAUUCACUGUCGAAAACAAUUAUGUUUCCUAUCCGAGGUGGUCCUAAAUUCUUAUGCGUUCAUCUGCUAAAAGAAAGGCUUUUCCGGAAUUUCUUACGUGGGUUGCGCGCUAUGGCCAGUGAAGUCAGCCCACUUAUUUUUCUGCCCAUGCAGCUCUAAAAAAUCUAUUUAACACACAGGGCAAGAAAUAGUCGGCACUUCAAACUGGAAAACAAAUAAUGGGCUAGCCAAUUUUUCUUUGUUUCUGUGUUUUAUUUCUAUUUUUAUUCUCCUUCCCCGAUUUCUUUUUUCACUUCCAAGUUUACAUUUCUUAUAGAAUUUAUUUUAUAAAUUCAAAAUUCUCAAAAAACAUAGAGAAUUUUAAAAAAAUGGAAAAUGUUCAUAACUCCAAUUUUUUUGCUAUUUAAAUUUUUUUCAGAACUUGAAUUUUUUCCCUUUUUCCGAAAAUUUUAUUGUUUUUUAAAAUUGUUAGAGAUUUCUAAAAAGAAAAUGGAAAUUUAAAAAGUCUUCCAAAUUCGAAAAAAAAUCAUGUUUUAGUGAAAUUUUCACAACUCAAAUUAUUCUUAAAAAAUACACAUUUUAAAAAGUAAGGAUUUUCAAUACAUGUUCCCGUUCUAAAAAAAUGUUGACAAAUUCAAAUAAUGUUCAUGUUUUUAUUUUAAAAGUUCGUGUUUUCAAAAAUGUUUGUAAAUUCUAAAAGAUGUUCCUAUUUCAUAUUUUGUUCAUGUUUUUCUGAAAGUGUACCUAAUUUUCAAAAAACUGUUCAGGAUUUAAAAAAUGGUUCAUGUUGCCUACAAUAUUGAGAAACUUCAUACCUUAAAAUCUCCUCGAUUGAAGGAACCAUAGAUUGAAUAAUUCAUGGGCCUUCUCUGGUGGACGAUGACGUAGCAAAACUCUUAAAUGCCCUCAAUCAAUGAAUGGAAAAAUAGCGAAUUGAGUACUUCACACCCAGCGAAACAAAGAAGCUAAAUGUUCCCUUUUUACGUGCGCACAGGGUUUUGCUUGCACAAAUAAUUCUCACUAACUUCCAAUGCAUACUAAUUUUUCUCCCAUUGCGAAGCACAAGCAUAUGUGCUAGUUUUAUCCACGGUGGUACUAAAUUUUUUUGAGUCCAUCUGCUAGAAAAAGGAAAAACAGUUUUGUCAAAAUUUUCGUACAUGGGCCGCGCGCGCUGUGGCCCAGCGAAGCUGGCCCAUUUAUUUCCGGCCGAAGCAGCUGAGAAUAAUUAUUUAACGCUUGGGGCGGCAAAUAGACAAAGUUUCGCAUAGGGCGCCAAAUAUUUGGUCGGCCCAUAUUUGUUUUCUCUCUAGUUUGUUUCUUUUUUUAUUUUCCUUUCUCCUUUUCUUAUCUCUUUACUUUUUCUUUUUUCCCUUUCAAGUUAAUUUUUCUUUUCUCCUUUUCCAUAAAUUAAAUUUUUCAAUAUUUCAGAAUUUUAGUUUUGGAUUAAAUUUUCGUAAAAUCUUCAUAAUUAUUUCUCCCCAUUUUGAAUUGUUUUUAAACUAUAAUUUUUUCUUCUUCUUCUUCCAAAAUUUAUUCAAAACUAUAGAAUAAAGUUCGCAUAUUAAUUUUUUUAUGCUUUCCAAAAUUGUUUGAUAUUUUCAAAAUAUAUUGCAUUAAAAAAUUAAAUAUUUAGAUUUUAUUGAAAUGUUAAUUCAAAGUAAUGUUUGUGUUUAAAAACAUGUUUUUCAAAAUUCUUUUCAAUGUCCAAAACACGUUUUCAUUUCCAAAAAAAAUCACGUAUUCAAAACAUGUUUGCUUUCUUAUAAUAGGUUCAUGUUUUCAAAAAACAUAAAUUUCAAAAAAAUUGUCACAUCUUAAAGAAUAUUCAAAAUAUCGUAAUUAUUACUUUAUUUUUUGAAAAAAAUCAAGAAAAACAGAAAAAAAAAUGUAUAUUAUGCUACAGUAUAUUCUUAAAAUUUCGCCCUCGCCAUUUGUUAGCAUGAGCUGUUUGUUCGAGUGGCUAGCAGCACGUGGUCGAGUUUUUGAGGUCAUGAGUUUGAUCCUUCAACUCAGUGGUUGUUUUGGAUUUUUAUUCACGCCUUACAAAUACAAGUCAUUUUGGUACCUGCCAGCGGCCUUGCCAGACUCGAACUGCCGUGCAUCCGACGUGCUAUUUGACGAUAAAAGAGAAUAUGUUGCUUGACUAUAAUUAAAAAAAUGUGGGCACAUGCCAAUAAAAGAGGAUAUGCUGGUUUGACUCUGAUUAAAAAAAUGUUGGCAAGUGAGCGUCGAAAUAAUUAAAGAGAAUAAACCCUGGUAAAGUAGGGACUACCUGGUUACGUGCUUAUUAUACCAAAGAAACGGGAUUUCCUGCAAUUAGUACUUCAACCGGUUACACCAUCAUAGGAGAGAGUAGUCGAAGCAACUAUGCCACGAAGGUCGCCGUGCUGCACAAAAUGAGGAGGCAACCGCAACCUAGACACGGAGGCAGACUCGGAGAAAAAAAAGCGCAAGUUGGGUGGUGGCCACCACUCCAGCAACCCCAUCAAUAUCAAGAACUCGUGGGCCAAACAUGAUCUCAAGAACAUCGCCGGGGAGACCUUUUGAUGGACACAUCAAUUAUCUCUCCUGAUACUUCUCGUUAAAAAUAUCUUUCUAGUUCUAACGCACGGGCAUAUGUGCUAGUGAUAUAUAAAAUAUGUUGUGCCAAUGAGCACACGGGCUAGCGAGACUCGCCAUGCUUUCAUGUCAUACCGGAGUCCAAACACUCAACUGGAGGGUCCAACCUUAGCGACAGAGUCUUCUUUUGUUGGGAGAAUCUAUAUAUCCGCGAGUGUUAUAUCUCGCAUCUGGUUUACGCGCAGUGCACCUAACCACUAGGCUUUGCCUUACAUUCAUGACAGAGUAGUAAAGCUAGAUUGUUUAAGUCCACACGAGUCAAGGUUUUCAAUGUUUCUUCUCCAUUUUUUUUCAUUUUUUCAUUUUUGUUUUUAUAUUUAUUUCUGUCGGGUUUGUUUGAUCCCUUUCGAGGGCAUAAUAGAGGAACCACACCGUGGUGAUGUGGAUGGGUUUAUAGAUACCAUCACUGUAGGGGAAACGAGGAAGGUUUUCGAUGCACGAAUCACUAGCAUACAUUUUCAUGUUUUACGCUAAUUUGCAAUAUUUGCUAGUCGUUGCUUAAUUGGUUGCGGAAACUGUGGAAACCUUAGUGUUCCUGAUAUUAUUAUUUUGUUCCACGGUUUAUUCUGUGAUAACUCUAUUAGUAUGGGCGGUAUUAUUCCUAAAUGGUUAAGUCUGAACUGUACAAAGGGCCCCAUCUUUGGAGGCAUCUAUGCUUCACACCUAGCUGCGCAUUUUAACAUAGCUAUUAGGCAUUAUGAGAAGGAAGAAAAAUUGCUACCCCCUGUUUAUUUAGAUUAUAAUAGUAUGGUGGCACAUGAUUUUAUUGUUAAGAAUAAGGAAGGGGAGCUUAAAUACAAAUUGUUCUUUGAUAAACAUCAUCCUGAGACUAUUACCCUGCCUGCUCCUUCCUUGUUUGAUUUAUCUGCAGGCAAGUACCUCGUUCCAUUAGAGGCUAUUCACGCCUACCGAAACCCUACAUCAGCCAUAGAGCCAGAGUCGGAACCACAAGUUGAUUCUCCAUGACAGUCUAAUUACCAUUGGGAUCCAGAAAUGAUUGCCACCAGUGGCAAUCAGAGUCUUCUUCGCAGUACGACCCCAACUAUUACUAUGGAUAUCCGCCAGGCCAGCCGUGGCCAUAGACCAACUUAGGUCAAAAGCCUAAACUUGGGGGAGUACGUAUUUCCCGCCGACAUUACAUUCAUGUUCGCACACUCAUUGCUAGAUGUCGGUGCUCAUACUUUUUCAUUGUAUCAUCCAUACUAGUUCAUUUCCUUUUUAAGCUUUCUUCUUGUGUGUUUAAUAAACCUUAAGAAAAACCAAAAACAUUAGUUGUAGCUUUUAGCUAGUUUUAAUUUCCAUGCUCGUAGUAGUAAUUAAAAAGAAAACCCAAAAAAAAGAUUUCAUGUUCUUCUUUUGCUUGUUGGGAGCUUUCCCGUGUAAAUAGUUUUAUUUCUUUUCUUUUCUUUGGGGGUCGAUAGGAGAAGACCAUGAUUAAAUUGUUGAAGUGGCUCUUAUAUGUAUUUUUGUUGAUCUGACAAAAGAGCCCAUAUUGCCUCGACUUCUCCUGUUUAUUGAAUGCUUGCAGAUUCCAGCUUAGUCCAAUGCACGUGCACUAUUAUUAUUAUCCACAUCAUUCGGUCGUGCAAGUGAAAGGCAAUUAUGACGAUAUAUGAUGGACUGACUGAGAUGAGAAAAGCUGGUAUGAACUCAACCUGUCUUGUUUUUGUAAAUAUGAUUAGUUCAUCGUUCCUGAUUCAGCCUAUUAUGAAUAAACAUGUUUGCAAUGACAACUAGAGAUCAUAGUUUCUUGUGCCAUGCUUGAUUAGCUAGGAGCUUAUAAUGGUUUACCUUGCGUGCCAACAUGCUAUUAAAAUGGUUGUGAUGUGGUAUGAUAGGGUGGUAUCCUCCUCUGAACGAUUCGAGUGGCUUGACUUGGCACAUAUUCACGCAUGUAGUUGAAACAAAAUCAACAUAGCCUCUACGAUAUUUAUGUUCAUGGUGAAUUAUAUCCUACUCAUGCUUGCAUUCGGUGCUGAUUAAUUUUAAUGCAUGUUUAUGACUGUUGUCGCUCUCUAGCUGGUCGCUUCCCAGUCUUUUGCUAGCCUUCACCUAUACUAAGCGGGAAUACUACUUGUGCAUCCAAUCCCAUAAACCCCAAAGUUAUUCCAUAUGAGUCCACCAUACCUACCUAUUUACGGUAUCUACCUGCCGUUGCAAGUAAAUUUGUAUGUGCCAAACUCUAAACCUUCAAAUAAAUAUCAUGUUUUGUAUGCUCGAAUAGCUCAUGUAUCAACUAGGUUUGUCUGUAUCUUUCAUGUUAGGCGGGUUAUUCUCAAGAGGAGUGGACUCCGCUCCUCACUCGCGAGAAAAUGGCUGGUCACCCGGAUGCCUAGUCCCAUGCUUUAUGCAAAUCAAAUCAAAAUAAUUGCAAACAAAAUUGCCCCUGGGACUCUUGUUAGUUGGAGGCACUCGUUGUUUCGAGCAAGCCAUGGAUUGAUGCUUGUUGGUGGAGGGGGGGUAUAAAAUUUUCCAUUCUGUUUGGGAACCGCCUAUAAUGUGUGUAGCAUGGAAGAUAUCACCAUCUCUUGGUUGUUAUGUUGACAAUGAAAGUAUACCGCUCAAAAUAUUAUUUACCUCUAUUUCAAAAUCGAGCUCUGGCACCUCUACAAAUCCCUGCUUCCCUCUGCGAAGGGCCUAUCUAUUUACUUUUAUGUUGAGUCAUCAUCCUCUUAUUAAAAUGCACCAGUUGGAGAGCACCGUUGUCAUUUGCAUUCAUUACUAUUAUUUUACAUUGAAUAUGACUUGACUGGAUCUCUUUUACCAUGAAUUACAAUGUCUAGUCAGUCCUUGAUCUUUAAAGGUGCUCUACAUUUAUGUUUUGCGGUCUCAGAAAGGGCUAGCGAGAUACCAUCUUGUUAUAUCAUAUCAUGAUUGUUUUGAGAAAGUGUUGUCAUCCGAGAUUUAUUGUUAUUGCUCGCUAGUUGAUUAUGCCAUUGAUAUGAGUAAACAUGAUACAUAAAUGUUAUUGGAAUAUGGUUAGUUCAUAAUCUUUGCUGAAAACUUGAAUGCUGGCUCUACAUAUUUACAACAACAAGAGCAAACAGAGUUUGUAAAAGUUUUUCUUUAUCACUUUCAGUUUAUCAACUGAAUUGCUUGAGGACAAGCAAAGGUUUAAGCUUGAGGGAGUUGAUACGUCUCCGUCGUAUCUACUUUUCCAAACACUUUUGCCCUUGUUUUGGACUCUAACUUGCAUGAUUUGAAUGGAACUAACCCGGACUGACGUUGUUUUCAGCAGAAUUGCCAUGGUGUUAUUUUUGUGCAGAAAUAAAAGUUCUCGGAAUGACCUAAAAAUCAAAGGAGAAUUAUUUUGAAAUAUAUAAAAAAUAUUGGAAGGAAGAUCCACGUCAGGGGGGCCUCCACCUGUCCACGAGGGUGGAGAGCGUGCCCUACCCCCCUGGUGCUACCUCUUGAGCACUGCGUUGGUUUUCCCUUGAAGAGGAAAGGGUGAUGCAGUAAAGUAGUGUAAGUAUUUCCCUCAGUUUUUGAGAACCAAGGUAUCAAUCAAGUAGGAGAUCACGCUCGAGUCCCGCGCACCUACACAAACAAAUAAGAACCUCGCAACCAAUGCAAUAAAGGGGUUGUCAAUCCCUUCACGGUCACUUACGAGAGUGAGAUGUGAUAGAUAGGAUAAGAUAAUAUUUUUGGUAUUUUUAUGAUAAAGAGAAAUAAAGAUGCAAAGUAAAAUAAACAGCAAUAGAAAUAACUAAGUAUCACCUGGGCGCACCCCCCUGCCUCGUGGACCCCCUGACGCUCCACCGACCUCAACCCUGACUCCAUAUAUUCACUUUCGGGGAGAAAAAAACCAGAGAGAAAGAUUCAUCAUGUUUUACGAUAUGGAGCCGCCGCCAAGCCCUAAACUCUCUCGGGAGGGCUGAUCUGGAGUCUGUUCGGGGCUCCGGAGAGGGGAAUCCGUCGCCAUCGUCAUCAUCAACCUUCCUCCAUCACCAAUUUCAUGAUGCUCACCGCCGUGCGUGAGUAAUUCCAUCGUAGGCUUGCUGGACGGUGAUGGGUUGGAUGAGAUUUAUCAUGUAAUCAAGUUAGUUUUGUUAGGGUUUGAUCCCUAGUAUCCACUAUGUUCUGAGAUUGAUGUUGCUAUGACUUUGCUAUGCUUAAUGCUUGUCACUAGGGCCCGAGUGCCAUGAUUUCAGAUCUGAACCUAUUAUGUUUUCAUCAAUAUAUGAGUGUUCUUGAUCCUAUCUUGCAAGUCUAUAGUCACCUACUAUGUGUUAUGAUCCGGCAACCCCGAAGUGACAAUAAUCGGGACCACUCCUGGUGAUGAUCGUAGUUUGAGGAGUUCAUGUAUUCACUAUGUGUUAAUGCUUUGGUCUGGUACUCUAUUAAAAGGAGGCCUUAAUAUCCCUUAGUUUCCGCUAGGACCCUGCUGCCACGGGAGGGUAGGACAAAAGAUGUCAUGCAAGUUCUUUUCCAUAAGCACGUAUGACUAUAUUCGGAAUACAUGCCUACAUUACAUUGAUGAAUUGGAGCUAUUUCUGUGUCACCCUAGAUUAUGACUGUUACAUGAUGAACCGCAUCCGACAUAAUUCUCUAUCACCAAUCCAUUGCCUACGAGCUUUCCAUAUAUUGUUCUUUGCUUAUUUACUUUUCCGUUGCUAUUGCUAUCAUCACUAUAAAACAACAAAAACAUUACUUUUGCUAUCGUUACCUUUUGCUACCGUUACCACUACUAUCAUAUUACUUUGCUACUAAACACUUUGCUGGAGAUAUUAAGUUUCCUGGUGUGGUUGAAUUGACAACUCAGCUGCUAAUACUUGAGAGUAUUCUUUGGCUCCCCUUGUGUCGAAUCAAUAAAUUUGGGUUCAAUACUCUACCCUCGAAAACUGUUGCGAUCCCCUAUACUUGUGGGUUAUCAUUGCUCCUGCAGCGGGUCUUGCACCUAGCGGUGCUUCUAGGACGUAAUUCUUCUGUGUAGCAAUGAGGAUAAUUCUCAAGUUAUGGACCCAGUCCGUGUAGUUGCUACCAUCAUCUUUCAACUUAGCUUUCUCUACGAACGCAUUAAAAUUCAAAGGAACAGUAGCAGGGGCCAUUGAUCUACAAUAACAUAGACAUGCAAAAUACUAUUAGGUGCUAAGUUCAUGAUAAAUUAAAGUUCAAUUAAUCAUAUUACUUAAGAACUCCCACUUAGAUAGACAUCCCUCUAGUCAUCCAAAUGAUCACGUGAUCCAUAUCAACUAAACCAUGUCUGAUCAUCACGUGAGAUGGAGUAGUUUCAAUGGUGAACAUCACUAUGUUGAUCAUAUCUACUAUAUGAUUCACGCUCGACCUUUCGGUCUCAGUGUUCCGAGGCCAUAUCUGCAUAUGCUAGGCUCGUCAAGUUUAACCCGAGUAUUCUGCGUGUGCAAAACUGGCUUGCACCCGUUGUAUGUGAACGUAGAGCUUAUCACACCCGGUUAUCACGUGGUGUCUCGGCACGAUGAACUAUAGCAAUGGUGCAUACUCAGAGAGAACACUUGUACCUUGAAAUUUAGUGAGAGAUCAUCUUAUAAUGCUACCGCCGUACUAAGCAAAAUAAGAUGCAUAAAGGAUAAACAUCACAUGCAAUCAAAAUAAGUGAUAUGAUAUGGCCAUCAUCAUCUUGUGCCUUUGAUCUCCAUCUCCAAAGAACCGUUAUGAUCACCAUCAUCACCGGCUUGACACCUUGAUCUCCAUCGUAGCAUCGUUGUCAUCUCGCCAACUAUUGCUUCUACGACUACCGCUACCGCUUAGUGAUAAAGUAAAGCAAAAACAAGUGUGAUGUCCUCUACUUUGUUGUUGCAAGUUUUACGUGGCUGCUACGGGCUUCUAGCAAGAACCGUUCUUAUCUACGCCUCAAAACCACAACAAUUUUUCGUCAAGUGUGUUGUUUUAACCUUCAACAAGGAUCGGGCGUAGUCAAACUCGAUUCAACUAAAGUUGGAGAAAUAGACACCCACUAGCCACCCGUGUGUGAAGCACCUCGGUAGAACCAGUCUCAUGAACGCGGUCAUGUAAUGUCGGUCUGAGCCACUUCAUCCAACAAUACCGCCAAAUCAAAGUAAGACGUUGCUGGUAAGAAGUAUGACUAUUAUCGUCCACAACUCAUUGUGUUCUACUCAUGCAUAUAACAUCUACGCAUAGACCUGGCCCGGAUGUCACUGUUGGGAAACGUAUUAUUUCAAAAAAAAAUCCUACAAUCACGCAAGAUAUAUCUAGGAGAAGCAUAGCAAUGAGCGGGGAGAGUGUGUCCACGUACCCUCGUAGACCGAAAGCGGAAGCAUUUAGUAACACGGUUGAUGUAGUCGAACGUCUUUGCGAUCCAACCAAUCCAAACACCUAACGUACGGCACCUCCGCAUUCAGCACACGUUCAGCUCGAUGACAUCCCUCGAGCUCUUGAUCUAGUUGAGGCCGAGGGAUAGUUCCGUCAUCGCGAUGGCGUGGCGACGGUGAUGAUGAAGUUACCGGCGCAGGGCUUCGCCUAAGCACUACGACGAUAUGACCGAGGUGUGUAACUGUGGAGGGGGGCACCGCACACGGCUAAGAGAAACUUGUGUCUUUGGGGUGCCCCCUCCCACGUAUAUAAAUGGAGGGAGGAGGCCGGCCCAAGGGGGGGCGCCACAUGUGGGGAGUCCUACUAGGACUCCCUUGUCCUAGUAGGAUUCCCCUCUCCUUUCCUUUUACGGAGGGGGAAAGGGGGGAAGGAGAGGAGGGGAAGAGGGAAAGGGGGGCACGCCCCCUCCCCUUCCUAUUCGGACUCCACUUGGGGGGGACGCGCACGCCUCCCCCUUGUGGGUUGUCCCCUCUUCUCUCCCAUGGCCCAUAAGGCCCAUGAUUUCCCCCAGGGGGUUCCCGUAACCUCCCGGUACUCCGAAAAAAUUCCCGAAUCACUCGGAAUCAUUCCGAUGUUCAAAUGCAACCUUACAAUAUAUGAAUCUUUACCUCUCAACCAUUUUCGUGAUCUCAUCUGGGACUCCGAACAAACUUCAGUCAUCAAAUCACAUAACUCAUAAUACAAAUUGGCAUCGAACGUUAAGUGUGUGGACCCUACGGGUUUGAGAACUAUGUAGACAUGACCGAGACACAUCUCCGGUCAAUAACCAAUAGCGGAACCUAGAUGCUCAUAUUGGCUCCUACAUAUCUACGAAGAUCUUUAUCGGUCAAACCGCAUAACAACAUACGUUGUUCCCUUUGUCAUAUGUAUGUUAUUUGCCCGAGAUUCGCUCGUCGGUAUCCUCAUACCUAGUUCUAUCUCGUUACCGGCAAGUCUCUUUACUUGUUCCAUAAUGCAUCAUCUGGUAACUAACUCAUUAGUCACAUUGCUUGCAAGGCUUAUAGUGAUGUGCAUUACCGAGAGGGCCCAUAUAUACCUCUCUGAUACACGGAGUGACAAAUCCUAAUCUCGAUCUAUGCCAACUCAAGAAACACCAUCGGAGACACCUGUAGAGCAUCUUUAUAAUCACCCAGUUACGUUGUGAUGUUUGAUAGCACACUAAGUGUUCCUCCGGUAUUCGGGAAUUGCAUAAUCUCAUAGUCAUAGGAACAUGUAUAAGUCAUGAAGAAAGCAAUAGCAAUAAAAUUAAACGAUCAUUGUGCUAAGAUAACGGAUGGGUCUUGUCCAUCACAUCAUUCUCUAAUGAUGUGAUCCCGUUCAUCAAAUUACAACACAUGUCUAUGGUUAGGAAACUUAACCAUCUUUGAUUAACGAGCUAGUCUAGUAGAGGCAUACUAGGGACACUCUGUUUGUCUAUGUAUUCACACAUGUACUAAGUUUCCGGUUAAUACAAUUUUAGCAUGAAUAAUAAAGAUUUAUCAUGAUAUAAGGAAAUAUAAAUAACAACUUUAUUAUUGCCUCUAGGGCAUAUUUCCUUCAGGAAGAGCAUUGCGGGUGGGAGGGAGAAGGGGAAUUAAGAGAGUGUAGGUUUCGGUUUGGGCCUCCGCGCGCUAUGUGUACACAUGUGUUGGUGGGUCAAUAGUAGUGGCGCCAGGUUUAUACCCCACACUACUACUAUGGCCUAUCCCGGGGGUACGAUAGAGACCACUUAGUAGUAGCGAGGGAUUUAUACCCCUCGGUACUACUAUCAACUUAGUACUAGUGAGGGAUUUAUACCCCUUGCUACUACUAUCAACUUAGUAGUAGUGAGGGAUUUAUACCCCUCGAUACUACUAUGGCCAGUCCCGGGGGGCACGGUGGAGACCACUUAGUAGUAGUGUGGGGUUUAUACCGCUCGCUACUACUAUCAACUUAGUAGUAGCGUGGGUUCUAUACCCCUCUCUACUAAUAAUUAGCAGCAGUGUGGCCCAUAUACCCCUUGCUACUGUUAAGCAUCUAUCUAUAAAUUAUUUUCUAGUAGUGCAUCAAUGGCGGCGAAAUCAGUCAUUCUGCUUGUUUUCCCUACUAGCUCUCUGACGUCCAGAACAAGUUUACGGUCAUAAGGUGCAAUGCCCUUGCCUUCAUGAGUGACACGAUGACACGGGAACGGGCUUCCAAGCCUAUGGUGUCGCAUCGUGUCGUGGUCUGCUAAACUUAGUGGACGGAUGCUACUCCAAUAUCGGUUGAUCCUAUACUACGGUACCAAGGAAGACACGCAACUACUAUAUAUAUUUCUUCAAGUCAGUCAACACAAGUAAACUCUGGGAGUUCAACUGGUGCAGCUAUGCAAUGCUAAUGGAGACAACACAAUUCAACUUUAGCACUUCACACAUAAGAAAAACCACGUUCAAUGGCACACACCUUAGAGUGUACCUAUGGUGGUUGAAUGGGCUAUAAGAAAUGUGAGUCCAUGUGAAGAUGCCAAACAUAAUAACACGGCUAAUUACACAUGCAGUGGCAGCAGCAACAAGUGCGUGAAUUCAACAAAUGAUCUAGGGUACACAUGCAACGGUGUCCUUGAGUAUGACAACAACCCUUAUCUUCUAGACAAAUGCAUGGUAUGCUACUAAUUUAUUUGCUACAAAUUCCAAUGAAUUGUGUCCUUUGCUUUGUACAUACCCAAUUAUAAUAUUUUAUUAUGCUAAUACAAUGUAGCCUUCAAUUUAAACCAAGGUUUGCAUCCAUUAAUUAUGUUAGGUUCAUAUGACUUCACUACAUAAAUAGGUAGAUAAUGCAUAAGACUGAGAUUGUAGCUAGGGAUGAAAAUCUAAAUACGGCAUGAAUCUAACAAUUAUGAGUAAUGUCUUUGUGACAAGAACUUUCUUUGUCUUUUAUUCCCAUGUUUGAACUAGUAUAGGUCAGGGUUACACAUUAUGGUGCACAUCACUUUAUUUGUCACCGUUACAUUGAACACCCAUUGACUAAACAACGAUAAUCCAUCCGUCUUGUAUUACAGGUCUUCAUUUCAUUGGCCACCGAUGCUUGUAAGACUACUCCCAGAUGGUUGUUGUUGUGGAUAUGGUUGUUGAGGUUGGUGUGGUUGCUGGGGGAAUGGUUGUUGGGGUUGCUGGGAAAUUGUUUGUUCUAGUUGCUGGGAUAAUUGUUGUUGGGGCUGCAAAAAUGGUUGUUGUGGUUGCAGGAUGGAUGGUUGCUGGGGUUGGGGCUGGGGAAAUGAUUGUUGUGAUUGUUGGGGUUGCUGGGAAAAUGGUUGUUGCGGUUGAAGGGGGAAUGGUUGUUGUGGUUAUAGAGGGAAAGGUUGUUGUGGUUGUUGAGGGAAUGGUUGUUGUGGUUGUUGNNNNNNNNNNNNNNNNNNNNNNNNNNNNNNNNNNNNNNNNNNNNNNNNNNNNNNNNNNNNNNNNNNNNNNNNNNNNNNNNNNNNNNNNNNNNNNNNNNNNNNNNNNNNNNNNNNNNNNNNNNNNNNNNNNNNNNNNNNNNNNNNNNNNNNNNNNNNNNNNNNNNNNNNNNNNNNNNNNNNNNNNNNNNNNNNNNNNNNNNNNNNNNNNNNNNNNNNNNNNNNNNNNNNNNNNNNNNNNNNNNNNNNNNNNNNNNNNNNNNNNNNNNNNNNNNNNNNNNNNNNNNNNNNNNNNNNNNNNNNNNNNNNNNNNNNNNNNNNNNNNNNNNNNNNNNNNNNNNNNNNNNNNNNNNNNNGAAUGGUUGGUGGGGAAUUAUUUGUUCUGGUUGCUGGGGAAUUAUUUGUUCUGGUUGCUGGGGGAAUGGUAGUUGGGGUUGGGGAAAUGGUUGUUGGGGUUGCUGGGGGAAUGGCUGUUGUGGUUGCAGAGGGAACGAUUGUUGGGUCUGGGGAAAUGGUUGUUGUGGUUGCCAGGAAAAUGGUUGUUGGGGCUGUGGAAAAGGUUGUUGUGGUUGUUGGGGUUGCUGGGGGAAUGGUUGUUGUGGUUGUAAGGGGGUCGGUUGUUGGGGUUGGGGAUAUAAUUGUUGUGAUUGCUGGAGAAAUUGUUGUUGGGGUGUGGAAAAUGGUUGUUGUGAUGGAUAUGGUUGCUAUGAUGGAUAUGGUUGUUGUGGAUAUGGCUGUUGUGGAAAUGGUUGUUGUUGAUGGGAAAAUGAUUGUUGAGGUGAUUGUAACUCUUUGUUGCUAGGGUUUAGCUGCCUAGCGGCAAUGGCGGUGUUCAUCGCCAUGGCAAGGAGGACAAAGAUGAGGAAGGUCUUCAUGUUGGAUUUGUGGUUACUACUGCUUGCUUGCCUUUGAUGCUUGUGGUCUAGGUGUGUGAAGUUUGGUUGAUGGAAGGUGUCCUUGGUGGUGCAUGUGUAUUUAUAGUUUUCAUGGCAUGGCUUGCUUUCAUCUUUGCACUCGCUCUUUGAAAAAGUGCAUCAAUGCUUAUCCAACUAAUCAUUUGGUUUGUUGUGUUUGGUGCAACUACUUACUAGUGAGAUUUUGGAUUUUCAUGAUAGUUGCUUUUUGUUGAAAUCAUCUGGUUGUAAGGAAUGUUGGAUAAUGACCAAUGACUCAUCUUCUUCACUUUACACUGCAAACAUGGAUCUAGAUUAUGUCCCUUUUUGAAAUUUAGUUUGUGGAGCUCUACAUGUUGUUAGGCUUAUCCAUAUUGGCAUAGCUUGUGUGGAACUAAGUUUGUAAGCUUGUGUGCGUCAUUAUGAUGGAUCACACUAUUAAUGUGACGAUUGUUUUAGAAAUUAUUUUUCCAAAACUAACUUUAUGUUUUUGCCCAAUAUGAUUCUAAGACGGAUAACCAUACAUGACUCAUCAAAUAACAAGAUAAACCGAGUAGCAAGUUGGGGGUUAUAAGUUAUAAUAUGGACUUUUCUCUAAGAUACACCAUCUUGUCUUGCAUGCUCUCUGGAUUUGAAAAGCAUCUACUAAUUUAGAUGCAAUUGAAACAAAAGUAGACUAAAAAGGUAAGCAAUGAAAUGAGAAUACUAUUAUGUGAAGCUCUACAUGUCUGGUAAGCAGUAAAAUACUGGAUACAUCUAUAUCUUCAAUCCUUUCAUCCCUAUCAACUCUUUAUUGGCUGCUUUUAUCGUAGUCAUCCCUUAAAUAAAAAUCACUUAAAGAUAAGUUUGGGAGUUAGUACCAACAUCUAUCAUGUACAAGAUAGAAAACUAAGGCACAUAUAGUAGUCUAUUGACCAUAUUUAAUUUCUUGUGAUGUGAAAGCAUGUGGAGUAUAAGUUGGUUAAAUAUAAAGUUGUCCUUCAUACCAGUAGGGAAAGAAUAUGCAGUAUAAAGAUUAGAGCAUUGGACUAAUAUGCUAUUAAAUGCUACAGGAUAAUCGACAGUUCAAGUUAAGAAAAACAUUAGCAUUCCAACUUUUGUCUUGUGCAAGUUAAGAACAUGCUAACAAAGUAACCUAAGAAAAUAAGUGCAAAACCUUCACCUAUAAGGAAAUUGUGAAACUACACAAAAUGACCUAUUGUAAAGAAGGAAAAAAAUCUAAAGGUGAAUGAAAGAACGUUAAGUACAUUCAGGAUUUGGUUAUGCCUUCAUGGAUAACCUUUUAGAUGGUGACUUGUCAACGUUGAUGUGUGUCGGCAUGGAACGAGGACAAGAAGACGUCGUUGCGUCGUACUUUGGGAAUUUCAUCAAACUGGUUGUGUGCGGGAACAAAUAUUUGUCGCCUCCCUGCUCAAAUCUCUCUUCAUGUCACUGAAUCCGACACUCCAUGAGGGAGUCCUGGAUUAGGGGGUAUCUGGAUAGCCGGAGUAUAUCCUUUGGCCGGACUGUUGGACUAUGAAGAUACAAGAUUGAAGACUUUGUCCCGUGUCCGGAUGGGACUCUCCUUGGUGUGGAAGGCAAGCUUGGCAGUACGGAUAUGUAGAUCUCCUUCCUUGUAACCGACUCUGUGUAACCCUAGCCCCCUCCGAUGUCUAUAUAAACUGGAAGGUUUAGUCCGUAGGACAAAGAACAACAAUCAUACCACAGGCUAGCUUCUAGGGUUUAGCCUCUUCGAUCUCGUGGUAGAUCAACUCUUGUAAUACUCAAAUCAUCAAGAUCAAUCAAGCAGGAGUAGGGUUUUACCUCCAUCGAGAGGGCCCGAACCUGGGUAAAAACAUCGUGUCCCACAUCUCCUGUUACCAUCCGCCUAGAUGCACAGUUCGGGACCCCCUACCCGAGAUCCGCCGGUUUUGACACCGACAUUGGUGCUUUCAUUGAGAGUUCCUCUGUGUCGUCAUCGCUAGGGCGGAUGGCCCCUUCAAUCAUCGAUAGUGAUGCAGUCCGGGGUGAGACUUUUCUCCUCGGACAGAUCUUUGUAUUCGGCAGCUCCGCACUACGGGCCAACUCGCUUGGCCAUCUGGAGCAGGUCGAGAGUUACGCCCCUGGCCACCAGGUCAGGUUUGGAAGCAUAAACCACACGGCCGACAUCCAUGGAGACUUGAUCUUCGAUGGAUUCGAGCCCUUUCCGAGUGCGCCGCACGGUCACGAUGAGCAUGAUUUAGCUCUACCAUCGGACAGUGUUCGGGAGAUCGCACCGGCGACCGCUCCGACCCUCAAUUCGGAGCCAGUUGCGCCAUCCAAGGAUGGGUGGAUAGACCCCGCCACGGAGGCCGCAUCUUCAGCAGCGAUCGAGCCAAAUACCGACCUUACCCUUCACGGGAGCCGUGACGCUGAACUGUCGGAUUCUUCCCCGGCCAGGGACUCCGAACCGCCUGCGCCCGUGCCUAUCGAAUCCAACUGGGCGCCGAUCAUGGAGUUCAACUCCCCGGAUAUCUUUCAGCACUCGCCCUUUGGUGACAUACUGAACUCAUUAAGGUCUCUCUCCAUGUCAAGAGAGUCCUGGCCGAACUAUGGCCGACCAGAUCGGGAUGCGGACGACGAAGAAAUUCGCCACCCACCCACCACCCACUUAGUAGCCACUAUCGACGAUUUGACCGACAUGCUCGCCUUCAACUCUGAAGACAUCGACGCUAUGGACGACGAUGCAGGAGAUGAACAGGAGCCACUGCCCACAGGGCACUGGACGCCCACUUCAUCAUAUGAUGUAUACAUGAUGGACACACCCAAAGAAAACGACGACGAGGAACGGAAGGACGCAGUAAAGGAUCGUUCCCUCGAGAAGGAAUCAAAGCGGUGGCGUAAGCGCCACUCCAAAUCCCGCCUCGGCAGAAACAACGAUCAUAUAGACCCAGCGAUAGAGCAGGGUGAGCCAGCGGACGACAAACACGGCAUUGAACCACCGUCCGACCACGGCAACACGGAGAAUCAAACCGAACAACCCGUCUCCGGCGAAGAUAACAGUCCAGACGACAUCACACCGGACAAGCACCCGAAGCAACAGAAUACCCAUCAAAGGCUUGUCGCCACUGCGAGGAGUCUGAAAAAGUAGAAGCAAAGGCUCAGGGCUGCGCAAGAUACACUCAGAAUUAGAUGGAGUAAAGUACUAAGCACUGCAGCAAAGUACGGCGGUAGUCGCCACACAAAGAGCUACCCGAAGCGAAAUAUGCUACCUGAAUUCGAUGAUGAGGCCUUAGAUCCCCCGCAAUCAAAAAACAAAACAGCCAUCCAGGCGGAUAGACGACCUCGUGGCCAACAUAGAGCGGCAAACGAUGCCACACACAAGCCAGUACGCGAUCCACGUGAGGGCUCGCAUCAAAAGGACGGCGCAACCAGAUCCAUCUACGGGCCAAGCAAGCGCGCUCCAGCAUGCAAUGCAACACAACAAAAAUCCGAACACCACGGUACACCCAAAUACAGGGGUGCCGCACACCCCCUAUGUUUCAUCGAUGAGGUGCUGGACCAUGAAUUUCCAGAGGGAUUCAAACCCGUAAACACAGAGGCGUACGACGGAACGAUAGACCCUGGGGUCUGGAUUGAGGACUACAUCCUCCAUAUCCACAUGGCUCGAGGAGACGAUCUCCAUGCCAUCAAGUACUUACCCCUCAAGCUCAAAGGGUAAGCUCGGCACUGGCUUAAAAGCCUCCCCGAAAACUCCAUUGGAAGCUGGGAAGAGCUCGAGGACGCUUUUCGGGCAAAUUUUCAAGGGACCUAUGUCCGACCACCGGAUGCAGACGAUUUAAGUCAUAUAACUCAACAGCCCGGAGAGUCAGCCCGAAAGCUUUGGAACAGGUUUCUCACUAAAAAGAACCAAAUAGUCGACUGUCCGGACGCCGAAGCCUUAGCAGCUUUCAAGCACAGCGUUCGAGACGAAUGGCUUGCCAGACACCUCGGCCAAGAAAAGCUGACAACAAUGGCAGCAUUAACAAGCCUCAUGACCCGCUUUUGCGCGGGCGAGGACAGCUGGUUAGCCCGAUGUAGCACCAGCGACCCAAGUACAUCCAAAGUCAGGGACAGAAAUGGGAAGCCACGACGCAGCAAAAACAAGCGCCGGAAUAAAGAAGACAGCCCGAAGAGCACGGCGGUAAACGCCGGAUUCAGAAGCUCUCGGCCAGGUCAGCAAAAGCUGCCCUCCAAAGGCAACAGAGACGAACUGUCCAGCCUGACCAAGAUUCUGGACAAACUAUGUCAGAUCCACAGCACCCCCGAUAAACCUGCAAAUCAUACCCAUAGAGAAUGUUGGGUCUUCAAGCAGUCCGGCAAACUCAACGCCUAACACAAGGGGCAGGAUACACCAAGUGAAGACGAGGACGAGCCUCGCAAGCAAAGCAUUGGGGAACAGAAGAAAUUCCCACCAGAAGUCAAAACAGUAAAUGUGUUACACGUGAUGAAGGGGAGAAACAAAGCGGCACUCCUAGAGACACAUGCCCCAGGUCUAUCACCGCGGAGUUCUGCCACUGGUCGUCCAAACCGAUCACCUUUGACCAUCGGGAUUACUCGGCAAGUAUCCAGCAUGCAGGAUGGGCUGCCUUGGUGUUAGACACGAUAAUUGACGGAUACCACUUCACACGAGUCCUGAUGGACGGCGGCAGUAGUUUAAACCUGAUAUAUCAGGACACAGUCCGCAAAAUGGGGAUAGACCCAACAAAAAUCAGCCAUAGCAAUACUACCUUUAAAGGAGUAACGCGAGGCCCAGAAGACCAUUGCACGGGCUCCCUGCUACUAGAGGUUAUAUUCGGCUUUCCCGAUAACUUCCGCAGCGAAAAGUUAACCUUCCACAUCGCUCCGUUCUAAAGUGGCUAUCAAGCACUACUCGGACGCGAAGCUUUCGCUCGCUUUAACGCAAUACCGCAUUACGCUUCUCCCAUGCUUAAGAUGACCGGUCCACGUGGCAUCAUUACAGUAAAUGAAAAUAUUGAGUGCUCCUUGCGCGUGGAAGACCGUGCGGCUGCCUUGGCAGCCGCACACUAGACAGCCUCACCAACUAGAGCAUCUGACAGGUCGUUAAGACCACGGACACGGUUAGACGAGUCCAAUGUAGCUAUAUAUAAUUAAUACAGGUUUGAUGGCUAUACCCCUACAACAAUACAAGGGGCUCAACGCGUGUAAACAAGUGACAAUUAGGCUCAACUUUACUCAACUGGAACUAUACAUGGUUUAUUUAGUAUAACCUACCUUUUGCACGACAACUUUUCAACUAAGUUCCUCUCUUUUACAGAUGACCAUCGUGCUACACCCGUCCAGGAUACGGCACAACGAAGACACAGGCGCAGACGGGCAGCAGGGACCCGUCCCAAGGAUUCUUUUUAGAUUAAGACCCUACGUAAACCUUUUUUACUGUCUCUUGUUGAUACACAUCCCCCGGAUUCUCAAUAUAACUGAGAAGGAUGCUGACAUAUUGGCAUGUGGCCACGUCAGAAUAUUGCAUGUACCUGGACACCAGGGGCUUACUACAAAGAGCAUUGUUUAGCCCGGUUUACAUCAUAAAGACCGUAUACCUUAGGGAGUGUUCGGCGUCGCGAGUUUGGCCUUAUAUGCAUCAGCUUCGAAUCAUCUUUGGUCAAAUGUUGGGUUUGCUCGGCUCCUGUGUUUUGCUGCCUUACGUUCCGCUCUAUCGGCUAGGGCGGCACCAAGAGAACUACUGCGAUUGUGUCAUGGUUCAUCCGGACGAGCACCUCAGUAGAGAAAGCCGAAAACUGACUGUCAUGAUAUAGCGUGAGACUGGUCAAUCACUUGAUGACCUAGCGGAAUCUUCGGGAUUCCUCCGCCUUAACGAAGGGACGUUUCCCGUCCAGGCAUGUACGCACCCCGAAUUUGAAUGAGCGCGGAGCCACCAGGGGCUAUAUAGUAGCCCCACUAUCAAACUCCUCUAGCUAAGUGAAAGUGUUAAAGCAUUAUAGUCCGAUUGCCUAGUUCGCUGCGCUAUCACCUCCUUAAUGGACCAAUACAUUGGAGCAAGUGUGAACAUGCGUCUUCUGCGAGCACCCCCACAUUAUAUGUGUGGGGGCUGACUUUCAGGUUAUAUACAUAUAUACAUAAACGGCCGCACAGGAGGCAUCAUAGUACUUUUGGGCAAAAGUAUAAAUACAGCCUUGAUAAACUCAAUAAAACAUUGUUUUUACAAUAGGAAUACAAUGUCACUAGAACAUAAUAUUCUUCGAGCACUGAGCCUCUAUCGAACGAGCACCUUCAAGGACUUCCUCAAAGUAGUGCUCAGCAGCCACUCGGCCUACGGCCGAACCCUGUGUCGCAACAGUGGUGGCUUCCAUCUCCGCCCAGUAUGUCUUGACAUGGACAAAGGCCAUCCGCGCACCCUCUAUGCAUGCCAAUCUCUUUACAGCAUCGAUGCGUGGCACAACACCAAGGAACUGCUGCACCAAACUAAAAUAAUUGUUCGGCUUUGGCCUUUCCGGCCACAGAUGAUCCACAACAGACCUCAUGGCGAGUCCGGACAGUCUAUUCAGCUCGGCCCAUUCGGUCAACCGAUCAGUCAAUGGAAGCGGACACUCUGGAACGUUAAAUUGUGACCAGAAUAGCUUUUCCACUUCGCGAUCUUUUUGAUCUCGGAAGUAUUCGGCUGCAUCAGCAGCACUCGCCGCUAAGUCCAGAUAUGCAUCUACAGAACUCCACAGCCGGUCCAAAGGGGCGUACCUAGGAUCUCUGAACUUCAUCUGCAGCAUAAAGGGCUUCCCAGCCGCGAUAUCCCCGGCUUGACGCAGCUCCUCCUUCAUCGCUCUCAUUGCAGAGCUGGUGUCUUUGGUCGCCAUCGUGGCCUUCUCCAGGUCUGUCCUCUUCGCUCGAUCUUCGUAUUCAAGAAUCUCGUAACGGUCAGCGGCAUUCUUCAAUUCCACAGCCAUCCUGGCUAUUUCCUCCUUGCUUUGACAGUGAGUAGCUUGUUCGGCUUUCAGCUCCUCGAUUGCCUUUAGGGCAGCCGCAUCGCUUUUCCUGGCUUGUUCUUUGGCUCGGGAAAGUUACGCCCGAAGGUUCUCCAUGGCCGCAGCUUCAUCUGCAUUCACACAUAUUAUAGGUACUGACAUCAUGCUCCUCUUCCCAUGUGUCACUGGAGGAAUCACAUACCCUGUGCCUCGUCAAGCCGCGUGUUGACAAGUACGAUGUCGGCGUCUGCCACGCCAAGCUGCCGCUUUAGCUCAGCAAACUCAUCAGUCCGGCUGGCCACCGGACCCUCCGCCACCUGCAUAUUAAGGCGGCACGAUUAUUCCUGGGACUAUGAUCCUUUGUGCGAUGUCGUCUUCGACACCACCCAGAGUCUCAGGGGCUACUAUCUACACAGGGCACAUCUAAAAAUGUGGGGUACUGUCAAAAAUAUACAUCAUUUCGCGUACCUCAAAACCCGUCAGUAGACUCAUAAAGGCUUCAUGCAACCCACUUUCGGCGGACGAAAUCCUUUCAAUCACCGUACCCAUCAACGUGCGGUGCUCUUCUGAGAUAGCUGCUUGCUCUAGCAGAUCCCUCAGUACGUUCGACCGUACACCAGACGGUGCCGGACUCUUUCGAUUGCCUUCUUCAAGAGCCGGAUACUGAGGACUUCGGGUGGCCAUAGGAUUACCUUCUGGCCUUGCCAGAUCAGGAGAAACCCUCCACGACGACACCUCGGGGUCGCCCACCUCAUGAGGCGGUAUGGCAGGAGGAGGCAUUUCACUCUCCAUCAUCUCUGGAAGAAGAUCCCCUAAGGACGAGCUCUGCUAAGAAGGGCUAAGAUCCGGACUGCAAGAUAAAUGCUUCGGUUAUUUUCCUCAUAAGUAAAGCGAGAUAUUUUCAUUAUUAAGUACCCUUUUACUUACGGCUCGAUGGAGGGCUGAUCCCCUUGAGGGCAUAGUGCGGUCAGGGUAUCCCCCAGGGCAGGACCCUCCAGCGAAGAUUUCUUCCCCCGUUUGGAGAUCAUGGUCUCCGGGUCCUCAGAGGCGGUCCUCUUCCUUCCUUGGGGAGAGGAAGUUUCGGUUCCUCCUCCCCGGUUAACCUCCUUCGCGGAGGCGCUANNNNNNNNNNNNNNNNNNNNNNNNNNNNNNNNNNNNNNNNNNNNNNNNNNNNNNNNNNNNNNNNNNNNNNNNNNNNNNNNNNNNNNNNNNNNNNNNNNNNNNNNNNNNNNNNNNNNNNNNNNNNNNNNNNNNNNNNNNNNNNNNNNNNNNNNNNNNNNNNNNNNNNNNNNNNNNNNNNNNNNNNNNNNNNNNNNNNNNNNNNNNNNNNNNNNNNNNNNNNNNNNNNNNNNNNNGAUAAGGCGCGAUCUCCAGCAUCCUGGUUAGCACGGGAUUUGGUGAUGUCUCAGGGAGGGGGCCAGACACCUGAUCAACUUUGCCUUCGCUAUCCAAUCCUGGUCAAAGAGCGGAUUUUUUAGGGCGACGUUGUGAUAAAUAAACGGACAGUGUGUUCGGAUGUGGGGCUACUUACUUGGGUAUCCAGGCGAUUGCAGCUCAGACCUGCAUCCUCAGUGAUGUCCGGACACAUUAUUUGUGGUCCGAAGAACAAUUUGUACAUCUCCUCGGGCAUCAUGCCAAGGAAGUGUUGAAUAGCUCGCGGUCCUUCCGGGUUGAAUUCCCACAUGCGAAGGGGCCGGCGUUUGCAAGGCUGGACUCGAUGAACUAGCAUAACUUGCACUACCAUAACCAGACUGAAAUCUCUCUCAAAGAGAUCUCAGAUACAACUUUGCAGUAUUGGCACGUCCUUGGCUGGACCCCAGCUCAGCCUCCUGUUGAUCCAUGACAUCAGUUGUGGUGGGGGGCCUAAGCGAAAGGUGGGGGCAGCUACCCACUUGGCACUUCGGGGAGCUGUGAUGUAGAACCACUCCCGCUGCCACAAUCCGGACACCUCUGGGAAGCUACCCUCGGGCCAGGGAGCGUCAGCGAUUUUGCUUAUUAAAGUGCAUCCGCACGCUGCAUGCUGCCCCUCGAUCAUCUUCGGCUUCACAUCGAAGGUAUUGAGCCACAGGCCGAAGUGAGGGUAAUGCGGAGGAAGGCCUCACAUACGACAAUAAAUGACGAAAUGUGAAGAAGGGAAUCCGGGGCCAGAUCAUGAAAAUCUAGCCCAUAAUAGAACAUAAGACCCCUAACAAAGGGAUCCAGAGCGAGGCCUAGUCCUCGGAGGAAGUGGGAGACGAACACGACGCUCUCGUUGGGUUCGGGAGUAGGGACGACCUGCCCUCGGGCAGGCAGCCGAUGCGAAAUUUCGGCGGUUAGAGAUCUGGCCUCUCUCAACUUCUUGAUGUCCUCCUCCAUGAUGGAGGAAGGCAUCCACCGACCUUGAAGGUUGGAUCCGGACAUAGUUCAAGGUCCGAAGAACCUGACCUGAGUUUUGGGUGUUAGAACUCGAGGCGGGGGAAGGAUUUGAUUGAGCACGAGAGGGAAAAAAGAAAAGGCCUUGUCCCCUUUAUAAAGAGGGUGAAUAUCAAGCGCCCUCCUCGUGGCCGUUUGGGACUUGCCUAAGAUCUAGGAGUCUUACCAAUAGGCACGGUUGGUUUACCGAUGUCCGUAUUGAUGAGAAUCCCAUGAUAAGGGGGACACGAUCUCUGCUUUGACAAGACGUGCCAAGGAAACCCCCUCGCGAAACACGCUGAGAUGGGUUAUGAAAAACAAUUCGAAUAAAGACCUGGUUGUGGUGUGAUGUCACACUACGGGGUACGUCAGCAGAUUAGAUUUGUGGAAAUAUUAUUCUCUCUGCGGUGGUAUGUGGAACUCGUUUUGCAGAGCCGGACACGAUCCUCGUGUUCAAGAUCUUCUAUGAAGUAUUCGGAGGAGGAACCCGCCUUGCAAUGCCGAAGACACUGUGCGCUGGACUCAUUGUCAUUGAAUCCUGGUUCAGGGGCUACUGAGGGAGUCCUGGAUUAGGGGGUAUCCGGACAGCCAUACUAUAUCCUUUGGCCGGACUAUUGAACUAUGAAGAUACAAGAUUGAAGACUUCGUCCCGUGUCCGGAUGGGACUCUCCUUGGCGUGGAAGGCAAGCUUGGCAGUACGGAUAUGUAGAUCUACUUCCUUGUAACUGACUCUGUGUAACCCUAGCCCCCUCCGGUGUCUAUAUAAACCGAAGGGUUUAGUCCGUAGGACAAAGAACAACAAUCAUACCAUAGGCUAGCUUCUAGGGUUUAGCCUCUUCGAUCUCGUGGUAGAUCAACUCUUGUAAUACUCAUAUCAUCAAGAUCAAUCAAGCAGGAGUAGGGUUUUACCUCCAUCGAGAGGGCCCGAACCUGGGUAAAAACAUCGUGUCCCACGUCUCUUGUUACCAUCCGCCUAGACGCAUAGUUCGGGACCCACUACCCGAGAUCCGCCGGUUUUGACACCAACACUCCACCUACCAAAACCAGCUGCAAGCCAGGGACAAUCAACAGGUUUCUCCGCCCGUAGCAUCUAUCACCAAAAGAAGUUCAGACUAUAGUCUUGUAGUUCAAAAUUUUGUAAUAACAAGCACUACUAGGUUGCUUUUGUUUGUACCUCUUCAUUCUGUACAACCCAUGGAACUAAAAAUGCAUUGGUCAUUCUUUGGUCUAUACAACCAAUGCAACCAAAAAUGCAUUGGGCUUUUCUUUGUACAUCUUCGGGUUCCACAACCAAUGCAACAAAAAAUCCAUUGGGCAGUCUUCCAUUCUAGUCGGGCACCAAUAGUUAAACGAGGAGCUAAACAAUGUUGGAGUCUAAAACUACAUACAAUCAUGAAGCAGAGAGAGGCGACUUGGAAGAUGUGCUCCUGUGAGCUCAUAUUUUUUUAGACAAAAAGUAAUAUUUGUAUUUUGAAGUGGGAAAAAUCCUAAAAAGGGAUGUUUUGCGGGUUAUAACUUACUAUUUUGGGUCCUGGGAUGCAGGAAGGUCGUAAAAAAUCAAUGUGUUUUCCCAUUCAUGCAUGUUUCUUGGGUUAUAGGUCACGCUUUUCGUGUCCUAGGGAGAUCACUUCCCCGGUCAAGAACAUUAGGUGAUGAUUUUUAGCAAAACUCAUUGUUUUAGCCUAACUAGUUUCGAGGAUUCGUGGAUGAGAUUAUCAUGGAACAAAGUGACAACCUUCCUUUUCUUCAUGCCUAAUAUAAACUUAGCAGUCAGCUAAAAGUAACUAGCGAUAUCACAAAAUGUUUUUUGUCAAAAGUAGAUACCACUUUAGGAUUCAACUCCGUUAGUUCAAUCACAGACAUGUUAAGAGCAGGAUUUACAACUAACUGCAUAGGGAACAUCUCCUUUUAUCGCCCACUAUCUGUAUUCGCACUUUGGUUUUCCCGUAGCAACACACAAAGCACUUUGUUAGUGCCAAUAAUGUGCUCCAACUCUACAUACUAAUCAUCUUGAAUUCUUCUACUGAUGUCGAACAAUGUUAUAUCUUGAAUUCUUCUAACGAGUUCGGAUUAGACUACAUGGGCAAUUUAUCUGGUCCCUGAGAUGCAAGGUCGAUGAACAAUCGCUUCGUCUUAUGACAACGGAUUGUGUUUGCCUAAGAAACCAAUACAUAUAACUUCGACACCAGAUUAAUAAAUGGUAAAACCUAAAUAAAUUAGAUCACGAGCUAAACCAUUUACUUUUGUAUGCAUUUAAACUUUUGAUACAUAUAAGCUUGUUAAGAUGUUCGCAUAAAUACCAUGGUGAUUUGAAGCAAGACAAAGUAAACUUGAACCGCUUGAGCCAUUGACUUAAUAAGAACCUCCUUUCCCAUGGCAGAGAUUGUUUUUAAUACAUCCACUCACUUUGGCCCAUAGUUUGUCUUUGAGAUACUUAAAAGCACUAGACAUAGAAUUGCCAAUAUUAGAAGGCAAGCCCAAAUAUUUCUCAUUUAGUGUUUCUACUUGGACACUGAGACCACCUUUGACCUCAUUUUUGACAUUCUCUGUACAAUCCUUGCUGAGAAACACUGAAGGCUUCCUAUUUAUUUAUUCUUUGACCUAAAACUUGAUCGUGUCAUGUUUACUUAUUCUCCAGCCGAUGAAUAUGCAAGCUUCGUUGCGUCUUGCCUUGGUCUUGCACUGCUUGCGGCACAAUACGCCUUUGGAACUGUCGUUCCGAAUUCAGAGUGCCGAAGGUGGUAUGACGAUGUUGAGAUACCGUACAUGUUCGGUAGUGAUUCGGGUUGAUCAUUCAGAGUAGACUUUGACAAUAGCUGCAAGGACAAGAUUGCAUUAGGGAGCCUUUCAAGUACACCUUAGAGGUGCUCAGCAUCUUCUUGAUGAACAACAUGGUCCUAGUGUUGAAUAAUAUCAUAUGGGGUAGUUCUACAACAACUCCACCACAAGCAUGGAGGAAUUUAGCAAAUUCCAUCAGUACUAGGAAAAAGCCCAGUAGCAACGCAGGGUAAAGGACUACUAGUAGCGCGGGUGCCCACACUAUUACUAGGGCGCUACAGCUAACUAGUAGUAGUAGCGCGGGUGCCACCCUGCGCUACUACUAUGUCUGUUAGUAUAGUAGCGCGGGUGUCACCCGCACUACUACUAGUUAUCUGUAGCCCGGGUCUGACCCCGCGCUACUACUAACUAAUAAGGAAUUAAAAAUAAAUUCCAUCUGUGGUUGCUGCUGCUGGGCGUCAUCGUCCUCUCCGUCCAUGGCUGAUGUUGGUCCUGGAGGGGAUGACGUCGUCCAUGGUGAUGGUACUUCCUCACCCAAAUCGUCCCCACACCUCUCCUAUGCUAUUGCUACAAAAUAAGAGAAAACGAUUAGAAGAGGAAGAGAGAUAUUGAGAGGAGUAGGAGGAGCAACUGACCAGUGGCCGCCGGAGUUGGAGCUGAUGCCCGAAACCCUAGACGAUGCCCGGUGACCCGUUGCUUCUUUUCCGGGGACCUCAUGUCCUCACAAGGCCAUGUCUCAGCAAGGAAGUGCAAGUGGUUGCGUGGCAGAUCUGUCCAUCGCCAUUGGUGGCGCUCUGCUGGAUCUCCCUCUCCUUCUAGCACCGGAGAAGGAGGAGGAAGGAGGCGAAGGUGAGGCGUAAGUCAGUGGCCCAAACUUUUUAUAUAGAUGAGCUUCUUAAGAUGCUCGCAUAAUCCCCGUGGUAAUUGGAAGCAAGACAUAGAGUAAACUAGAACUGCUUGAGCCACUAACUUAAUGAGAACCUCCUUUCCCGUAGGAGAUAUCAUUUUUUCAAUCAAUCCAUUCACUUUGUCCCAUAGUAUGUCUUUGAGAUACUAAAAAGCAGUAGAUUAGAAUUACCAAUAUCAUAAGGCAAGCCCAAAUAUUUCUCAUUUAGUGUUUCUGUUGGACAUUGAGAACACCUUUGACAUCAUAUCUAACAUUCUCUACACAACCCUUGCUGAGAAACACUGAAGACUUGCUAUUAUUUAUUCUCUGACCUGAAACUUGGCAAUAGGUUUGACACAUCUGUCGCCCCUGAAACAUUUGCCUUGAAAAACAGCAGACUGUCAUCUGCAAAUAACAAGUGGUUAACUGAUGCCACCAAAGGAGCUACUUGGAUUCCAGUAAACUGGGAUGACUAGUCUCUAGAUUUGAGGAGGCUCAAAAGGCCAUAUACUGCUAACAGGAAAAUCAAGGUGAAUUGGAUCUCGCUGCCGAAUACCACGGGUAGGUUUGAGCUCAUCAAGUUUCUUGCUCUUGAAUAAAAUUGAAUAAGAUACAGAAGCUACCAUGCUCAUUUCUAUGGAGGCCCAUUUAACAGAGAAUCCAAACUUGAGCUUUAUCACCUCCAAAUACGCCCAUUCAACUAGAUUAUAAGCCUUCAUCAUAUCCAAUUUUAGAGUACAAUGGCGAUGUUACAAUGACUUAUUCCUUUUCAUGAAAUGUAAGCACUCGUAGGCCACGAUUAUAUUGUCAGUGAUAAGGCGACCCGGAACAGAAGCCGACUAUUCACUCAAUAUUAUCUCCGGAAGGGCCCCUUUUAGCCGGUUAGCCAGAACUUUGGGUGUUAUUUGUAAAGUAAGUUGCAUAGGCUAAUACGACAGAACUGGCUUAGGAAAGUACCAUUUUGUACCUCAUCACUAUCCUCGCCUUCCACAAUACAAAGGACAACCCUUGUUACCUCCUGGCUGCAAAUAUCCCAAUGUUUCUCAAAGAAAUGUUCAGAGAAUCAGUUCGGGCCCAAGGCCUUCAUGCGGAACAUUUGAAACAAUACAGUUUAAACCUUGUUGUAGAAUACUUAGCGUCAAGGAAGGCAUUCAUCGCAUCACUGACCUUUACUGGAACCAAGUCAGGAAAGUCAUACAUAUUAGAAACAGUCUCAGAAGUGAAAAGCUCCGAGUAAAACUAUGUUGUGAUCUCUUCCAAUUCAUUAAGAACACUGAUAACAUCACAUUAGGUUGCUACAAUGAUUUGGUCAAAUUAUUUCGCCUUCUCAUCGAAGCCCUUAAGUGAAAGAAGCAUGUGGUCUUGUCCCCACUAAUCAGCCACUUAGUCUGAGAUCUAGUAGGCAAGAUGAGUGACGGGGAAGUGGUUCGGAACAAUUUCCUUUUAUUCACUUCUAAAACAAUUUUUCGGUUUUUGUCGUUCCUAAGCCAGGGAUUUGAUAAAUAGUCAUAAAUUUUUAAAAUGUUCACCAAUAUUAGAAACAUCAUGAUUUAAAAAAACAUGAUUUUUAAACAAAAUGAUAAAUAUGAAAUUUGCCAAUUUUUUAAAUUAUUCUCGAAAUUUUAAAAUAAAAUCAUGAAUUUUGAAAGAAUUUUCAAAAUUUUGAUAAAUAUCUGCGAAUUUUACAAAUUUGAUGAAUUUUAGAAACAAACCAUAACAAAAAAAAGCUAGCAAGUUCGAUCCUAAAAAAAUGCCUUUCCUUCUACUAUGCGUAGCGUGCAUGGACAGCCCGACCUAGACGCCCCAGACCGAAAACCCUACAUCUGGGCCGGGCCGGGGCUCCAUUUUUUGGCCCAAAGCCCAGCCCAAAAAGGCAGAAAUGGUAAGAAAUGUAUGCUUUAUUCAAAAUAUAGGUAUAUUAUAUUAUUUUAAUAUCUCAAAUAACUAUUUCAAUUGAAAAAUGUCGUUGUUCAUGUGUUUCUGGACGGGCCAGGCCAGGCUCAUCCUUGGGAUUUUGGCUUCGGGCUUUGACAAGCCUGGCCCGGGGUAUGAUCAGGUUCAGCAUGGCCCAGUCACACACCCUUGUACAACAUUUUGUUGUAGAGAGCGGCAAAUAUAAUUUUCCCAAUCUAAUAUUGCUUGCUAUAAGUCUAUAUCUAUACUUUUUUCUAUACCCCUACUAAUAAAGCAAGGUGCGUUUCGCCAAGUUUUUCAUCCAUUCACUUUCGAAAACAAUUAUGUUUUCUAUCCGAGGUGGUCCGAAAUUCUUAUGCGUUCAUCUGCUAAAAGAAAGGCUUUUCCGGAAUUUCUUAGGUGGGCUGCGCGCUAUGGCCAGUAAAGUCAGUCCACUUAUUUUUCUGCCCAUGCAGCUGCGAAAAUUCUAUUUUCCGUACAAGGCAAGAAAUAGUCGGCACUUCGCACUGGAAAACAAAUAAUGGGCUAGCCCAUUUUUCUUUGUUUAUGUGUUUUAUUUCUAUUUUUAUUCUCCUUCCCCUAUUUCUUUUUUCACUUCCAAGUUUAUUUUUCUUAUAGAAUUUAUUUAAUAAAUUCAAAAUUCUCAAAAAACAUAGAGAAUUUUAAAAAAUAAAAUAUGGAAAAUGUUCCUAACUCCAAUUUUUUGCUAUUUUAAAAAAUAUCAGAACUUGAAAUUUUUUUCCUUUUUCCGAAAAUUUUAUUGUUUUUAAAAAUUGUUAGAGAUUUCUAAAAAAAAUGGAAAUUUAAAAAGUCCUCCAAAUUCGAAAAAAAUCAUGUUUUAGUGAAAUUUUCACAAUUCAAAAUAUUGUUAAAAAAUACACAUUUUAAAAAAUUAAGGAUUUUCGAUACAUGUUCCUGUUCUAAAAAAUUGUUGACAAAUUCAAAUAAUGUUCAUGUUUUUAUUUUAAAAGUUUGUGUUUUCAAAAAAAAUUGUAAAUUUUAAAAGAUGUUCCUAUUUCAUAUUUUGUUCAUGUUUUUCUGAAAGUGUACCUAAUUUUCAAAAAACUGUUCAGGAUUUAAAAAAUGGUUCAUGUUGCCUACAAUAUUCGGAAACUUCAUACCUUAAAAUCUCCUCGAUUAAAGGAAAAAUACAUUGAAUAAUUCAUGGGCAUUCUCCGGUGUACGAUGACGUAGCAAAACUCUUAAAUGCCCUCAAUCAAUGAAUGGAAAAAUAGCGAAUUGAUUACUUCACACCCGGCGAAACAAAGAAGCUAAAUGCUCCCUUUUUACGUGCACAUAGGGUUUUGUUUGCACAAAUAAUUCUCACUAACUUCAAAUCCAUACUAAUUUUUCUCCCAUUGCAAAGCACGGGCAUAUGUACUAGUUACUAAUAAAGCAAGGUGCGUUUCUCCAUUAUUUUUCAUCCGUUCACCUUCAAAUAAAUAUGUUUUAUCCACGGUGGUACUAAAUUUUUUUGAGUCCAUCUGCUACAAAAAGGAAAACAGUUUUGUCAAAAAUUUCGUACGUGGGCCGCGCGUGCUGUGGCCCAGCGAAGCCGGCCCAUUUAUUUCCGGCCGAAGCAGCUGCGAAUCCUUAUUUAACGCUUGGGGCGGUAAAUAGACAAAGUUUGGCAUAGGGCGCCCAAUAUUUGGUCGGCCCAUAUUUGUUUUUUCUCUAUUUCUUUUCUUUUUUUUCUUUUCCUUUCUCUUUUUCUUCUCUCUUUACUUUUUCUUUUUUACCUUUCAAGUUUAUUUUUCUUUUCUCCUUUUUCAUAAAUUAAAUUUUUCAAUAUUUCAGAAUUUUAAUUUUGGAUUAAAUUUUCGUAAAAUCUUCAUAAUUAUUUUUUGCCCAUUUUGAAUUGUUUUUAAACUAUAUUUUUUUCUUCUUCUUCUUCCAAAAUUUAUUCAAAACUAUAGAAUAAAGUUUGCAUAUUAAUUUUUUUAUGCUUUCCAAAAUUGUUUGAUAUUUACAAAAUAUAUUGCAUUAAAAAAUUAAAUAUGUAUAUUUUAUUGAAAUGUUCAAAAAUUCAAAGUAAUGUUUGUGUUUAAAAACAUGUUUUUCAAAAUUCUUUUCAAUGUCCAAAACAUGUUUUCAUUUUUUAAAAAAAUCAUGUAUUCAAAACAUGUUUGCUUUGUUAUAAUAGGUUCAUAUUUUCAAAAAACGUAAAUUUCGAAAAAUUGUCACAUCUUAAAGAAUAUUCGAAAUAUCGUAAUUAUUACUUUAUUUUUUGAAAAAAAUCAAGAAAAACAGAAAAAAAAAUUGUAUGUUACGCUACAGUAUAUUUUUAAACUUUCGCCCUGGCCAUUUGUUAGCAUGAGCUGUUUGUUCGAGUGGCUAGCAGCACGUGGUCGAGUUUUUGAGGUCAUGAGUUUGAUCCUUCAACUCAGUAGUUGUUUUGAAUUUUUAUUCACGCCUUACAAAUACAAGUCAUUUUGGUACCUGCCAGCGGCCUGGCCAGACUCGAACUGUCGUGCAUCCGACGUGCUAUUUGACGAUAAAAGAGAUUAUGUUACUUGACUAUAAUUAAAAAAAUGUGGGCACAUGCCAAUAAAAGAGGAUAUGCUGGUUUGGCUCCGAUUAAAAAAAUGUUGGCAAGUGAGCGUCGAAAUAAUUAAAGAGAAUAAACGCUGGCAAAGUAGGGGCUACCUGGUUACGUGCUUAUUAUACCAAAGAAACGGGAUUUCCUGCAAUUAGUACUUCAUCUGGUUACACCAUCAUAGGAGAGAGUAGUCGAAGCAACUAUGUCAUGAAGGUCGCCGUGCUGCACAAAAUGAGGAGGCAACCGCAACCUAGACACGGAAGCAGACUCGGAGAAAAAAAGCGCAAGUUGGGUGGUGGCCACCACUCCACCAACCCCAUCACUAUCAAGAACUCGUGGGCCAAACAUGAUCUCGAGAACAUCGCCGGGGAGACCUUUUGAUGGACACAUCAAUUAUCUCUCCUGAUACUUCUCGUUAAAAAUAUCUAUCUAGUUCUAACACACGGGCAUAUGUGCUAGUGAUAUAUAAAAUAUGUUGUGCCAAUGAGCACACGGGCUAGCGAGACUCGCCCUGCUUUCAUGUCAUACCGGAGUCCAAACACUCGACUGGAGGGUCCAACCUUAGCGACAGAGUCUUCUUUUGUUGGGAGAAUCUAUAUAUCCGCGAGUGUUAUAUCUCGCAUCUGGUUUACGCGCAGUGCACCUAACCACUAGGCUUUGCCUUACAUUCAUGACAGAGUAGUAAAGCUAGAUUGUUUAAGUCCACACGAGUCAAGGUUUUCAAUGUUUCUUCUCCAUUUUUUUCAUUUUUUCAUUUUUGUUUUUAUAUUUAUUUCUGUCGGGUUUGUUUGAUCCCUUUCGAGGGCAUAAUAGAGGAACCACACCGUGGUGAUGUGGAUGGGUUUAUAGAUACCAUCACUGUAGGGGAAACGAGGAAGGUUUCCGAUGCACGAAUCACUAGCAUACAUUUUCAUGUUUUACGCUAAUUUGCAAUAUUUGCUAGUCGUUGCUUAAUUGGUCGCGGAAACUAUGGAAAUCUUAGUGUUCCUGAUAUUAUUAUUUUGUUCCACGGUUUAUUCUGUGAUAACUCUAUUAGUAUGGGCGGUAUUAUUGCUAAACGGUUAAGUCUGAACUGUACAAAGGGCCCCAUCUUUGGAGGCAUCUAUGCUUCACGCCUAGCUGCGCAUUUUAACAUAGCUAUUAGGCAUUAUGAGAAGGAAGAAAAAUUGCUACCCCCUGUUUAUUUAGAUUAUAAUAGUAUGGUGGCACACGAUUUUAUUGUUAAGAAUAGGGAAGGGGAGCUUAAAUACAAAUUGUUCUUUGAUAAACAUCAUUCUGAGACUAUUACCCUGUCUGCUCCUUCCUUGUUUGAUUUAUCUGCAGGCAAGUACCUCGUUCCAUCAGAGGCUAUUCACGCCUACCGAAAUCCUACAUCAGCCAUAGAGCCAGAGUCGGAACCACAAGUUGAUUCUCCACGACAGUCUAAUUACCAUUGGGAUCCAGAAAUAAUUGCCACCAGUGGCAAUCAGAGUCUUCUUCGCAGUACGACCCCAACUAUUACUAUGGAUAUCCGCCAGGCCAGCCGUGGCCAUAGACCAACUUAGGUCAAAAGCCUAAGCUUGGGGGAGUACGUAUUUCCCACCGACAUUACAUUCAUGUUCGCACACUCAUUGCUAGAUGUCGGUGCUCAUACUUUUUCAUUGUAUCAUCCAUACUAGUUCAUUUCCUUUUUAAGCUUUCUUCUUGUGUGUUUAAUAAACCUUAAGAAAAACCAAAAACAUUAGUUGUAGCUUUUAGCUAGUUUUAAUUUCCAUGCUUGUAGUAGUAAUUAAAAAGAAAACCCAAAAAAAAAUUCAUGUUCUUCUUUUGCUUGUUGGGAGCUUUCCCGUGUAAAUAGUUUUAUUUUUUUUCUUUUCUUUGGGGGUCGAUAGGAGAAGACCAUGAUUAAAUUGUUGAAGUGACUCUUAUAUGUAUUUCUGUUGAUCUGACAAAAGAGCCCAUAUUGCCUCGACUUCUUCUGUUUAUUGAAUGCUUGCAGAUUCCAGCUUAGUCCAAUGCACGUGCACUAUUAUUAUUAUCCACAAAAUUAAAUUUCAUAAAGAGAAAAAAUGAAUGGUACGAAUACUUUUUAAAAUUAGGUGAUUUUUUUACAUUUUCAUGAACAGUUUUAAGAAAUGUCAUGAACAUGUAUUAAACAAUUGAACCUUUUUUAAGACACAAACAUAUUUUUACAGGCAUGAAUAUUUUUUCAAAAUUGUGUUAAUAAUUUCUUACAUUUCAUAGACAUUUCUUUAAUACACGUUUAAAUUUUCUGGAGAAAUUAUUUAAAGUAAUUUUUUAAUACAGUUUUUUGAUAUUUCAAUAUAUAAACAAAAGAAAAAAUCAAAAAAAUAAAAAUAAAUUAACAAUUACCAGGUCACCCACUGUAGACCCUCAUUUAGGCGAGGCGAAUGCCUAUGUCUUAAUAAGGCGAGGCGCCAUCCAUAUCUCGCUUGGAACGAGAAGUACACACGCCUUAAAUAUAUACAUUAAAGUAUUUGUAUUUUAAAUAUUUAAUAAAUAUAUUUUUAUGUAUUGAAAUGUUUAUCAGGUAUUCAAGAAAUAUUUAUCAGGUAUUAAAAUGGUUUAUUCUGUUUGAAAAAUAGGAUAAUUUUGAUACUAUUUUUAGUAAUCAAAAUAAUAAGAUGCAGAGGUACAAAACUAAAAAAGAUAAAAUAAGAUUUAAAACAGAGCAAGUGGAAAAGGUUACAAAUCGAAGAAAGUUUUCUACCCAAAAAAGGUUUUUUUUUUGUUCUGACAAACUUGAAAAACCAUUGCGAACUGAUAAAAAAUGCUUUUCAAAAAAUCUUUAUAUACUGUUCAUUUUUCUGAAAGAAGUAGAAAAAAGAAUUGGACAAAAGAAAAGCAGGAAUGAGAGAACCGGAAGGAAUAGCGAAAACCAAACAAAACCCCGGUUCCUAGAAAAAACUGCAAUAAAAACCAAUGUAAGAUGCACAAAAUAAUCGAUGAAGAAAACCAAACAGUAUUGCGCCAGCCCGUGUUUGGUGCGGUUGUAGGCGAGCAUGACUUCGGACUCGCACUAGGCCAGAUAAGAAGGACCUUGAUAAGUUCCACACUUGUGGCAUGAACACAUGGCAACUCCGAACAUUUUAUUUGACAAGUUUAGUGACGCAAGGAUGACAACUUUAGUCAUCAAGCACGACAACUUUCCUUUGGGUUGGCAAGUUUUAGGGUUUUUUUUUCCUUUUCGGAUGACAACUUAGUUGUAAGAAACGUCAGUACCGGGGUGCUUUGUGCCACAUGUGUGGCACUUAUCAUUUGGAAAAAAGAAACCAGACAUAGCCUUUCCGCUUCUUGUCCACCUCAGCGACAGUGGAUUGGUUGGUUCCAUUGAAUCCUUUGCAAAUAUGAUUGAACUCUAGAUAUGAAGGCGAAACCGACGUCAGAUUGAUGUGAAAGGUUAGUAUUUGCGCACAUGUGAUUAACAAGCUAGAGGGGAAUUUGAAACAAAGAUUGCAAGCGUCCAAGAAGAAGAAGAAGAAACAUCUAUCCGUGUAAAGUGUAACAAAGGGAGCAGUACGUAUGUGGAAUAUUCUUGUCAUUGUAUUUGAAUUUUCUUAGCCAUCCAAGAUUAGAAUAAAUAAUUGCUAACUAGUAGGUGUGCGCGUGCGUAGAAUGGUGACCCCCACACGGACGCAAAGGGGAGACAACACACCUAAGGCUAGGUAGCACCUAGCUUCACACCACUGCAUAUUGCCUGCACGAAAAACUCAAGGCCAGCAACAAGGCUGCUUGAUCGUGGGACCAUGAAAAGCAUUUCCAUAACACAUUUCGUUGUUACCUCUCGAGCAUACGUGUAGCACACACCAAGGUUUACAAUGUCUGCAACAUGCAAAUUGCGGGCCUUAUCGACCAAUUUCAGACAUAUUUAUUUAUUUGGAUUUUCAAAAUUCUCUAAAUUUAAGUCUUGCUGGAAUUUGGCCGAAUAAUUCAAGGGUAAAUAUAUUCCGGCGCCCACCGAGGAAUCUACUGGAAUUUCGUCAAAAUUUCGGUCGAUGUCUGUUUACGUACAGUACAUACGGACGGACGGACAAACACAAAAGAAGAAUUGGUCCAUGUGAUGGGAAGAAGAAAAGAGAAAAUGAAAUGGGCUCUUGCAUUGGUAGUAACUUAGCAAGGUGGAUAAUGUUGUUGCAUGCUUGUGAAACUUGGAAUCCUUUUUGAAAAUCAACAUGAGAGAGUAGGUUGAGAUGUUGAGGUAAGUAACUAACUUACUUGCAUGCCCUACCUUCCUUUUUGAAUUUUGAGCAAGCCGCUAGCUUUGCUUCCACUGUUGGAAGUCCCCAAGCACAAAACUCAUGCACCCUACGUCCACCCCAAGCAACCCCUCUCCUCUCCAAGAAAUAUUCUUCCUCUUCUUCUUCUUCUUCUUCCCUCUCAGCUCGUCUCUCUAGCUUAGCAUGCAUGCGUGCUCCCGCCAUUUGAUCGUCAAAGCUUAUAUAUACACGGUACACCAGGCUCCUCCGACAAGACAAGAUCAUCCCUUCUCCCAUCCUUGCCCUCCUCCAUUGAUCCAUUCCUUCAAGCAAGAAACAAACAAACAAACAGAGCUCCACCGCCGAGAAACCUCCACCAAUGGCGACCACCAAGAAGAGGGAGAUGGUGUUCUUCGACGUGGAGGCGGCGCAGUCCCCGUCGCCGCCCGGCGAGUGCCGCCUGCUGGAGUUCGCUGCCACCCUCGUCUGCCCGCGCCGCCUCGUCGAGGUCUCCAGCUACUCCACCCUCAUCCGUCCCGACGACGUCGCCAACGACGGCAGUGUCCACCUCCCCUCCUCGGCCCCCUCGUUCGAGGACGUCUUCCCGGACAUCUUCGAGCUGCUGGACGGCCGCGUGUGGGCGGGCCACGGCAUCCGGCGCUCGGGCUGCCUGCGGGUGCGCGAGGCCUUCGCCGCCUUCGGCCUGCCCGCGCCGGAGCCCGUGGGCGUCGUCGACUCGCUCGACGUGCUCCUCGCGCAGGGCAGCUUCGGGCGGGCCGUCGCCGGGGACGACGGUCAGGACGAUGAGGCGGCGUCGGCGGCCCUGGCGGAGCACUUCGGGAUCGGCGCGCGGCGGGCGCGGGGGCUCCGGUGCCUGGACGGCGCCCGCGUGAGCCUCGAGGUGCUCAAGCACUGCGCCGGCGUGCUGCUGCUCGAAUCCAGCCUCCGCGGCGACGUGCCCGCCGGCGCCAGCCGCAGGAGCACGCCCACGCCUAGCAGCAGCAACAACAACAACACGUUGGAGAAGGCGUUUGCCCGCGCGUCGGCCAAGACGACGACGCCGGCGAAGGCGGCCACCGCUCCUACUCCUCCGUCUCCUGCUGCUGCUUCUCCGGCGGCUGUUCAGAAGGUGAGUACGAGCACGGGGAAGAGGGACAGCACGGGGAAGGUGGUGGUGGUGGUGAAGAAGGGAGCGACAGCGGCAACUGUGACGACAACGACGGCUACCGGAGGUCGCCGGGUGCGGCCGCCGGCGCCGCCGUUCAGCAUGAUCCUCAGGCACUCGAGGGCCGUCAUCAGAUGAGAUGAUGAUGAUACAACCAAUCAUCUCAUCUCACCACUGAUUAUUGCACAGCUUAAUUGUAGUUCUGAUCCAUUAAUUUAUUCACAUUUGCAUUCCUUCGUUCAUUUGUAAAUUGUACACACCUGUAAAUUGGCUAGGCUGUGUUCAUAGUUAUCCUUAACUCAGGUUUAGUUUGACAGCAAUGAUUGUUGUAACCAUCACCAUCAUCAUCAUGUUGUAAAAAGACAGUCCAUUUCAUUUUAUUUGUAAAUAAAUGAUGCAUUUCAUUUCAUUUGCCUCAAUCUAUGAAUAGCAAUUCAUCAUUCAUCUCUGGGUUUCUUGUUUCUGUUCUGUCUGAGUGGUUAGAUCAGGCUAUUCACAUGGAUUGUAUCUAGAGUAUUUUAUCCCCUUUGAUUCCUACCAUAAGAAUCGAGCCUAGAAAAAACAAGAAGCAAGAACAAGAACACGAAUUUGAGGCAAUUGUUGUUGUAACCAUCAUCAUCAAGAUGUUCUUCUCCCUCAAUUGGAGCAUCACCAAUUUGCUAAUACUGUAUUAUUAUUGCAAGAUGAGAUGUAACCAGUUCUUGUACAGGAGUAACAAGAAUAGCAAUUCAUCAUUCAAUUAUUGGUUAUGUUUUGUUAGGCUAUUCAUAUGGAUUGUAUCUCUUGAUGAUUCCUUCCUGGAGGUAGUUUUGUUUAUUUGAUGGUGAUUCCUAGGACAAGAAAAUAUUGAACAGAGACAAAACAAAAAGCAAGAACAAGAACAAACGUCUGUCUCAUCUUUGUCCAUCACCAUCGGCAUCAGAUUCAUCCACACCAACUAGAAUUGAGCAGCAUCCCAUCAACAUCCAAAGGAAAGACAACAAGAAUUCUUCAUCUCAUCUCACCCUUGCUUGGGACCAAACAAAACAACACUCCAUAUACAUAUAUAAAGUUUCAUUUCACUACACAUCAGCAUCAGCUUUGCAACAAACACCCUCCAAAGGGCAACAAGAAUUGAUAGUCUCUUGGCCAACAACACUUUGAUUUCAAAAGGAUACUAACAAGGCCAGACAAAGUACAAUUCAAGGGCAACACAAGAUUGUCCAUCUUUUGGCCCACAACACCUCAUUUGCUACAAUAAGAGGUUAACCAAAGCCAGACAAGGUACAAUUCAUGUUACAGCAGUAUUGUGCAUACAGAUUGGACCAAGUUCAUCUAAAAAUAAGGGUCCGUGAAAAUUACAUCGAGCCAAGAAGUGUGCACACAAAAGCCCCACCACAGGCUGCAAACACAAAAUGAACCAGGGCGGCUGAUGCUGCCUAAGAACUGUGUAAAGAAAACUAUAUGAUGACAGCUGAAUGUCAACAUCAAAAUUCACAGAUAGAUGCUAUGAUAAUACCACAGGAACAAAGAGGAUUUAAUAUAAUAAUAUAAUAGUUUCUUAAUUAUGCAUCUGAAUGCAGGGCAGACGGUAUUUACAGACUCUGAACACACCAUGGACUGGGACACUUGCUAGACUCUGAACACACCCAUGGACUGGGGACACUUGCUAGACACAAGACACACACACAUUACACAAGAUGUAGAUACAGGACACAACGGACGGGAGACCUCGCCUAUGUACAUAACCGAAAGCUCUCUGCGAUUGCGCAGUUUCAAAAGCGACAACCAGGCGGGCGACGAUGAGGACUCAACUCAACUCAACUAGAUAAACUCUGACUCGAAUAGGUACUACUAGCUUAGCUUAGGAUUAAAGGGACUAGCUGUAUCUCGGGGGCGGAAAAUUUACAUGUUGGGGGGGUGGGGUGCGGGUGCAAAAUGGCGCUAAUGGUCAAUGGUGAAUUGGUGGUAUGGCGAAAAUGCUCUCAGGCAAAGCCUUCAAUCCUCACUUUCGGGCUACUACUCGCCCCGCAAGACGGAGAGCCUACUUCAGCUCUUCCACCAAGCAUCUUGCUGAAUGGGCUCCCUAGAGGAGAAAAACAGGGGGUAUUCCUACCAAACUGCGGAUCAUUCACAAUGGGGUUGUUAGUGCGGACGGGAGGCGAGCCACAGAAAAAGCCCGCCUGGCCGUUGGAAUCGGUAUCAACAUCAGGGUCAUUCUGAAAGGCAAGAUACAAACAAUCUCGUAUCAGAUAUCAAUGAUGUGGUGCUGUAUAUGAUAAACAGGAACUGGCGAUUUAAAGCACCAAGGUUACCUUGCUGAGGAUGAGAUCAAGGAUAUCAGAGGCGGAGUCUGUUCUAUACACCGGUAGCGUCCUGCAAAAAUCAAAGCAACAUAGGUCAGACUCGCUUGAUUUGUCGCUACUGAACUUUUGUAACGGUACCCAGACGGUUAUGAAAUGUGCCGUGCAAAUGGUAUAUAACUCUAAAUUAUGUCCCCUGCCUACUUUGUCGGGACAUACAACCGUAUGCUGUUUGCAUACUAUGCCGUUGCAUGCUUAUGCUUCUAGUUAAGCAUUUAGUGUUGUCUCAUGAAAGAAGCUAUCGACCGUUAUAGCCUUAUAUGUCAAGUCUGUUCUACUUCACUAAUUUUUGUUGGUUCAAUUGAGGCAUGGUGUGCUCGCAAGAUGCAAACCCUAAACCAACUUUGUUGCCUACUUUGUCAUCGUACGUGCACGCUUUGCUGUCUGCAGGUUCUGAUAACGUGUGCAUGCUUCGCUGCCUUCCUAGCUUCUGGUAAGGUAUAGUUAGUGAUGUCCCAUGUAAUAAUCUCUCGACCGUUAUAAGCACCCUACAUCAUGUUUCUUUUCCCUCCAAAAAAAAAUCCUAGCUACCUUGCAUGCUUAUGCCUACUUGCUGCUGCACAAGAUUAAUAAUAGAGUGUACGCCUUAUUACACAAUCAUGAUUCUAACAAGAUCAUAUGCAACCUCGUAGCUGACUACGCUAAUACCACAUAUCAAUCAGCAAUUCAAGUUAAAUUAACUAAACACACAACAACAUGUAUGCAAGCAACUGGAUGAUGAUGAUGAUGAGAGAGUUACCACACCCACCCGUUGUUAGGCCUGGAGGUGGCCCUGCCGAAGGGCUCGACGGGGUGUGGAGGACGGGCCGGGCGUCGCGGCAGCGGGCAUAUGACCUCGAUGCGGGCCGGCUGUGCCGCCACGGCCACGUCCAUCUGCCAGAACCUCGACCUUCGGUCAGGCGCCGCCACCAUCAGGGGCUCUCCCCAGGGGCAGAGCUGCUGCUGCUGCUGCUGCUGGGUGGGCGUGGCCCCUCCGCCCGCGCUGAGCCUCAUGGUGUAGUGCUCCAUGCCUGCCUCCUUGCGACGUUCGGCCUCCUGCAACUGCAAGAAGAAGAAGAAACAGAGUAGUUGAUCAAGACGCAGGAAAUUUGUCUGUUGUUGGCAGCGGUAGAUUGCGCUGCGUGUAGAAUAGUAGUUGAUCCGCAGGUGAAAUCACGCACGCGUGCAUAAAAUAAGAAGCGGAUUCUUGCGCUGCGGAUAAAAUUAUUUUCUUGGUCAACAUGCAUACAUGGAGGAGGAAAUCUUGCACAUGGUGGCGGUGGUGGGGAAAGUGGUAUUUUAAUUUACUAAUUUUUUUGGAUACAAGUGUGAGCGGAUCUGCUGUUGGUGCGGGGGAAGCGUUAGGUGGGAUUCUUGGGAAAUCCGGGAGGGGAACCUCAGAUCCGCCCCGCUCGCGCCAGAAAUCGGCGGAGCGGGGAGCCGAGGACAAUGGAGGGCCGACAGGAAAAAUCCACGCAGCGGAGAAAUCGAAGAAGGUGGGAGGGUGGGAGGGGGGACAUGAAGGAGCAUGGAGAGAAGAAGAAGGGAACACUGAAAUUUGAAAAUCCAAGAGCGGCAUGGAUAGAUCCGGUUCAGAGAGAGGCGCUCACCGGGAAGGCGCUAGCAGAUCCGCCCCUGGACGCUCCUCCUUCUCCUCGUCGUCGGCGUCGUACGGUCUUCUUGUUCCAGGCCGAAAGAAACCCUACCUACCUACCUACCUACCUAGCAGCAGCAGCAGCAGCAGCACCUCCUCGCCAUGGCCCUGCCGCCGCUGCACAUGUAUUACCAAGGUGUGGGUCGGGUCGGGGCGGAGUGAAGGGGGUGAGGGGAGGGAGGGAGGGGGUCUGGCUGGCUGUUCCGGCCUUGCGACGGCCACACGCCCCGCGGCCCCUUCUUAUCGCGGCCUACACCGGAUGACACGUCACCCUCUUCCUGCCUGCGGUUUCUCUCUUUCCGCCCCCUCCUCCUCCCCCUCCCCCGCGCCCGCCCAAAGUAUACGCGGUUAAUACGAGCAAGCAAUCCUGUACAAUCAAUGCACUCCACUAUACAAAUACUACUCACAAAUGCAUAUACAUAUACAAACUUCAUCACUCCAUUAACAACUCCACUUUCGGCAGGCGGUAAAUACUCCACCGUCAAAUCAAAUCAAAUCAAAUCAAAUCAAAUCAUACACACACACACAUUGAUCCUCCACCAUCAAUGUGUGCAUGCAUUGCACACACACACAUCAUCAUCUCACAAAAAUUGUAUAUCUCCAAAGAUACGGAUAGCGCAUACAUUUCCACACAACACAUAUACGCUUCGCGCGCUUUCGAAACAAUAAAUUUAUGCGCGCGUGCCUUUCUAUUUUAUUCUAUAUAUGCCUCGCAUGCGCGCUUUUGAUGGGUACAUUUGUGUGUACGCGUGCGUGCGUGCGUGCGUGCGUGCGUGUAGGUUAACACCCACCGCGCAUUGUGCGUGCGGUGGAGCCAACGGCUCGAAAGCGAGGGUUUUGGUAUAUACGUCUGACUGACUUACUUACGCACUGCUAGUAUACUACACUAGUGGUGGUGCUAAACCGUUGCUUUCGCCCGCGGAUGAGCUGGGCACAAGUGUGUGCGUCGGUUUAUUCUAUUACUUCCAUGCCAUGUUGUUACCGGGAUUGUUUGUCGUUUCUUCGUUGACGGGGACAUCGCAAAACCUUCGUCUCUCCGGAGCUUUUCUUUCCUCUUCUAGCUAGGUACAAGCGGGUGGGCAUGGGUGGUUGCAUGUGUCGGUUACUACCAGGGUCGGUGGUGCGGUGUUUCCCUUCCCUCGUGCACAAUGAUGAUUGUCGUUCACUGUUAUUGCUUAUGUUCCCUGCCUUCUUAUACACUUUUUGUUGCACCUUGCGUGUUUUUGAAACUAAGCUCGAAAGCAAGGGUUUCGAACGUUCUAGGGUUGUGUGGUUGGUAUCACCUCUAGCCUAUUAGGGUUCUGGGGCGGACCAGUUAGCCUUCAUGUAGGCUUGCGUUGCGUCAUACACGUACUGAAACUGGGCUCGAAAAGCGAGGUUUUUCACCCGUCUACAAUCAUAGUGGAUAAUGGAUGUGUUUGUCGCAUAUGGAUGGAAACAUCUAACCCAUCUUGUCUAGGUUUUUUCUGACUAGGCAGAAACAACGGUUGCGCAUUCGCUUCACGCGUUCAUUGUCGCUAGUCUCGGUAAUGCGCUAUAUCUUCUUGGCUGCCCUUGCGACGGACGGCCACACGCCCCCCCCCCCUUCUUAUCGCAGUGGGAGCGGGCUGCAUCGGUUGACACGUGGGGGCGGCCACCUGGCCCUGGCUAUGGCCCGCACGUCACCCCCCUUUCCUGUCUGCGGUUUAUUCCUUCCGGGUAAACGACCGGGCCACCGCCACAGCCCCCGCGCCCGCCCAAAGUAUUGUACGCUCCUCCGAGGCGAUUAAUACUCGUCCUCUCUCAGUUUAUAGGGCGUGUGCGUACCCCUAGGCUAUCAAUUUGACCAACCUGAUACAAAUCAUAUAUUACAAAAAAUAUAUCAAUAUAAACUUUAGAUUUUCUAUUUUCAAACGGUAUAAUUUUUGUGUUAUAUAGUUUAUAUUAGAGUGAUAAAAUUGGCAACCUAGGUAUACAUGCAGGGCUUGUAAACUGAAACGAAGGGAGUACACGCAAUAUGUACAAUCAAUGCAGUCAGCCUAUACAAAUACAAAUGCAUAUAUACGCUUUCAUUAUUACCCAACUCCACUCUCAGCAGGUGGUAAAACCAUCAAAUCAAAUGCUACACACAAUCUCCCACCAUCAAUAUGUGUACAUAUCGCACACAAAUCAUAAUAUAUACUAUAUCACACACACAUCAUCAAUAUAUCACACACAAAUCAUCAAUCAAUAUAUGUUCCGCAAAAAAAUCAAUAUAUAUCAAAUGCCACGAUCUCCCACCAUCAAUGCAGUCUAUACAAAUGCAUAUAUACUCCAUAUAUACGCUUCCAUUAACAUCUCCACUUUCGGCAGCUAGUAAAACCAUCAAAUAAAAUGGUACAUACAAUCUUCCACCAUCAAUAUGUGUGUGUGUGUGCGCGCGCGUGUGUGUAUUGCACAUACAUAUCAUCUCAUAAAAUUUAUGUAUGUGUGUAUACUACACGCAUCCUCUCGAAAGAUAUGCUAUGCACAUACAUUUCCACACAGCAUAUAUACACUUUGGUGUGCGCUUUUAAAACAAAAAAAAAUUAUGCGCAUGUCUUGUGCUCUAUUUGUUUCAUGGGUAGGUUUGUGUGUACAUGUAUGUGUAGAUUAACGUCCACCACGUACGGUGGAGCCAACGGCUCGAAAGCGAGGAUUUUUGGAUGGCCUUGUACUAUGAUGUUGGUAUCUACGUCUGACUUACUUACGCACUACUAGUAUACUAGUGUUAAACCGUUGCUUUCGCACGCGGAUGCGCUAGGCACAAGUGUGUGCAAUGUUUAUUCUGCUACUUCCAUGCCAUGUUGUUAACGGAUUCGUUUGACGUUUCUUGAUGGACGGGGACAUCGCGAACCUUCGUCUCUCCAGAUGUUUCUUUUUCUUCUUCUAGCUAGGUAGAAGUGGGUGGACACGAGUGGUUGCACGUGUCGGUUACUAUCGGGGUCAGCAGUUGCGUCGUAUCCCUCCCUUCGUGUCGAAUGGUGACUGUCGUUAACUGUUCUUACUUAUGUUCCCUAACUUCUUAUGCGCUUAUGUUGCACCUUGCGUGUAUUUGAAACUGAGCUCGAAAGCGAGGGUUCCGAAGGUUUUAGGGUUGUGUAGCUGGUAUCAACUCUAGCCUAUCAGCGUUCUGGAGCGGACCAGUUAGCCUUCAUGUAGGCUUGCAUUGUGUCAAACACGUACUGAAACUGAGCUCAAAAAGCGAGGGUUUUGACCGGUCUAGGAUGUAUACUGGCUAAUAGAUAUGUUUGUCGCAUAUGGAUGGAAACAUCUAACCCAUCUCGUCUAGGGUUUCUCUGGCAAGGCGGAAACAACGACUGCACAUUGGUUUCACGUGUCCGUUAUUGCUAGUCUCGAUAAUGUGUCGUAUCUCCUGCGUGCAAUGAUGACGGGCGUUUUUUGUCAAUAUUGUCGACUCUCGGUUGGCUUUGCCUACUUGUUUUCGUGAUAUCCGAGGGUCCCACUUGGCAACGCUAGCCGUUCCAAAAUAGUUAGAUAAAUUAUCACAUUUUUCAUGUUGGUAACGAGUCUAUUUAUCGUCAAUCGAUGCAAAAAAUCGUAACUCUAACGGAAACAAAGGUUCUCUUGCAACUCCUACAAAAAAAGGGUUCUCUAACUAGGCGGAAACAAGGAGCACAAGUUUGGCUGCAUGCAUCAAUUACCGCCACAAACAGAUUGGCUUCCCAAUCGAAUGGCGAUUGGCAUUUCUUUUUGUUUCUAUUUUUUAUAGCAUCGGCUCUUGGUUGGCUUUCCUUACUCGUUUUGUCGAUGUUUGAGGGUGCCACUUGGCAACAUGAGUCCUUCCAAAGCAUAUAGAUAAAUUAUUGCACCCAUCGUGUUGGUAAUGGAUUUGUUUGUCGUCUAUGGGCGGAGACAUCGUAAUCCAUUCGUCGCAUCUAGGGUUUCUUCUCACUAUGCAGAAACCAUGGGAGACAUGGUUGUUUGCAUGCGCUCAUUACAUUGAUACUAGGCAGUGCAGUGUAUCCUUCGUGUGGGAUGAUGAUUAGUAUUUUGUUUAUGCCUCAUGUUUUGUUUGUAUCGUCAACUCUCGCUUGACUUUUCGUACUAGUUUCUGCAAUGUCUACUUGGCAAUGCGAACCCUUUCAAAUGAAAUAGAUAAAUCUAAUGCCUUUUCAACUGCUCCCGAAUCAUACUAACAUGAAGAAAAUAUUGGCUUGGUUUUUUCACUAUUAAACACAACAUGUUAUUAUAAUUCAACAAGCAUGUCUAUUUCACUCAUUUUUCACCGCUCACAGUUUUGCCCCCCCCCCCCAUUAUUCAAAUUAGUACAAUGGUGUUUAGAUUAUUUAUACAUUGUUGACUCGAGAUUCUCAAGGACGUACUAAAUUAGAAUUGAGAGGGACAACAAGGUUUAGGUAAUUACACCAGAUUUAUACAUUAUUGUAGUCAUUCUAGAACAAAUCAUUGCUUCUAGUGAACAGAUCGUUGCACAUGUUUGUUGAAUUGUAUAACCUCUAUAGCAAGUUAGUGGUCUACUGGUGGACAUAUCAUAAUCCAUUGCUUUUGGAUUUUUCCCGUACAAUGUUAGGGAGAGUGUGAUUGGGUGCAUGCUUCCAUUCAUCGGUUACAACUGAGCUCGGCAAUGUCAACUACCUCUCGCAUGGGAUAGUGAUUGUUGUUAUGUUUUUGUUUUCAUUUUGACCAUAUCAUCAAAUCUAUCACGUAGUGCUUGUCUCGGUGAUGUCUAAUGGUGCCACUUGGCAACACGAGUCCUUCGAAAGCAACUAAACAACAUACUGUAUGAUUGGUUGCAUCACUGAGUUUUAAUGAGAAGUUGGCUAUGUUCGCGUGAUGAUGAUGAACAAUAUGUUUAUGUUUUUUAUCAUCGGCAACUCAAUGAUGCCCGACCCUGGCAUUGUUUGCAAUGUGAAUCCUUCCAGAAAAAUAAAUACAUUCAAUGGUUCUUGCACUCAUGCAACUUCGAGAAGCGCAUUUGGUAGUUUUUUUACAGGCAAAUAGAACACAUCAUCGUAAUCACAUUCCAGUUUUGUAACUUCUGAUACUAUGAUUGUUUUGUAUAGAGAAUUAUCUUAACCCACCAUAGGGGAAGAUAUUAUAUAUGAGAGAAGAAGCAUCAGAUAACAAUAUUGAUAUCCUUCCAUUUUAUUUACACCAUAGAGCACCGACCUACAAUCAAACUCAACACAACCAAUGUACACAGUACAGUAAACCAUCCACUAACGUGCCAUCAGCCCUUGAAUCAUAGCAAAACUUUGCAGUCUCAUGUGCCAUGCUAUUCACAUCUCUAUUAACGUUUAAUGACUUGAAAUGCAAUAGUAUUUUCACCAUUGUAGUCGCCUUAUUCUUCAAAUCAACUAAGGUGUGGAUCUAUCAGUAGUGUCAGAUAGGAAAUUAAACACAUACCGUAUUUAGUCUCCAGAACAACCUGCUUCUGCACAGGCACUACGAUAUACAAAUCAGAUAUGCACGUAACUCAGCCUCCUCCACAAUUGAAAAAAGGCAUCUUCACCAUGCGCCUGCGCUCGCCGCACAUUACCGAGGUGUGUGUGUGUGUGUGUGUGUGUGUGUGUGUGUGUGUGUGUGUGGAACAGGGAGGCCUUCUUCUUUUUCCUUGGGCUGGGGGCGGGGGCAAAAGGAGUGGUGAAGGGUGAGAGGGGGAGAUGAAGGAAAUAUGCCCUAGAGGCAAUAAUAAAGUUGUUAUUUAUAUUUCCUUAUAUUAUGAUAAAUGUUUAUAUUCAUGCUAGAAUUGUAUUAACCGGAAACUUAGUACAUGUGUGAAUACAUAGACAAACAGAAUGUCACUAGUAUGCCUCUACUUGACUAGCUCGUUGAAUCAAUGAUGGUUAUGUUUCCUAACCAUAGACAUGAGUUGUCAUUUGAUUAACGGGAUCACAUCAUUAGAGAAUGAUGUGAUUGACUUGACCCAUCCAUUAGCUUAGCACGAUGAUCGUUUAGUUUGUUGCUAUUGCUUUCUCCAUAACUUAUACAUGUUCCUAUGACUAUGAGAUCAUGCAACUCCUGAAUACCGGAGGAACACUUUGUGUGCUACCAAACGUCAAAUGUAACUGGGUGAUUAUAAAGGUGCUCUACAGGUGUCUCCGAUGGUGUUUGUUGAGUUGGCAUAGAUCGAGAUUAGGAUUUGUCACUCCGAUUGUCGGAGAGGUAUCUCUGGGCCCUCACAUCAAUAUAAGCCUUGCAAGCAAUGUGACUAAUGAGUUAGUUGCAGGAUGAUGCAUUACAGAAUGAGUAAAGAGACUUGCCGAUAACGAGAUUGAACUAGGUAUUGAGAUACCGAUGAUCGAAUCUCAAGCAAAUAACAUAUCAAUGACAAAGGGAACAACGUAUGCGGUUUGACCGAUAAAGAUAUUCGUAGAAUAUGUGAGAGCCAAUAUGAACAUCCAGGUUCCUCUAUUGGUUAUUGACCGGAGACAUGUCUCGGUCAUGUCUACAUAGUUCUCGAACCCGUAGGGUCCGCACGCUUAAUGUUCAGUGACGAUCGGUAUUAUGAGUUUAUGUGUUUUGAUGUAUCGAAGGUAGUUCGGAGUCCCGGAUUUGAUCACGGACAUGUCGAGAAGUCUCGAAAUGGUCGAGACGUAAAGAUCGAUAUAUUGGAAGCCUAUGUUUGGACAUCGAAUUGGUUCCGGAUGAGUUCGGGCAUUUUCCAGAGUACCGGGAGGUUACCGGAACCCCCGGGGAGUAUAUGGGCCUUAUUGGGCCUUAAUGGAAUAGAGGAGAGGGAGGGAAAAGGUGUGAGGCGCGCCCCCUAGCCCAAUCCAAAUUGGGUGGGGGCUGCCCCCCCUUCCUUUCCCCUCUCCUCCCCUUCCUUCUCUCCUACUCCUACUACUUGGAAGGGGGGAAUCCUACUCCCGGUGGGAGUAGGACUCCCCUAGGGCGCGCCAUAGAGGGCUAGCCCUCCCCCCUCCUCCACUCCUUUAUAUACGGGGGAGGGGGCACCCCAUAGACACACAAGUUGAUCAUUGAUCCCUUAGCCGUGUGCGGUGCCCCCUCCAUCAUAAUCCACCUCGGUCAUAUCAUCAUAGUGCUUAGGCGAAGCCCUGCGACAGUAGCAUCAUCAUCCCCAUCAUCACGCCGUCGUGCUGACGAAGCUCUCCCUCGACACUCAACUGGAUCGAGAGUUCGUGGGACGUCACCGAGCUGAACGUGUGAAGAUCGUGGAGGUGCCGUACUUUCGGUAUUCGGAUCGGUCGAUCAUGAAGACGUACGACUACAUCAACCGCGUUGUCAUAACGCUUCCGCUUACGGUCUACGAGGGUACGCGGACAACACUCUUCCCCUCUCGUUGCUAUGCAUCACCAUGAUCCUGCGUGUGCAUAGGAUUUUUUUUAAAUUACUGCGUUCCCCAAUAGGAGAGGCCUUCUUCUUCGAGGGAGGGAGUCUGGCUGCNNNNNNNNNNNNNNNNNNNNNNNNNNNNNNNNNNNNNNNNNNNNNNNNNNNNNNNNNNNNNNNNNNNNNNNNNNNNNNNNNNNNNNNNNNNNNNNNNNNNNNNNNNNNNNNNNNNNNNNNNNNNNNNNNNNNNNNNNNGAGUAAACGGCCAGGCCCCUCCCCCGCGCCUGGCGAAAGAAAGUAUACGCCGUAGGGGCGAUUAAUACAAGCAAUCAUAUCUAAUCAAUGGCAGUCUAUACAAACACAUAUACGCUUUCAUUAACAUCUCCACUUUUAAGCAACCCUGUACUAUCAAUGCAGUCUAUACAAAUGCAUAUAUAUAAGCUUCCAUUAUUAGCAACUUAAAACCCAUUGAUGCUUUUCACAUUGGGCAGGUUGUAAACAUACGUAACAAAUGCCACAAUCUUCCACCAUCAAUGCAUAGGUAUUGCACAUGUAUCAUCUCGCAUAAAUUAUAUACACCACACACAUCCUCUACAAAGAUACACAUAGCACAUACGCUCCCUCACAUAGUCCUACCACUGGACCCCAAAAAGGCAUAGUCCUACGGAAAACACAUGUAAGCACAUGGUUUCUACUUCUGGCACACGCGCACACAUAUACAUUUUUGUGAGGUUUAACAAAAGAUAUGCAUGCAUUUUUUAUCCGACUGUCGUACACGUGUAGUUUGAUGGAUAUGUACAUUUGUGUGUAGAUUAACGCCAACCAUGUAUGUAUUGUGAAGCCGAGCUCAAAAGCGAGGGAUUCUGGACGACUUUGCACUAUGUUGUUGGUAUACACGUCUGGCUUAAGCAGUGGUAGUAUACUACUUGCCUGUGAAGUUUGAUGGAUGAAUUUAUAUAUAGAUUAGCAUCCACCACGUAUCGGAGCCGAGGGCUCAAAAGCGAGGGUUUUGGGAUGGCCGGCCUUGGAUUGUGUGGUUUAGCAUAUACGUCUGACUUGCACAGUGCUAGUAUGCUAGUGUUAAAACGUCGCCUUUAGAUGUGGAUGUGCUAGGCACAAGUGGGCACAAACAGUUGCACAUGCUGAUUACAACCAAGCUCGGCGGUGCGUUGUACUCCUCGUGUGGGAAGGUAUGUGAUUGCCAUUGAUCGUUGUGUUUCUGGUCACUGGCUUUUUGAUACGCUUAUGUUGCAUCUUACGUGUAUUGAAACUGAGCUUUAAAGCAAGGAUUUUGCCCGGUCAAGGGUUAGGUGGUCCGUAUCAUCUUUGAAUUUUUUAUACGCAUAUGUUGCAUCUUACAUGUAUUAAAACUGAGCUGUAAAGCAAGAGUUUUUUCCUAGUAAGGGUUAUCUGGUCCGUAUCACCUCUCGUCUAGUAGCAAUCUAGGUUAUACCAAUGCUUUUCGGUUAUGAGCGUAUCACAUACAGGUACAAAAUUGUUGCAUCAUUGGUAUUGGUAAUGGUUUUUUUGAUCGUGUGUCCAAAGAAACAUUUAACGAGUCGCAUCUAAGGUUUUUUCUGGCUAGGCGGAAACAAGGGACGCAAAAUGGCUACGCUUGUUCAUUACGGCAGCCUCAGCUAUGUGACAUAUCUCCCGUGUGGAAUGAUAGCUAGUGUUUUGUUUGCCAGUAUUUUUGACUCCUGAUUAGCUUUGCUUGAUGUUUGAAGGUCCCACUUGGCAACGCGAGCCCUUCCAAAAGAAAUAGAUAAAUUAUUAUAUUUUUCACAUUGGUAAUAGAUUUUUUUGUCAUUAAACAAUGGAGAAAACGUAAUCCAUGACACAUAGGGUUCCCUAGCUAAGCAAAGACAAGGGGGCGUGAGAUUGGUUGGAUGAAUCGAUUACCACCACACUCAAUGGUGAGGGCGUAUCUGUAGGGGAACGUUGCAGAAA
This 129836-nucleotide long non-coding RNA is filed under the name Triticum aestivum (bread wheat). RNAcentral's name for it is "long non-coding RNA (TAES_LNC024663)". Lineage: Eukaryota; Viridiplantae; Streptophyta; Magnoliopsida; Poales; Poaceae. The record is from RNAcentral.